GAGGCUCAAUCUUAUGAGGCGGCUUGUACGAGUCUUCUUUACUCUCGACAGGAGGGUGGCCAGGGUUGUGACCAUAAUGUGGUGGCUUCUCUCCCUUAGGUGGCUUGCCAACUGGGGUUGGUGGCUUGUGUUCAGGAAGUGGUUUCUCUCCCUUGGGAGGUUUACCAAUUGGGGUUGGUGGCUUGUGUUCUGGGAGUGGUUUCUCUCCCUUGGGAGGUUUAGUGGGUGACUUGUGUUCUGGAGGUGGCUUCUCCACCGGAGGCUUGUGCUCCGGUGGUGGCUUCUUGGUUGGAGGGGGCUUGGGGUAAUCAGCAAGAGAUGGGGGGGUGAGAACCACCACUCCAAGGAACAACACUAGCAAGUAUGUGGGAGACAUUUCUGAGUUUGAGCUGAUCAGAUGAUGCAAAACUAGAAGAAUUACGUGACCUUUUAUAGCAAGUAGCUCCCAAUACCCACAUGACACGUGUUACUGUGACCAUAAAUAUUAUAGGGUCCAUUUGUGCCCUACCGGGUUGAAAACUUGGACGCUUGGCCGAGGACACACCGAACUAUGGAGGACUAUUGACGUGUGAUCACAGCUUUUGGAUUUUUCUUCCUGUGCAGCUGUCUAGCGGUUGGCAUUAUUUUUUUAAUCUUAAAUAAAGGCAUAGUUAUAGAGUACAUUUAUAUAUCUUCAGAUAGCCAUUAAUAUAUUUGAUGAAGAAAGACAAGUGCAUACAACAUGUAUACGGCUUGCUUCAAUCGAGUACAUUUAUGAUCAGUUUUCCAGUGCAAGUAAACCAGUUUUUUGUUCCACAACUAUUUUGGAAUCUUGUUUAUCAGUUUCUAUCAUUAUAAUGUCACAUAGGCUGCAAACUUGGGCACCCAAAGAUCUAGUUGGGCAAAUUUGUUUCAGAAUUUCAAUGGUGGAUUCAGUAAUUGUUAAAAGGUGUUUCUUCAUUAAGGAAAGAGUCCUGUAAAAAUAUUGUUAAAAGGUGUCAUAGAAACUAUAAUAAUUAAAUAACUUCUUUUCCCCGUGGGUGGUGUUUCUUCUGGGGAUACCCAAAAUGAGUUCAGAUUAAAAUUGGUUCGAGUCAAAGCUGUCUCUUUUGUCCAGAAAUCAACUAUUUUGCGCAUUGCAUGAAUCGAUAAAGAAAAAAUGAAAGCCAAAUCACACCUCCCCUGCAAAACCUAAACCCCGGUUGCUAACUUUCUAUGUUUCAGUCCUAUUCAUACAGGAAUAUUGGUUCAAGUUUGAGAAAAAUGGCAACUUACCUAGGGAUUACUUGGUUGUGGUUUGCGACGACUAUUUACGCAACCAACCAUGAGUUUGACUUUAACGUCAUGGGUUGAAGCCUCCUACAAUCGUGUAUGAUAGUUCAAAGCUCGUAGUAGAAAUUAUACAGGAAGGAAGAAACCUCCAAAGCUAGCUCCAAAAGAGAAUUAUCACAUCGAUAGCUCCAGAGAUUCCCAAGGGGACUGAAUCAAAGACAAGUUCCUCACUUUUUCUUCUUUUGAGGCCAAAUAUGAACCAAGGAUCACACGACCUCAUUCAACUUCAUAAGUUUGAUUUCAUGCAGUUGAACACUGGGUGAAGGCCAUGACAAGAAUUGAUUAAAAAAUUCUACCACUGUUUUAAGUAAUGGAAGAUUAUUAUCUCUGAUUGGCACCACAACAGCACAUGCUGCUAGAUCUUUCUAGACACUCCAUGCAAUGAAAGUACAAUGGAUCUUGUAACGAUAGAAACUAAGCCAUGCUACAGUACUAGAUGACGAGGUAAAACUAUUAGACAUGGGUGGCAGCCUAUAUGGGAGGGACACAAGUCUAAUUGAUUUGCAUUUCAGCGUUCUAGAUGGGUAUGUUUUGGAAGAUUUGUUCUGGAAAUACCGCACCAAGUAGGAUUCUUUUUUCUCUUGAGUGGGUCCACUUGCAUGCCAAUUAUCGAGUUGAAAAGUAGAGCACCUACCUCGUGCUCGUGGAACCGAAGGUCAGUGAAGUGGGGCUCCUUUUGGCCUCUUGUGUUUCUGUUCCAACCAAGGCGGCGGAGGGAAAAACAGCAAUAUGUCUCCGCUAAAUAUCAACGCAUGAUAGCGAAUGAGGGAGAAAAAAAGUAAUUGGCAUCUCAAUCUCACAAACUUGGUACAGUAGUGACAUUAAUAGUCUUCCACAUGGUUUUUAUUUUAUUUUAUUUUAUAUUUUAUAUUUUCCAUUUUUUUAUUUUUUUGUAUGUCAAGGCUAAUGAAUAAAAUGCGUUAGCUUGUUUUGUGAUUGGAACUGCAAAUGUCCAAAUUGGAGUUUCUCCAUUUCUCAGUUCGGAUGGUUAACUUUAUAAACAAGAUAUAGGAAACAUGUGAACGUCUUGAGGAACAAUUCGAAUUAUUGAUUAGAACUCCUAGGUUGAGUUCCAAGAUUUAAAUCAGACCCCUCUAGCAGCUUCAGGGGUACCUAGCAAUUAGAACAUAUUAAUGAAGAUUUAGGAUUUAGACUCCGGAAUACAAAUUAAUAUGUAUCUUAUGCUCUGACUAGCUUCCCUGCAUAUGCACAAAAUGGAGAUGACCCAAAAAAUAGCAGAAUCGCCUUAGUUUAUGUGGUUAAGGUGAUUCUCCGGUUAAUAUCCACAUUGGCUCAUUAUGCAAAUCAACUGAGCUAUUUUUUUUUUAAUGUCAAAUAGGAACUCCUAAUUAACCUAACCAUUGGCCUGUGUAAAUUGAUUUCACAUGCACAAUGUUGUAGUAGAAGUCCACAUUUUGAAUUUUAUUUUUGGAAAGGUAAGGAAAAUGAAGCAUUGUGUAAUUAUAAAAAUAACUUCAUUGGAAUUCACAAGGUUCACCCAAAAUGGAGCUACAUCCGUAUUCUAUCUUACAGUAGACUAUAUAGAUUGUACAAUAGUAAAUUGCAAAUACAAUUAAUAAGUCUUGUGUUUCCUUACUAAUAAUCCUUUGACAUAAACAUUGCAGCACUAAGGUCCUCUUGGGCAGACACCUUGCACCCAUGAGAGCACUAAGAGGAAGCAAGGCGGAGUCAUGGGUGCAAUGUCAUGACUUGUUGCACUAAGAGAGGCUUGGUGAUGGCAUAGUGCUGCAGUAGCAAGAAUGUUGCCUUGGCAGGGACACGAUCUAGGGACAGAUGCCAAGAAAGGCUUAGCACUCACAUGAGUUGCACAAAGAUGAAUGAAAUAGAACAUCAAAGAGACAUCUUGGCAAGCUCAAGAAAGACAUGUGGGUUGGUAAAUGAAUGGAUGCAAGAGGCAACAACAUGAGGAGUUUCAAAUGGAUAGGGAAUGAGUCAAAGACAUUUGAAAGCUACAAGUUGGAUUCUAAUUACGAUUGCAAUUUGAGUUUGAGUAGGAGUUUAUAUUAUGAUUGUAAUUGUAGUAUGAGUUGGACUAGGAUUGCUUAUCCCUAGUCAAAAUAGGAGUUGUUCAUGCCACACCCUAUGAAAAGAGUUUGAGUAGGGACUAGGAUUGCUUGCUCCUAGUCAAAUAUGGAGUAGGUGGUGCCACACCUAUAAAAAAAAAAGGGACAACAUGAGAGAGAGAGAGAAUGAAUUCACCAAAGAUAUUGUGGGAGUUUUGCUUUGUUACAUCUUGUAUUAUUAUUUAGAAUAGUAAUAAAAUACAAGUUGGGGCUAGAGCCCCAUAAUCUCGUGUGCCUUUGUGGGUUAUUCUUUAUUUGCCAUCUCGUGUGGAUUGGAUUAGAUUGAUGAGGCGAAAUAUUAUGUGGGAAAUUUAUGUUGGGACACUUACCAUAACCAGGUAAAAUCUACCAAGUCUUUUGUAAUAUCUUCUACAAAUAUUUUAGACCAGUUCUUCACAAAACAUCAUAAUAUGUUUUGUGUUUCUCUUGGAUUUUGAGUUGAAUUGUCUUAGAUCAAUUGAAUGCAUCUCAAUAUUAUUAUCUUGUUUGAAGGCUUGAUGAUUUUCCAUUUAACUUUACUUUCUUUAGGUUAUGCUUGAUUCCUUAAAAGUACUAAGGAAAACAAAAAAUAAAAAAAAAUAAAAAAUGCAGAGGGUUAGGACAUGUGUUAUCUAAUUGUCCUAUCCAAAGAUAUUAAGAAAGUCAUGUAGGAAAGUAAUUGAAAACUAGGUCAAGAAAGGAGCAAAAGGGAAUUGUUUUGGUAUUUUCUUUUUUAUUCUUGAAGGUGGCAGAGCUAAAAUUUGAGAAAUCAAGCAAAACAUACUGAAAUUACAUUGAAAGAAAGAAAAUGGUAGUUAAUGUCUUGCAGUACAUGAUAAGGACUUCAUGCAUGUAGUGUGACGACCCAUGUCUUGGACUGAUGCCACACUCACGGUUACACUUAUACCCUUGGUUCUCUCUUUACUACCUUGGCUAACCUAGAUCAGGCUAUGAGAUAGGCUCCUCACCACACCAUCACUUGCCCAGUAAUUAGUGACAUUUUCAAGCAAUGAGGUAACAUGGUGACACCAAGAGGGUUUAUCCCUCGCCCCAACAAGUCUAGACUCGGUCUCAAAAAAAUGGAGAAAAAUGAGGUGUCGUUAUGCAGAAAUACAACAACCAUGCCUUCCUUAUUACUUAGAUUCAGAAUGUGAAGGUGAAAUUGAGAAACAGAAACUCUUGAAACCAGAAUGAAAAUUGAUACUUUUACGAAGAAUUACAACAUUAGAGGAAGACUACAUUCUUCCUCUAUAUUCCUACGUUUCUACACUACUUCUACUCCACUCCAUAUUUCUACAUACAUCUUUAAUCAGUUUUCCCUCCUUUAUAUAGAGCCAUCUUCACACAAAUUCCGCAAGGUAGAAAAGAGGAAUGAAACUUGGAGCAAGGUUCGACUACUGGUUGUCGCUUGUCAAGGCUGGAAUUGAACUUUUUUUCUUGGCUUUUCUGGGCAUAGGUAGUAACUUGUGGUUCCUUUUUGGAAUGAAAAUGGUACAGCUAGAACAUGUGGCACUCUCUUGUUGGAUUAUGUGUCAAACAUGUGGCAGCCAUCUAGUGGAGAUUAUUUCAAUUUUGGGAUGGAGAGUUGGCAUCCAAUUGCAAAGAAAUAUGACAUCUACCAACAUGCAAUGUAAACCUAUAUAGAUCAUAUGGAGAUAGAGAGGAAACAUAUAGAAAUGGAUAUAUACCUAGAACUAGCUUUUUAUUAAAUGAGACGGAGAGCCAACAAUGAAGGAAAAUCAAAAUUUUUGGCUCAUAUCAAAGAAUUCACAUUGUGUUACCCUAGGUUUUCUUAAAGCUUGCACAAAGCCAAAAAGCACACAAAAAAUUAUAUUUUCUAGCUCUCUACCUUGGAUGGUCUCUUGAUCCUACUUGGAGAUGUGCAUAAAUAAAAGGAUUUGAAAAUGACAAUUGACUAAGUAUGUAGUCAAUCAAUUACUCAUUAAUUGACUAGUUGAUCAAUUAACUUUGCAACAUCAUAUGCAAUCCUAAUAGCUAGUCAUCUAAUCAACUAGGUAGUAAAUCAAUAGGCCAAAAAUAUGUUUAUAAUGACUAUUUUGUACAAAAACCACCUAUAUGGUUAAAUAUAAUGCAUUUCAUUUAUAAAUCUUCUAAUUCUUGAAUAACGAUCCUAUCAUCCUUUGAAAGUUUUUAUUACACCUUUUAUACUUUUGUUCUAAAACUUACACAUGUACAUCACCCUUAAUUGUACCAUGAGAACCUAGCUUUUUUUUUUUUUUUUUUUGUAAUUCAUCAAAGUUAGCUUUUGUAUUCAUUACUGUACUAUUUUUAUUGUAACUUAGAAAGCGAGUGUUUUCAAGUGAGUGAAAUUGACUUAUAAAUAUUGUAAAGAUUCAUUGAUGUGUAUCUUAAACUAAGUGUACAAGUUGAAACAUUUGCUAGUAGAUUUUCUCAAGAUUUAGAAUAGAGCUUGAGGCUAUUGAAAUAGGUGGGGUUGCACCAAACCACAUCACAUUGUUGUUUGCACCUUUUUUUCACUCUCUUUUACUUAGUUGCUCUAUAUUUGUUGUCUAGUAAUAUCCUAUAGGCUUGAUGGGUUAGGGAGCAUCCCUUUGUGAAAAAUUUUCAUUCAAUCCUUAGUUGUAUCACGCAUAUAUAAAAUGCCUCAUUGUUUUAAUGGUAUUCAGUCGUGGCAUCACAGAUAUGGGCAUCUAAAUUUUAAAAGUUUGAAACUUUUAUCUAAAGAAAAUAUGGUGCUUUGCCUUUUUGUAAAGCAUGUUGAUGAAAUCCAUGAGAAUUGUGUACUUGGGAAGCAACAUCGAGAUGACUUUUUUUUUUUUCAUUUUUUAUAAUGCGACACCUAAGUCCGGUUUCUAAAUGCUGAAGUGAAAGGGUAGGUAUGGACCAUUGAAAUCUGAUCACAACUUUUGGCCUUUUCCUUUCUCUGCAGCCAUGUUGUCUCUUUUUUCUUUUGCAUGAUUUUCUUACCUAAACAGAAUCAUAGACUUGUUUAAUCUCUAAAUGGUAUUUCAUCCAGCUUUAAGCUACUGUAUUAUAUCUUGGUGGAGGACUUUUAAGAGUGAAACCGACAUAGAGCACAUGCAAGUGGGUAUAUGGGACAUGAAAUUUCUUCUUAUAAAGACUGCAUGGUUUUUAUAUUAGAGUUGUUGAGGCGCAAUGUAUUUAGCUUGUUUUGCAGUUAAAUUAAUUGGAUAAGUAGACAUUGUCGUUUCUAAAUUUCCCACCUAAGAUAGUGACCUUAUCCUUGACUGCUUGAUGAGAUACACAAACAAUUAUACCUUCAAAAUCUACUGUGAAGUGCUUCAUGUAUGUGUGAAGUAUUAGAAAUUUCUUUCUUGGCAACUUGUUUUUUCUUUGCCCUCUACUGAUAGGUUUGACUCAAAUUAAAUUCCCUGUCAUGCUAAUUAAUUUUCACGUGCAUGCUCAAAAGGAUCACGUCAACUCUGGUUUCUACUAUUCAGGUCCAUUCCCAGAUAAACUGGUUCAAAUUUGAGAAAAUGGCAACAGCCCUUUAGUGAUGUUGGUUUGGAGCCAGUAGCCAAACCCGCCCUGAGCUUUACCACUAAUGUCAAGGGACAAAGCCAUUUGAACAAAAACAAUAGCUUCAAGAGACUGAAUCGUGGAUGAAAUCUGAUCCACAUUUCUUCUCAUUUUGGGAACAAAUGAGAACUUAACUACAAAGAUUCUACUGCCUCAUAGUGCUUUUCCUGAUCUAAGGUUGGUUCGUUUCCCAAAUUGUGAGGUACGUGCCAUUCUCACGCUCAGGAGUGUAUCCACGUGGUGGACAUAAGAUGGUGGCUUAAUAUCUGGUGUCGGUGGCUUUACUUUACUAGGAGAGUAGUGUGUCUUCAUCUCAUUCACUGCCGGAGGGUGGCGUAAGCAGUGACGCUAAGGUGGGGCACAGUCAAUAUCAUUUGCAUUUGACCAUUAUAGUUUUCUCCCGGCUUGAAAGUAACCUUAUCGUGAUAAAGGAUUACUAGCACUAGUUCAGAUGACAGUCAUGUUAAAUUCGGACCAUGUUUGUGUCACAUUAUCAGCAACCAUGUGUUUAUGGUUCAUGCUAUCUGCAACUAAACUUGAUAUAUAACCACGUGAACUUCAAUCUAAAUUCUGGAAGUACUCUUGUGAUAGAUGGUGCCUGUCUGCAGAGUCCAUCAAUUGAAAAAUGGAGUGAGUGUAUCUAUAAGAGGGAAGGCUUGGCAAAUGUUCAGUUUUCUGGGAACUCAACAAGGAUCUAAAAUAGAUUGUUUUCUUUGCUGAUUUCAAUGGUUGAAAUUUGAGAAGAUUGUGUCCACAUAACACAACUAUUACUGGUCCUUCUGUUGCAAUUUAUCCUCUAAGGCUCUAACAUGUCUUCCAAUUCCCACUUCCCUGUUACUCCAGGAAAGCUAUUUCUGUCAUUGUGAAGAAGAAAAGAGAAUGUACAUAUCGAUGGUUUUAAGUGACUGGGGCAUUCAUAUCAGGUGGUCUGCAGCCAUAUAUGCCACUUUGUGAAGGUUGGAACAGUCAAUCACCAGGCUAUAUUAGUGUGGCCCAGCCACUUCAAUCAAGGACAAGUCUUCAUACUUAAAGUCAAAUUCUGCCUUUAGUCUCAUUAUAAAUUGCUGUUUAAAUAUUAAGCAAACAUUUGUUUAAUGCGAUUAAGACAGUACUAACUCAAUACUUGUUCUAUUUUUGGAUGCAAAUGCUUGAUGGUUUCAUCAUUGGAUGGGAUAAAGGUGCAUUCAUGAUUAUGAAUACUUGUAGUUAUAUUUUCAUUCUCUUUUUUCUCAAUGAGACUUGUUGGCACAAUUUUGCUGUUCAGAAACCUACCUCUCCAUCGAAAAUCAGUUGUGAUUGAUAGUACUGGAUAUAUUCAAGAAAGCUAAAUAUAGAUAGCACCAAAUAUUAUCGAUAUAAAUAGCAUUAACAGCGUACGUAUGUCUCAAUGCUCAUCAGCUAUAAGCAACGGGCAAACACUUACUAUGAGCAACUUGCGUCAAAAUUCCAGAAUAGGACAUAGAAGUGACAGAUCUAUAUAUAUAUAGAACACUGCAUAUGAGUCACAAGAAAGGAAAUUACGGGUGCAUAGCAGCUCUUAUUUUACAUCCUACUCAUACUGAUCAAAGUCACUCAGUUGGGAUGGGUGGGAGUAGGAGGUUUGUGGGGUGGCUUGUGCGGAGGAGUUGGCAGCUUCUUUCCAGGACCUGGUUGCUUCUCUGCUGGAGUUGAAGGAGGCUUAAUCUUCCGAGGUGGCUUGUAUGAGUCUUCAGCAUUCUCAGCAGGAGGGUGACCAGGGUUGUGACCAUAAUGUGGUGGCUUCUCUCCCUUAGGUGGUUUGCCAACUGGGGUUGGUGGCUUGUAUGAGUCUUCAGCAUUCUCAGCAGGAGGGUGACCAGGGUUGCGACCAUAAUGUGGUGGCUUCUCUCCCUUAGGUGGUUUGCCAACUGGGGUUGGUGGCUUGUGUUCUGGGAGUGGCUUCUCCCCCUUGGGAGGUUUUUCCAAUGGGGUUGGUUUGUGUUCAGGAGGUGGCUUCUCCACUGGAGGCUUGUGUUCAGGAGGUGGCUUCUCCACCGGAGGCUUGUGUUCAGGAGGUGGCUUCUCCACCGGAGGCUUGUGUUCAGGAGGUGGCUUCUCGAAUGGGGGAUGCUCAGGGUAAUCAGCAAGUGAGGGGUUGGUGAGAACCACCAUGCCAAGCAACAGGACUAGCAAGUAUGUAGGAGACAUCUUUGGGUUUGGACUUAAGACAGUGGAAAACUGCGAGAAUUCUCUAGCCUUUUAUAGCGGGUCGACCCAGUACUCACAUGACACGUGUCAUUAUGACACAUGUGCCAUGGGGUCGAUUUGGGUCCUACAGUGUUGAAAAGUUGGGCAUUUGAGGUGUGAGCACAACUUUUGGCCUUUGCUUUCUCUACAGCCGCCAUGCUUUUCCCUUUUUUCCUUUUCCUUUUGUUUUCCUCCUGCCUCGUGUUCUCAACUAAACACAAUUAGGUUGUUUAAUUGUUAAAUGAGAUUUUUGUCUGUCAAUCAUAUUAUAUCCUAUCAAGAGAGAACAGAGUGUAAUGUAGUACACAUAACACGAGGCAGUAGUAAUUUUAUCAUUUAUUUUUAUAGCUUGGACCACCGCAUUUUUUCUUCUAAAAUAUUCUGUCUUGUUAAGAGACGCAAUAAUACACAAUUUUAUCUGCCAUUCAACAUUUACUGUAAAGUUCUUUUAUCUCUUUGUAGUUCUAGAAAAGUACAAAAUGGAACAUCAUGUAUAUGGUGCCUUCUGUCCUAAAAAAGAAACUGGACAAAUUAUGAACUGCAUGCUAAAAAGAGGCAAAGGAGCUUAAUUCGCAGCAUAAUUAUUUUGGUUUCUAGAGAGCCCGGGGCCUUUUGGUUGGUUUGGGGUCAGAAAAUGAACAUCAUAGGGAUUGUGCCCUUAACUGGCCUUGUUACUACAAAGAAAUUGCCAUAGAAAUUUAUUCCAGGCUGAGUAUCUCCGGAUAGACCCCAGAAAAGAAGAGUCAUAAUGAGAAUCAACCUUUGUUGAGUUUGAUUCCAUGCCUCCAUUGUGUUCAUUUCAUGAAUCUGAUUUGCAUUUAACAUUACAGUUUUGUUCUGGAAACAAUCAAAGGAGCAUCGUUUGCUUCUUGGGUGACCCAUAGUGGUGGGUGGGUCGAUUUGCUUAGUUGAAAAUUGGACAAUUGGCUCCAUCGCCUACCUCUUGGAUUCCAUGCUCGGAUAAAACGACAACAAAUAAAUAUUUAUAACUUACAACUGGGGAAAGGAAAAAAUAGUACUAAAUUCAUGGUACAUGAUAGUGAGAGAAGGGGGUGUUACACUCAGCUAAAGUUCUUUUCUAAAUAUUGCAUGGUGUUUAAUUUUAUGUGUCGGCGCGCGUGUGAAUGGAACCUGCAAAAGUCCAAAUUGGCGUUUCUCCAUUUUCCACAUAGGAUGGUGACGUUAAUAGACAAAGAUACAAUAUCUGUAGACAUUGCUUAAAAAUCGAUGUGAAGUAUUAGAAAUUACAGGCCACUGUACUGGGGGAGCGGCUGCCCCGCCAAAGGAAGAAUGUAGCAAUUUCUUCUGUUAGCCAGGCCUUAGGAUUUAUGCAUGGGAUGCCUAAUAACAAACAGAGAAAAUAUGCUUUUGGGGAAGGUAUCCAACAACAGACACCAUCAUUCAGAUGGUGGGAAGGUAUCCAACAGAUGCCAUCAUUCAGAUGGUAACAUAUAUAUACAUUUAUUAGUGAGUUUUUUUAAUACCUAUAAAAAAAAUAUACACUUUGAUAUUGUGGCUGAAUCCAUUACAUACUCAACUAACCUUGCUCAUUAGGGAUUUGACGUAACAAGGGCAACGUUGCAGUAAAAGCUCGAAACUUUAUGCAGGUGACAUUACAUUUGGUAAAGAAGAGGAAAAUAAGGAAAGCCAUCCAUAAAAGCAAAAUUCCUCAUGGGAUGAAAUUCACAAACUUCAUUUACGUUAGAGUCGCAUCCAGGCAAUUAAUUCCACAUUAGACCGCCUUUUGACAUGUGUACGGAUCUUUUUUCAAAAAUUAUUUAUAAAUAAUUGAUACUUACAAAAAUAAUUUAAGAUUUAUAAAGGAUAAAAAAAUAUUUUCAAAUCUAUGACAAUUUAUAAAAUAUUAAUAAAAAAUUAUCUCUUAAACUUAGUAUAGUUUUAUCGUAUUAAACUUUUAUUUUGAACAAAUAAUUUUAAUCUAAGUUUUAAAUUCUAAAAUUAUUUCCUUAAAAUAAAAUUUUAAAAUUCAACACUUCAAUUGAAAUUGUCUUUUAAAAAAAAUAUCUUCUUAUUUUAAUCCUUAUAAACUAUAGUUGAUUGAAAAUACUAUUGAAGUUCUCUCUUCAAAAAAAGUCUUAUUUUAAUCUUCAUAAAUUGCCCUUGAUUUGAAAAUAAACUUUGGGUUAUCAUAUUUUAAAUAAUAUAUAUAUAUAUAUAUAUAUAUAUAUAUAUAUAUAACAAAUACUCUAUUUUUUUUUUAAAUGAACUAAUUUUAAUUAUAUUUUAUUUUAUUUUUUUAUAUAUUUUUAAUGAUAAACCAAACAUAGAAAAUCAUUUUUCUAAAUAUUUUAAAAUUUCUAAGCAACCAAACAUAAUCUUCAAAAUAAAAGGAGAAUAAGGAGGGACAAGUGAGAAAUGGCGAUUAAAAAAAAGUGUACAAAAGCUCAAUUAAUUUUCUUCUAGUCUUUUAUAUAAAAAAGUAUUGGUAUGUAAAUUAAUAUUUGGAUUUUAAUAGUAUUUUAUUUGUCUUUCUCUAUCUCAUGUAAAAGAGAAUUUAAGAUAUUUCCUAAAGCAAAGCAUUAGUUAUCUGCAAUCAGUGGUGAUCAUGGUCCAUGUCAAUUUCGGACCCAUAUCUUAAAACCGUAUAAUUUGCGUUUCAACAUUACUGAUUUCUCAGAUGUUUCAUACUCCACAGAAGAGUAUUGUUAGUGAAAGCAUUUUGUAACUGUUACUCAUAGUGUUUUGACUCUGGCUCAACAACAUCAGCCAUUGACGGAUUUUCAUACAUGCAAAUCAAAUAGUCUUCUUCCUCCCUUAGGAAUUUCGGUUUAAAUGUUAUUAAGCAUACAUUUGGCUGACAAUUAUUAACCACUUCAUGAUAUGGUUUCUUACCCUUAAUCAAUGGUUUCUAAGUGAAUAUAUGCAGAAGGAAAUCUGAACUGUAGACAGCAGUAUUGAUAACUCUCAAUAUUCUUUAUAUAAGAGAAUAAACAACGUCAUAGUGAUCGUCGCCUACAAGAAAGGUACAUUUCCCAACAAGAUGUAGUGGUGACUGCUACAUGGACGCAAUUAACUCGUAGAAAAGGAUAAGACCAGUGCACGGCAGCUCUUAUUUUACAUGCUAAUUAUGCUAACCAAAGUCACUCAGUUGGGAUGGGAGGGAGAUGGAGGUUUGUGCGGUGGCUUGUGGGGCGGAGUUGGUGGCUUCUUUUCAGGAGCUUGUGGCUUUUUCGGAGCUGAAGGAGGCUCAAUCUUAUGAGGCGGCUUGUACGAGUCUUCUUUACUCUCGACAGGAGGGUGACCAGGGUUGUGACCAUAAUGUGGUGGCUUCUCUCCCUUAGGUGGCUUGCCAACUGGGGUUGGUGGCUUGUGUUCAGGAAGUUGUUUCUCUCCCUUGGGAGGUUUACCAAUUGGGGUUGGUGGCUUGUGUUCUAGGAGUGGUUUCUCUCCCUUGGGAGGUUUAGUGGGUGACUUGUGUUCUGGAGGUGGCUUCUCCACCGGAGACUUGUGUUCUGGAAUUGAUUAAAAAAAUUCUACCACUCUUUUAAGUAAUGGAAGAUUAUUAUCUCUGAUUGGCACCACAACAGCACAUGCUGCUAGAUCUUUCUAGACACUCCAUGCAAUGAAAGCACAAUGGAUCUUGUAACGAUAGAAACUAAGCCAUGCUACAGUACUAGAUGACGAGGUAAAACUAGUAGACAUGGGUGGUAGUUGAUUACUACUCAAAAAGUACUCUUUUAUAGUUUGAAACUAACUGUUUUAAACACUUUUGAGUAGUAGUUAAUAAAUUUUAACUCAAUUGGCACAUUAAGGAACCUAGCAAGGGUUACUAAUAAACUUUUGGCAAGUUUUGGUGUUUUUGGUAGUUAUUCGAUCAUUGAAACAAGCCAAGAAUGAGGGAGAAUUUUGUGAAGUCCAUGGCAAUGCAAGUUAAAGCUCAAAUACACGAAGAAUCCAAGCUUUGGAGCACUACAUAGCCCUUUGCCAAGCCAAUUAGAGAUGCAAGGAACAAAACCAAAGGAAGAAAUCCAACAACCAACAUUUUCGCAUGGUUGUGUGAAAUUUCGCACACCAUGCGAAACCACAAGAGGUAGCCAAAGAAUUUCACAUGGUAUGCGAAAUCUUCUCAUGCACCGACUCCGUUAGAUUUUUAUCUUCAGAUAUUUUGUGUAAUUUCCUAGUUUCUCCUUGUAACCAACCUAGAUAUUUUCUUUUAUAUCUUUUUUUAUAUUUUUUAGGUAACAUCAUAUAUAAGGGGAGAGACAUAAGGAGGAUAUGGAUGUUUUUCAUAGAACACUUGUAAAUUUUCAGUAGUAAGAAAUAUACAAAGCUUUUUGCUAUGCCUUACCUUCUCAUUUUGUUUUCACCUGUCUUUCUAGCCAAACAACCUCUAAGGAUGAUUUCUCAGGGGAUGAGUGGCUAGGUUUUACGUUUCUUGGAGUGAGGGAAGCUAGGUGAAGGACCUGAAUGCAAAGAUGAGAGUUUUCCUUGCUUUAAAUGAAAGUAGUUGUUAAACAUUAAUGGUUUUUAUUUUAAGGUUUAGCUUUAAAUCCCUUAAAAACACCUUGAAUGACCAAUACUUGGUAAGCUUUUCGGAUUCUAUGGAUGCUUAUUGCUAGAUCCAUGGAUGUCUAUUAGUUAUCAUUUACGAGCCUUUGGAAGGUGAUUCAAGGUGAGGGUCUUUAGUGUUUGAAGCCAUUAAUGGGAAGCAAUUACCAUUUUUUCAUGAAUCCUUUGGAUCAAAUCUUAAUUGCUAAAUAUAAAACCGAUUUGGGAAAUAACCAUCCUUUAUGUUAUUAUCCCCAACGCAAGGAGAAGAUCCGGAAUCUUCCCUUUUGUCUAAGGAACCCGAUCCUAGUGACCUAAAGCUCCAAGAGACCUUUUCUUUGUAGUUAACUUCAUUUAUUGUUUUUGCUUAACUUAAAAUCAAUCUUUGCAACCACAAUUCCAUUUUCUUUAAAAGCUAAUUUUUAUAAGGAAAAACACCAUUUUAUUUCCUUCACUAAGUCAACUGUACGAUGAAAACCCAUCCCUGUGGACGAUCCUAGAGCCAUUAUACUAUGUUAGCUAUGCUACCCUAGUGUGAGGUGAUUUAGGUUUUAUAAAUUUUGUUGAUAACACCCAUCUGAGCCAGAAUCAAAUGGCACAACUGAACCAGGGACGAAUCAAAUGGCGCCGCUAUCGAGGAUGGUGCCAAAGUACAUUGACAUGACUUUUGGUGAACACUUGUGAUCUUCAUCACAAGUUUGGUGAUUUUUCUAUUACUAAUUUUUUUCUUUGUUUUUAUUUUAGCUUAUCUUUUAUUUAGUUUUUAGCUAACCUUAACUUUUUCUUAGAAUUGUAUUUCUUCUAUUUUCUUUGUUUUUGUUUCAGUGAUCUUUAGUUGUGCAUGCCCUAUUGGAUAAGAAAUAUUGAGGGAAUACUUGUGAAGAUUGAAAAUCCUCGAGAAACUGAGUUGGAAGUGUGAUUGAACAUCAUGGAUGUUCCACCUGAAGACCAGAAUAGCCAACAUGGUUAAGAGGAUAAUUUCAAAGCAUACCGAUCCAUGAGGGACUGCAUGCAUCCACCUCGUAUGAGUGCACCGUCAUGCAUAGUGCCUCCCACUGAGCAACUAGUAAUCUGACCUCACAUUGUGCCACUCCUACCUACUUUCCAUGGGAUGGAGAGUGAGAAUCUCUACUCGCAUAUUAAGAAAUUCGAGGAGGUUUGUAAUACAUUCCAAGAAGGAGGAGCUUCAAUUGACUUGAUGAGGCUCAAGCUAUUUCCUUUCACUUUGAAGGAUAAGGCUAAGAUUUGGCUUAAUUCUUUAAGGCCAAGGAGUAUCCGAACUUGGACUAAUUUGCAAGCCGAUUUUCUUAAGAAGUUCUUCCUUACCCAUAGGACCAAUGGUUUGAAAAGGCAAAUUUCGAACUUCUCAGCUAAAGAGAAUGAGAAAUUCUAUGAGUGAUGGGAGAGGUACAUGGAAGCUAUUAAUGCUUGUCCUCACCAUGGCUUUGACACAUGGCUCUUAGUGAGUUAUUUUUACGAUGGUAUGUCUUCUUCAAUGAAGCAACUCCUAGAAACUAUGUGUGGAGGAUACUUCAUGAGUAAGAAUCCGAAGGAAGCCAUGGACUUUUUGAGUUAUGUGGCUGAAGUUUUAAGAGGAUGGGAUGAACCAAAUGCUAGAGAGGUGGAAAGAAUGAAGUCUCAACCUAAUGCUAAGGGUGGGAUGUAUGUUUUGAAUGAAGACAUUGACAUGAAAGCAAAGGUUGUAGCUAUGGCAAGGAGAUUGGAAGAGCUAGAAAUGAAGAAGGCACAAAAAGUGGAAGCCAUUUCUGAGACAUCAGUGCAAGCUAUGCCUUGUUCCAUUUGUCAACCUAAUGCUAAGGGUGGGAUGUAUGUUUUGAAUGAAGACAUUGACAUGAAAGCAAAGGUUGUAGCUAUGGCAAGGAGAUUGGAAGAGCUAGAAAUGAAGAAGGCACAAAAAGUGGAAGCCAUUUCUGAGACAUCAGUGCAAGCUAUGCCUUGUUCCAUUUGUCAAUCUUAUGAGUACCUAGUGGAGGAGUGUCCUACAAUUCCAGUAGUGAGAGAGAUGUCUGGUGAUCAAGCAAAUGUUAUUGAUCAAUUCAAGCCUAAUAAAAAUGCUUCAUAUGGCAACACCUACAAUUCAAAUUGGAUGAACCAUCCAAAUUUCUCUUGGAAACCAAAGCUACCUCAAUACACACAACCUGCUCAAGCACCUUAGCAAUCCUCGAAUCUUGAACAAGCUAUUGUGAACCUUAGUAAGGUUGUGGGAGAUUAAAAGUCCAUCAAUGCUCAACUGAAUCAGAGAAUUGACAGUGUAGAGAGUACAUUGAACAAAAGGAUGGAUGAGAUGCAAAAUGAUCUGUCUCAAAAGAUAGACAAUGUCCAAUAUGCAAUCUCAAGGCUUACCAACCUCAACACAGUGCAAGAGAAAGGAAAGUUUAUUUCUCAACCUCAUCAAAAUCCCAAGGGUAUCCAUGAAGUGGAGGCUCAAGAGAGAGAAUCUUCAAAGGUGAGGGAAGUCAAAGCAGUUAUCACCUUGAGGAGUGGUAAAGAGGUUGAUCAACCCACAUCCAAGCCAAAGCAUAAUGAAGAGAGUUUUGUAGAAAAAGAAAAGAGAGGAAAAUAAAGGAAAGAGAAUAGAGAAAAGUACAAAGAAAGAUGACCAUGAGUCUAGUGUGGAUGAAGAGCCCAAGAGGAUAGUGAUCAAGGAAAAUAUGAUGAAGAAACACAUGCCUCCACCUUUCCCCUAAGCUUUGCAUGACAAAAAAGGAACCAAUAAUACAUCGGAAAUUUUUGAAGUAUUGAGGCAAGUGAAGGUCAAUAUCCCUUUGCUAGAGAUGAUCAAACAAGUGCCGACAUAUGCAAAAUUCUUGAAGGACUUGUGCACUGUAAAGAGAGGGUUGAAUGUGAACAAGAAAGCUUUCUUGACCGAGCAAGUGAGUUCCAUCAUACAGUGCAAGUCUCCAGUGAAGUACAAAUAUCCGGGCUACCCUACCAUCUCAGUGAGUAUUGGAGGUACUUGUGUGGAAAAAGCUUUGUUGGACUUGGGAGCAAGUGUGAAUUUGCUACCCUACUCUGUCUAUAAGUAGUUGGGACUUGGAGAGUUGAAGUCAACAUCCAUCACCCUAUCUCUGGCAGAUAGAUCAGUGAAGAUUCCAAGAGAGAUGAUAGAAGAUGUCUUGGUUCAAGUUGACAAAUUCUACUAUCCAGUGGAUUUUGUUGUUCUUGAUACGGAUCCGAUUGUCAAAGGAACUAAUUAUGUUCCUAUCAUACGAAGACCCUUCCUAGCUACAUCAAAUGCAAUCAUCAAUUGUAGGAAUGGAGUCAUGAAACUCACGUUUGUCAACAUGACAUUAGAGCUCAACAUCUUCCAUUUGUACAAGAAGCAUAUCCAUUCAGAAGAAAAAGAAGGUCUAGAGGAAGUGUGCAUGAUUGACACUUUAGUGGAGGAGCAUUGUGAUCGACAAUGCAAGAAGAUUUAGUUGAGAGUUUUGGGGAUCUUGAUGAAGGGUUACUUGAACCCUCAGAUUUGCUUGCUACCCUACUCCAUUGGAGGAAGAGAGAAGAAAUUCUACCCUUAUUCAAUGAGGAGGAGACACAAAGAGCUGCUAAAGAUAAGCCCCCAAAGCUUAUUCUUAAGCCACUACCCACAGAGUUGAAGUAUGCAUACUUGGAAGAAGACAAGAAGUGCACUGUUGUUAUAUCUUUAGCUCUUACCAUUCAUCAGGAGGAUUGUCUACUUGAAGUCCUUAGAAGAAGUAAGAAGGUAAUAGGGUGGCAAAUUUCUGAUUUGAAAGGGAUCAGCCCUUUUGUCUGCACCCAUCAUAUUUACAUGGAGGAUGAAGCUAAGCCAAUUCAUCAACCUCAGAGAAGGUUGAACCCUCACAUGCAAGAAGUGGUGAGAGUUGAAGUUCUUAAGCUACUUUAGGCUGGUAUUAUUUACCCCAUAUCAGAUAGCCCAUGGGUGAGUCCUACUCAAGUUGUGCCAAAGAAGUCGGGGAUCACGGUGGUGCAAAAUGAUAAGGGAAAAGAUGUCUCUACAUGUCUCACUAUAGGUUGGAGGGUGCGUAUCAAUUACAGGAGGUUGAAUGUAGUGACAAGGAAUGACCAUUUCUCGUUGCCCUUUAUUGAUCAAGUGCUUGAGAGGGUCUCUGGGCAUCCUUUUUAUUGUUUCUUGGAUGGCUACUCGAGGUAAUUUAAGAUAGAAAUUGAUGUUGAAGACCAGGAGAAGACCAUUUUCACAUGCCCAUUUAGAACCUAUGCAUAUAGGAGAAUGUCUUUCGGCUUAUGCAAUGCACCCACAACUUUCCAAAGAUGCAUGUUAAGCAUUUUCAAUGAUAUGGUGGAGCAUAUUAUGGAAGUCUUUAUGGAUGAUAUCACCAUAUAUGGAAGUGCAUUUGAUGAAUGCUUGGUCAACUUAGAAGUUGUUCUGAACCGAUGCAUUGAGAAAGACUUAGUGCUUAAUUGGGAGAAGUGCCAUUUCAUGGUACACCAAGGGAUUGUCCUUGGGCACAUCAUCUCCAAGCAAAGCAUUGAAGUUGACAAAGCAAAGGUUGAACUCAUUGUUAAGUUGCCAUUCCCAACAAAUGUCAAAGGAGUAAGGCAAUUCCUUGGCCAUGCCGGGUUCUAUAGGAGGUUUAUCAAGGAUUUCUCUAAGCUUGCAAGGCCUCUUUGUGAAAUAUUGGUGAAGGAUGUUAAAUUCAUAUGGGAUGAUAGAUGCCAAAGGAGUUUUGAAGAAUUGAAGCUAUUUUUGACAACCUCACCAAUAGUGAGGGCUCCCAACUAGCAACUGCCCUUUGAGGUAAAGUGUGAUGUCAAUGACUUUGCUAUAGGAGCUGUUCUUGGGCAAAGAGAAGAUGGAAAACCUUAUGUGAUCUACUAUGCGAGCAAGACAUUGAAUGAGGUGCAAAGAAACUACAUAACCACCGAGAAAGAAUUGUUAGCUGUAGUUUUUGCCUUGGAUAAGUUUCGUGCUUACUUGGUGGGAUCCUUCAUCGUGGUUUUUAUUGAUCACUUUGCUUUGAAGUAUCUAUUGACUAAGCAAGAUGCUAAAGCAAAACUGAUUAGAUGGAUUUUCUUGCUUCAAGAGUUCAAUCUCCAGAUCAAAGACAAGAAAAAAAUGGAGAAUGUGGUAGUAGACCACAUUUCAAGGCUAGCUAUCGCACAUAAUUCCCAUGCUUUGCCCAUUAAUGACGAUUUUCUAGAGGGGUCUCUCAUGUUGGUGGAAGUUGUCCCUUGGUACGCUCACAUUGCUAACUACCUGGUCACAAGAGAAGUUCCAAGUGAGUGGAAAGCACAAGAUAAGAAGCACUUCUUUGCAAAAAUUCAUGCCUACUAUUGGGAAAAGCCAUUUCUAUUCAAGUAUUGUGCGGAUCAGAUAAUAAGGAAGUGAGUUCCUGAAGAAGAGCAACAGGGGAUCCUCAGUCAUUGCCAUAAAAAUGCAUGUGGAUGCCACUUUGCUUAUCAGAAGACAACCAUGAGGGUGCUGCAAUCGGGUUUCUGUUGGCCAUCACUUUUCAAAGAUGCCCACACCAUGUGCAAGAGUUGUGAUCGAUGCCAGAGGCUUGGGAAGUUAUCAUGUAGGAACAUGAUGCCUUUGAACCCCAUUUUAAUAGUUGAUCUUUUUUAUGUUUGGGGCAUUGACUUCAUGGGACUUUUCCCUAUAUCUUUUGGCUACUCUUACAUCUUGGUGGGAAUAGAUUAUGUUUCUAAGUGGGUUGAGGCAGUCCCAUGCAAACACAAUGACCAUAGAGUGGUUCUCAAGUUUCUUAAGGAGAACAUCUUCUCAAGAUUUGGGGUGCCCAAAGCCAUAAUUAGUGAUGGGGGUACUCAUUUUUGCAACAAGCCUUUUGAAACUCUCCUAGCCAAGUAUGGGGUGAAGCAUAAGGUAGCUACACCUUACCACCCUCAAACUAAUGGGCAAGUUGAGUUAGCAAACAAGGAGAUUAAAAACAUAUUGAUGAAGGUGGUGAACACAAACAGAAAAGAUUGGUCAGUCAAGCUCUUCGAUUCACUAUGGUCAUGUAGAACAGCUUACAAGACCAUUAUCGGGAUGUCUCUUUAUCACCUAGUCUAUGGAAAAAAUGCCAUCUCCUUGUGAAAUUGGAAUACAAAGCUUGGUGGUCAAUCAAGAAGCUCAACAUGGAUUUGAGCAGAGCUGGGUUGAAGAGGUUCUUAGACCACAAUGAGAUGGAGGAAUUGAGAAAUGAUGCCUACAUCAAUUCAAAAAUUGUAAAAGAAAAAUUGAAGAGGUGGCAUGAUCAGUUGAUUUCCCGCAAGAAUUUUCAAAAUGGAUAAAGAGUCUUGCUCUAUGACUCUAAACUCCACAUCUUUCCGAGCAAGCUGAAAUCAAGGUGGAUAGGUCCUUUUACCAUUCACCAAGUGCAUUCAAAUAGAGUAGUGGAACUACUCAACUCCAACAACAUCGGGAGCUUCAAAGUGAAUGACCAUUGUCUCAAGCCCUUUGUAGAGUCUUUUUUCUCGCGACAAGGAGGAAUUCAUCCUCCUUGAUCCACAUCAAGCUUGACAAGACCAGUUUUUUUUUAUGGACUUAGUCUUUCUAAAGACUAUCGAGUCCAUAACUUUUUAUUUUAUUUUUUAUUUGAGAGUUUUUCGGUAUUAUUACUUGUUUUGUUUUUUAUUUUUCGUUUUACUUUUAUUUGGUUUGAUUUAACUUAGAUUUUUUAUGAUCAAUUGCAGGGGGGAUUUCAAAUAGAGGAAAAACCAAGAUAAUUCGCACACCCUGCGAAAAUUUCGCAAGGCAUGCGAAAUUUAUGGCUCAUUUCGCAUGGGAUGCGAAAUUUCGCACACCCUACGAACCAAUUUCGCACACUUUGUGAAAAUAAACCAACCCUACGAAAUCAUUUCAAAUACUCUACGAAAUUUUCGCAGAGCAUGUAAAAAAUUUCGCAGACCAAACACCAUUUCGCAUACUAUGCGAAAAUGUAAGGGGUCUACAAAACCAUUUCGCACCUCCAAAGCCAUUUCGCACAUUGUGCAAAAAUGAAAAGUCGCCCUAUCAUCCAUUUUUAAACCCCUUGAGCCCUGAAAUCCCCAUUUCGCAAGCACCCCUGUCCUUGCGAAUCCCUCAUUUUCCUCUGCCACCUUGCGACCUUGUCCCUCUCCAUUUGAUAUCGUGCCCUGCGCACAUCUCAUUUCAAAGACUCGCACUCUGCGCCCUCUCAAAGCACGAACCCAAGGCUCACAUUCCAUUUCCGACAUGGCACAGACCCGAGGAGCCCUUCCCGCCCCUUCAUCGAGACGCACACCAAGGUAGAGAGCCUCUUUUGCUCAGAUGCCAAGUGAUUCUCCAUUUCAGGCCACGGAGGCCCUGCGGAUUCCACAUUCCAAGGGUAGAACAGCCACUGGUCCUUCCUCUUCUAUUCCUCAGCGUAGAUAUGAGACGAGGAGACCACCUACUACACAAAGGGCGACUACUUCGCGCCAUGAGAAUUCGGUACGACACCCUCCUGCCAAGAGGGCCAGGACUUCAGGCCCAGGCGAGUCAUCCAAAGCUUCACAGCCUGAGCCUCCUGCAGAUUCCGAGGUUCCUACUGACAUAUCAUCGGAGUCUAUUAUCAAACGCCCGAUGCUCACAGCACCGCCCAUUGAGGGCAACUCUGAUUGUAGAGCGAGACCUUUCCACUUGGAGCUAUAUUUUAAUUAAGAGGCCAUGCCACAGCAGCCUGAGCUCCAAGACUCUUAUGGCUUACUACAGAGGUACCAUCUUGAGGACCUUAUGACUCCUCGUGAGUUCUUUUAUCCCAGAGUAGCACUAGACUUUUACCAGUCCAUGACUACUCGUGGCGUCCCGAGUCCUACCGCGAUGCACUUCACCAUUAAUGGACGUCAUGGUAUCCUCGAGGCCAGACAUAUUGGAGAGGCUCUACAGAUUCCUUUCGAGCUAGAGGACCCAUCUGUUUUCUGCCAAUGGUCCCCAAUAUCUCAGAGGGACAUGGUCCAUAUUUUAUCCAGGGGGACAUCUACAUAUUCGAUCCUUCUACGGAAGGAGCUUCGACCUGGGAUACUCCUCGUAGAUGUGGUGCUACUUUCCAACCUCUUUCCCUUUUAGCAUUCGAUACAUAGGCGAGGAGCUAUUUUGGACGCUUUAUUCUGUAUAUCAGAGGGCUUCUACUUUGGCCCGCACCACUUGAUCAUGGUUUCCCUCAUCCAUUUUGAGGAGAAGGUCCAUAGAAAGAAGCUUCAGAGGGCGAACACCAUUCCAUUACUAUUCCCGAGGUUGCUCUACUAGAUCUUGGAGUACAUGGGCUUUCCUACUGAGCCUCGGCUUGUGUGCCGCCGCCUUUGUCAAGAGCGAUCCACUCUCGACAAAUGGAAUCAGUUGGCGGGCUAUUCUACACCUCCAGGAGCCCCUCCCAUGGUAGCACCUCUAGUGUCCCCACAGGCAGAGUAGGGCAAGCUCCCGGUAGAGACUGCACCCCUAGUGCCCACACCUGAGGCUACUUCUGCUGUUCCGCCUACGACUCCUACUGUUCCACCAGUUGGUCCUUUUACAUCUGAGUCUUCCAUCAACAUCUCGACUUCGGAGUUUCGCGCCCUUGUGCAUACCUUUCAGACACUCACCACCACACAUACUGCUCUCUUCUAGAAAAUGGCUGAGAUGCGUGCCCAUCAGGACCAGCAGACUACUAUACUCCGCCAAAUUCAACAGCACCUGGGACUUCUGCCUCUGCCUCAGCUUGACCUUCCCACAUCAUCAGAGCCUCUAGCUCCAGUUGAGGAUACUAUUCCACCUGAGGACACUACCACAGUAGAGGUUCAGAUUCCACCACCUCAGGAGGCCACCACAGCUACAUUAGAGGAUGCAUCAUCUCCACCUGAGGCUCCCACUACUUGAUCAUAGGACAUCUCUUUAUCUUAUUGUAUUUACAUAUUAUAUUACUGGAGAUUUGUCUUUGUUUUGAUACUUUAUAUUCUGGCAUUGAAUGUAUUGCCUAAUGAUAUCUCAAUUGUACUUUCUCAUAUUAAUAUAUAGACAUCAAUUUUUUUUAGUAUACUUAGGAUUUUUCUAUUUACUCUACUCAUUACUCUUUUGUUUUUUUUUUUUUACUCAUGUGGUUUCUCCUAUACGACUCAGACUCCAUUUCACUCAGGAGGUACCACUUCUUCCCUUUAUUUUCAAUUGCUCUUGAAACAUUGAGGGCAAUGUUGAUCUUGGUUGGAGGGAGAGUUGAGGAAGGAAGUGAUUACUACUCAAAAAGUGCUAUUUCAUAGCUUGUAAUUAACUCUUUUAAAACACUUUUGAGUAGUAGUUAUCACCUUUUAACCCAAUUAACAUAUUAAGGACCCUUGCAAUCAAUUCUAAUCAAAUUGUGUUAAGUUUUGGUAUUUUGAUAGCUUUUUUAUCACCAAAGCAAUCCGAGAUUGAGGAUAUUUAUUUGGAAUCCAUGGCAAAAGAUGUUUGGACAGGACGUCCGGACACACCAUCGGAGGGCGGCGGAACGUGGGCUGUGGCAGGCUGUCGGAAUGACGUAGCAAGGCUUGUGCACUUUAGCCAAUGAUCGGGAUAACAUAUCCGAAAUUCUGCUCCGCCGACAUUCCACCCGGAUGUCUCACAUCCGGAAUUCUGCUCCGCCGACAUUACACCCAGAUGUCUCACAUCCAAAAUUCUUCUCCGUCGACAUUCCAUCCGAAUAUUUCACAUCCGACGCUUGACGCCGGAUGGGAGAGGAGGGCGUUUCAACUUCCCCGGUCAGACAUAUCCGAAUCCUUUGAUAACGCUUACCCGGAGAGUUUCGCAGCCAUUUUGCACAGUGCCGCGGUGUUCUCUUGAAGCUUCCCGAUAUGUGCGACCGACAUUUUGAGAUAUUUUGCUUUAGAUAUUUGAUGUCUAAAUCCCCAAACUCUCCUUGUAACCCACCAAUUAUAGGAUUCCUUAGUUAUUAAGUUUGGAAAAAUGGUGAAUAACCCCUUAUAUAUAGUUUGCAAUUUUCAUAAAAAAGAUAUGUAGAAUCUCGGGAGCUUGUUCCCAGAGAGACGCAUCCUUUGUACAGUUUUGGAAGGAAGUAAAAUACAGAGCACUUGCUCUGCUUUUCAUAUAUAUUUUUGUUUUCUCGUUCUUUUUAUUUCUAGCCAAUCAAAGUCUGAGGAUUUUUCCUCAGAGGAUGAGAGGCUAGGCUCUUCGUCUCUUGGAGUGAAGAAAACUAGGUAAGUUUCCACAUGCAUAAAUUGAAAGUUUUGUUGUUUUAGUUUUUAAUGAAGAGAAAGUGUGACCCGUUAAUGGUUUUUAUCUUUUUAGUUAACUUAAAACGCCUUUAAAUCACCCGGGCCAACACUUGAUAAGGCAAGUGGUCUCCAUCCAUUGAGAUGCACUAGUUUAUCUCUUGCGAGCCUUUGGGAGGUGGUUUGAAGGUAGGAUUUUCUAGAAUAACCAACACUUGAUAAGCUUUUGGACUCUAAGGAGACAUCCAUUAGUUAUCUCUUGCGAGCUUUUGACGGGUAAUCCAAGGUUAAAGAUCACCUUGAAUGGCAAGUACUAGGUGAGAGGUAUGAGCCAUUGCAAGAUGCAUUAGUGAGAGGGAUUUAGUGUUUGAACCCAUUAAAGGGAAGCAUCUGUACCACACCGGUUCGGGAAAUAACUAUAUGUUAAAUCCCCAAUGAGAGGAAAAGAAACAAGUGACCGGAACUCCCUUUUUGUAUAAGGAACCUGAGCCUAGUGAUCUAAACUCCAAGAAACACUUUUCUUUGUAAGUAAAAUCAGUUACUAUUUUUGGUUAGUUUAAAACCAAACCUUUUUCAUUCAAACAUCUUUAUGUUUUCUUUUAAAGCUAACCUUGAAAUGAAAAGGCACCAAUUCAUAUUUGAAUUAAUAUCAAUUGUGAAGUGAAAACCCAUCCCAGUGAACGAUCCUAGAGCCACUAUGCUAUAGUAGCUUUGUCUUUGCUACCCUAGUUCAUGGUUUAAUAGGUUAUAAAUUUUGUUGAUUACUCCCACAAUCAAAGGAGCACCAGUUGGACAUGAAUCAACUGAGACACUAAUUGGGCACAAAUCAGGAAGUUUUGUUAAUAAUGCUAGGUUAAUUUGUUAAUUUAGUUACUUUCUGCUUAAUUUUAAAAGUUUUCACUUUACUUUCCAUAGUUAUUAAGGAAAAAUUCUCAAAAUGAAAUGGGAGAAAUUGAAUUCUUACAUUUUUACUUGAAUUUUAGAAUUUGUAUUAUGCUUAUUGAAGCUGAUGAAUUAUUGAAACUCCUAUUGAAUUCAACCUUAUUUCUUCCACUUUAAUCUUACCACACACGGUGCACAUUAGGUUCCGAUUAUAAGAGGUGCGUUCUUAGCCUAUUGGAGGUUGGUCAAUUUGUUAAAGUUUGAGAAAGAUCUAGGUUAGGGGAGAGAGAAUAGUCUGACAUACUAUAAUCGAAAACUAAUAAACUUAACACUUAGAUCUUUGUGGAAGAGUAAGGAUUGGACCUUUGGGAGUGGAAAUUCGUUUGAUGCUUAAAUUUGCAUAAUGCUUACACUUUAUAAAUUGUGAUUAGGCAAGAGAUUUGAUGACUCUUGUUCAAGGUUGGGUUUUGCCUCUUUGAUGUUCCAUGAGAGAGUAUAAUCCUCAUCAUGCCACUUGAAAUUUUUUUUGGAGUGAUUAACAUGAUUUUGUAAAUUACUUUACUGUCUAUUUUUUUUUUAUCUCUCCUUCAUUGCUAAUGGACUAGCAAUAUGUCAGUUGAGGGGAGUGAUUACUACUCAAAAAGUACUCUUUUAUAGCUUGAAACUAACUGUUUUGAACACUUUUGAGUAGUAGUUAAUACCUUUUAACUCAAUUGGCACAUUAAAGAACCUAGCAAGGGUUACUAAUUAGUUUUUGGCAAGUUUUGGUGUUUUUGGUAGCUAUUUGAUCAUUGAAACAAGCCAAGAAUGAGGGAGAAUUUUGUGAAGUCCAUGGCAAUGCAAGUUAAAGCUCAAAUACAUGAAGAAUCCAAGCUUUGGAGCACUUCAUAGCCCUUUCCAAAGCCAAUCAGAGAUGCAAGGAAGAAAACCAGAGGAAGAAAUCCAACAAUUAGCAUUUUCGCAUGGCUGUGCGAAAUUUCGCACACCAUGCGAAACCACAAGAGGCAGCCAAAGAAUUUUGCACACUAUGCGAAAUUUCGCAUGGUAUGCAAAAUCUUCUUGUGCACCAACUCCGUUAUAUUUUUAUCUCAAAUAUUUUGUGUAAUUUCCUAGUUUCUCCUUGUAACCAACCUAGAUAUUUUCUUUUAUAUAUUUUUUAGGUAACAUCAUCUAUAGGGGGAGAGACAUAAGGAGGAUAUGGAUGUUUUUCAUAGAACACUUGUAAAUUUCCGGUAGUAAGAAAUAUACAGAGCUUUUUGCUCUACCUUACCUUCUCAUUUUGUUUUCACUUGUCUUUCUAGCCAAACAACCUCUGAGGAUGAUUUCUUAGGGAAUGAGUGGCUAGGUUUUACGUUUCUUGGAGUGAGGGAAGCUAGGUGAAAGACCCGAAUGCUAAGGUGGGAGUUGUCCUUGCUUUAAAUGAAAGUAGUUGUUAAACAUUAAUGGUUUUUAUUUUAAGGUUUAGCUUUAAAUCCCUUAAAAACAUCUUGAAUGGUCAAUACUUGGUAGGCUUUUUGGAUUCUAUGGAUGCUUAUUGCUAGAUCCCUGGAUGUCUAUUAGUUAUCAUUUAUGAGCCAUUGGAAGGUGGUUCAAGAUGAGGGUCUUUAAUGUUUGAAGCCAUUAAUAGGAAACAAUUACCAUUCUUUCAUGAAUCCUUUGGAUCAAAUCUUAAUUGCUAAAUAUAAAACUAGUUCGGGAGAUAACCAUCCUUUAUGUUAUUAUGCCCAACGCGAGGAGAAGAUUCGGAAUCUUCCCCUUUGUCUAAGGAACCCGAUCCUAGUGACCUAAAGCUCUAAGAGACCUUUUCUUUAUAGUUAACUUCACUUAUUGUUUUUUCUUAACUUAAAAUCAAUCUUUGCAACCACAAUUCCAUUUUCUUUGAAAGCUAAUUUUCAUAAGGAAAAUCACCAUUUUAUUUUCUUCCCUAAGUCAACUGUACGAUGAAAACCCAUUCCCAUGGACGAUCCUAGAGCCACUAUACUAUGUUAGCUAUGCUACCCUAAUGUGAGGUGAUUUAGGUUUUAUAAAUUUUGUUGAUAACACCUGUUUGAGCCAGAAUCAAAUGGCGCAACUGAACCAGGGACGAAUCAACAACUUAUAUGGGAGGGACACAAGUUUAAUUGAUUUGCAUUUCAACGUUAUAUAUAGGUAUGUUUUGGAAGAUUUGUUCUGGAAAUACUGCACCAAGUACGAUUCUUUUUGUCUUGAGUGGGUCUACUUGCAUGCCAAUUAACGAGUGGAAAAGUAGGAGCACCUACCUCAUGCUCGCGGAACCGAAGGUCAGUGAAGUGGGGCUCCUUUUGGCCUCUUGUGUUUCUAUUCCAACCAAGGCGGCGUAAGGAAAAACAACAAUAUGUUUGUGCUAAAUAUCAACGCAUGAUAGAUGUUUUUGUUUUUUGGUAUGUCAAGGCUAAUGAAUGAAAUGCUUUAGCUUGUUUUGUGACUGGAACUGCAAAUGUCCAAAUUGGAGUAUCUCCAUUUCUCACUUCGGAUGGUUAACUUAUAAACAAGAUAUAGGAAACAUGUGAACAUCUUGAGGAACAAUUUGAAUUAUUCAUUAGAAGUCCUGGGUUGAGUUCCAAGAUUUAAAUUAGACCCCUCUAGCAGCUUCAGGGGUACCUAGCAACCUAUAGCAUAUUAAUGAAGAUUUAGGAUUUAGACUCUAGAAUACAAAUUAAUAUGUAUCUCAUGCUUUGACUAGCUUCCCUACAUAUGCACAAAAUGGAGAUGACCUAAAAAAAUAGCAGAAUCUAGCUUCCCUACAUAUGCACAAAAUGGAGAUGACCCAAAAAAUAGCAGAAUUUCCUUAGUUUCUGUGGUUAAGGUGAUUCUCCGCUUAAUAUCACAUUGACUCAUUAUGCAAAAUCAACUGAGCUAAUUUUGUUUAUUUAUUUAAUGUCAAAUAGGAACUCCUAAUUAACCUAACCCUUGGCCUGUGUAAAUUGAUUUCACAUGCCCAAUGUUGAAGUAGAAGUCCAUAUUUUGAAUUUUAUUUUUGUAAAGGUAAGGAAAAUGAAGCAUUGUGUAAUUAUAAAAAUAACUUCAUUGGAAUUCACAAGGUUCACCCAAAAUGGAGCUACAUCCGUAUUCUAUCCUGCAGUAGACUAUAUAGAUUGUACAAUAGUAAAUUGCAAAUACAAUUAAUAAGUCUUGUGCUUCCUUACUAAUAAUCCUUUGACAUGAACAUUGCAGCACUAAGGUCCUCUUGGGAAGACACCUUGCACCCAUGAGAGCACGAAGAGGAAGCAAGGCAGAGUCAUGGGUGCAAUGUCAUGACUUGUUGUUGCACCAAGAGAGGCUUGGUGAUGGCAUGGUGUUGCAGUAGCAAGAAUGUUGCCUUGGUAGGGACAUAAUCUAGGGAUAGAUGCCAAGAAAGGCUUAGCACUCACAUGAGUUGCACAAAGAUGAAUGUAAUAGAGCAUCAGAGAGACGUCUUGGCAAGUAAAUGAAUGGAUCCAAGAGGCAACAACAUGAGGAGUUUCAAAUGGAUAAGGAAUGAGUCAAAGACAUUUGAAAGCUACAAGUUGGAUUCUAAUUACGAUUGCAAUUUGAGUUUGAGUAGGAGUUUAGAUUCUGAUUGUAAUUGUAGUAUGAGUUGGACUAGGAUUGCUUAUCCCUAGUCAAAAUAGGAGUGGUUCGUGUCACACCCUAUGAAAAGAGUUUGAGUAGGGACUAGGAUUGCUUACUCCUAGUCAAAUAUGGAGUAGGUGGUGCCACACCUAUAAAAAAAAAGGGACAACAUGAGAGAGAGAGAGAGAGAGAGAGAGAGAGAGAGAGAGAGAGAGAGAGAGAGAAAGAGAUAAUGAAUUCACUAAAGAUAUUGUGGGAGUUUUUCUUUGUUACGUCUUGUAUUAUUACUUAGAAUAGGAAUAAAAUACAAGUUUGGGCUAGAGCCCCAUAAUUAAUCUCGUGUGCCUUUGUGGUUAUUCUUUAUUUGUCAUCUCGUGUGGAUUGGAUUACAUUGACUUAGAGGGCUUCUAAGCACCACCUUUGUGGGUUAUUAUUUAUUUUCCAUUUCUUGUGGAUUAGAUUAGGUUGACUUUGAGGGCUUUUAAGCACCACCUUUGUGGGUUAUUCUUUAUUUUCCAUAUCGUGGGGAUUGGAUUAGGUUGACGAUGAGAAAAAUUAUGUGGGAAAUUUGUGUUGGGACACUUAUCAUAACCAGGUAAAAUCUGCCAAGUCCUUUGUAAUAUCUUCAACAAAUAUUUCAGACUAGUUCUUCACCAUAAACAUCAUAUUGUGUUUUGUUUUUCUCCUGGAUUCUGAGUUGAAUUGUUUCAAGUCAAUUGAAUGCAUCUGAAUAUUAUUAGCUUGUUUGAAGGCCUGGUGAUUUUCCAUUUAACUUUACUUUCUUUAGGUUAUGCUCACUAUAAGAAAAAUGAGAAAUAAUGACGCUUUUUACGCGUUAAGAAAGGCAACAGAUGAUGCUUCUCUAAAGCGUCCUCUUCGGCUCUGUCAUUAUAUGUGUUAGCCAAUAAUGACGCUUCUAGGAAGUGCCAUCUUUGAAUAAUGUUAAUAACGACACUCGUAAAAAGUGUCAUCUUUAAACAUAUUCUGGUCAAAUAAUUUUUACAAAAUUAGUAAUCUUCAAGCCGUUUCUGAAUCAUAUCUGAGCCUAUUUCUGGGGACCAGAAAACCAUCUUUUUUCCAUUCGCCUGAGAGGUCUGAUUAGCAUUUCUGGAAUCAAUCUCUAAACCCAAGCUUCCCUCAUCUACCCAUUUAACCCUCAUGCCCUCCUGUUUGAACAACUUUCCCACUAUAUACACAAAUUUUUUACCUUCUGUUGUUGGUAUUCGACCUCUUCCCAUUCCCAGCACAGAAUCCACCAUUAGUGCCACUUUGUGAAUAAAAUCAUCGAACCAGAUCUUUCGGGCGGAAGAUGAGCUCCAGAGAAAUAAAAUUUUUGGGGUCUUCCCAGCAUGAAAGUCAUAGGUAGCAUUAAUGACAUCAAGAAAUGGGGCACUGUUGAGAAAAAACAUGUUCCCAUCAACCACCCAAGAAUUGUACCAGACUCCAAACACUUCUGGAUUACAUAUGCCUUUACUAAGAUAUAUUUCUUGAUCUCCAUAUCAGAAUCUUGGAGACUCUUCAUUUUAUGAGCUCUGACACUACUGUGAAAUUGGUCCACAUCAAUCACAGGAUGACCCCUUCUAGCAAGAUCAAGCAGGAAGUCUGAAUUCGGGCCCAUAAAAAUGUAGUUCUGAAUAUUGAAACUCUCAAAGUGGCACAACAAAUUCCUUAUGACUCUUUCAGAUGCUCCAAACAGGCUCACAAGUAUAAUGGUAUCCUGUUUUUGCACAGAGUAAAGAAAAUAUCCGAGUUCUUCAAAACUCCUUACAACUAUUCCAGGAUGUACUUCUUUGAAACAGAAAUCGUACCACUUUAGCUUAGUCAGAGGUUGAAUCUAAAAUAACAAAACCCAAACUGAAAUCAAAAUCGAAAUCAACCCUAAUAGAUUUCAGAAACAACAAAUUAAAAGAGUAAAGCACAAAAGGGGGAAAACACAUAUGAAGCAAUCUCCAUACAAGCCCUAACCUUAGAUAAACCCAAAAAAAAAAAUCAAAGCAGAGAGUUACCAUAGAGCAUCUCUGUUUCAAGCUUAGAAAAUGUUUAAUGCCAUUGAUAACUAGUUGGCUAGUGGUGGACUUCAAGCUUCUCUAUUUCGGUGUUAGUAGCUCUCAAUGGCUAUGGUGAGAACAAAGAAAUGAGAGGCUUAGGGUUUGGGAUGUGAGGUUAUUGAUGAUGAUGAGGAUAAAGUUAUGGGCUCUUGGAGGGGUUAGGGAAAUUGAAGAUGGCUGAGAGUAAAGGCUAGGGUUUUUGAGAUAGUUAAUAGCUUUUUAGGGUGUGACUGUCCAUAGAUAGAAGAUAAAUGAGGGUGUGAGAAUUUAUAGAUCUCUAGGUGAUAUGGCGGGUGUGAGAAUGAAAUUUUAGAGGGAAUUGUGUGUUUGGUAGAAAUUUCACACAUGCAUAUAUAAUGUUUCAGAACAUGGCACUUUAAAAAUACGACAAGGAAGAAAUUAUUUAUUGACGCUUAAAUAAAGCGCCAAGGUCUCCAACAUUUUUGCAAUCAAUGACGUUUGUAAAAGGUGCCAUUGAAUAGGAGUGCCAUUGCUUUCCCACAAAGCAUCAUUGUUAAUCAAGCCUUUAAAAAACGCCAAGAUAUGUUGCCACUUAGGUUAAAUAUUGACGCUUUUAAAAAACGCCAAGGAAAAAAACGUCAUUAUUCAUGUUUUUUGUAGUAGUGGCUUGAUUCCUAAAAAGUAAAGGAAAGCAAAAAGUAAAAAAAUAAAAAUGUGGAGAGUUAGGACAUGCGUUAUCUAAUUGUCCUAGUCCCAAAUAUAUUAAGAAAGUCAUGUAGGUUACUUGGAGUAACGAGUCAAGUAAAGCAAGCCUUCUAGUGUUUAAGACAUUAGAUAUUACCGAACUGAUUAUGUCAUUAAUGUAUUGCAUUUGUUGUUUCUAAUAUAUAGAAGAAGAUGAAAUUAUUGGAAUAAGUGGGAAAUAGGAAUAAAUCCAAGGUACCAAAAAGUCACUUUAUCUUAGAUGUUGUUGGAAACAUAAGUGAUUUCACAAUAACGACUAUGAGACAAUCAAGGAUUAAUAAGAUAGACUUUAUAUGAUAUACCUCCCAAUUAGAGCCUAAAAAUAUGGAUGAAGCACUUAGAGAUGAAUCUUCAAUUUUUGUACUAUAGGAAGAAUUAAAUCAAUUUGUUAGCUAUUCUUUGGAUAUUUGAUUCAUCACAAGCUACAAAUCACUUUUGAUGACCAAACACGAAACUAAGAGGAUUGGGCCCAAUUCGAUGCCUAUCAACAAUGAUUUGUAUUCCACCUCAUUAAUUAUUCAAAGUUGGGAAGCUAGGUCUAACCACUUUCUCUACCUGUUCACCCUUAGAGGAGCAGAAGAAAAUUCUAACUUUGGUGCCUAAUGCCUUUGACAAUCUUUCGACAAAGAGAGUUCACUAAUUACUUUGAUUAUUUCUCUGUUGGUCACUGGGGGACAAGACUUUUGUAAUGAAGUCAACUAGAACUUGCCCUUUGAGGGCCAUUCAUGGACGAUAUUACACCAUGAAUUCCCUUAGGUCAUGUUUGGUAUGUGAGAAUGAGGAGUGGAAUGGACAUCUUAUUCAUUUUUUCAUCUAUUCAAAUGUUGGGAUAACUCAAGUGACCAUGAGAAUGAAAUCAAGAAUGAUUCAAGGGAAAUGAAAUCUUACUUAUAAGUGUGAUUUCAAUUAAUCUCUAAUAGAAAUUAUUUUGAAUCAAUAGUGCAAGUUAUUUUUAAAAACAUUUUUCCAAAAUUAAAAAAAUCAAUUUUUUUUUUUUCGAUAAGUUGUUUUUAAAAGGAUUUUUUUUAUUUUGUAAAAAGAAAAUUGUAAUUCAAUUUAUAUAAUAUAAACUAAAUUUUAUUUUAUUCAAAAAGAAAUAAUUUUUUAAUUAUAAAUAAAUUAAAAAUAAAUACUUUUAAUAAAAUAUAAAUAGUAUUAUUAUAAUAAAAUCAUAAAUAAAUUUAAUUUUUUUUAUAAAUAUUAUAAAAAUAUGGAUAUUAACAUUGGAUAAUUGAUUUAUUUUGUUAAAAUAAAAAAUAAUAAUUUUUAAUAUUAUUUUAUGUUAAAUGAAUUUUAAAAUAAAGAAAGUUUAAUUAUUUUAAGGUAUAGAAGAGCCAAAUUUUGCAUUACAUACAUAACAAACAAUAUUUAUUAGAAACAUUUCUCAAGGAGAAUCUUAUUCCAUCUCACAAAGAUACUCGUUUAUUCGAUGUUUGACCAUCCGUAACAAUCAUGUCAAUUCUACUGAUUUAAUAAUUCCUUUACAUUUAUUACUCACUUAUGAACAUGGUAUUGUGAUUUAUUUAUUUAUUUGAUGUAUAAUUAAUUAAUCAAUUUUUUAAAUUUCAAAUUAUUUUUAAAAACUAUUCAUUAAGGAAUUUAAAGCAUUAAUUAUGUCUAUUAUUUUUUAUAGUCAUUAUAUAUAUAUUGAGUUUUAAUUUAUUUUUAAAAAUUAUUAAACUUAUUAAUAAAUUCAAUAUAAAGUCUCGUUUCAUUUGAAAUUCAUUUCUUUAGUGAAAAUUUUGAAAAAAAAAUUGUUAUUUAUUUUACUUUGUUUUAAAAAAAUUGUUUCUAGAGAACAAUAAUCAAAUAAUGGUAUGAAUUUUUAAAAACAAUUUUGUUUUUAAAUCAUAUGCCCAAAUAAUUUUUUUUUAUUUAGCAAAAAACUUUGUUGUAGUAUGUGGCUCAUAUUGAGGGAAAGACAUAUAUGGAGAAAAAUGUGCAAAUGUUGGAGUGGAGCGGAGUGGAAUGACGACAUUUGUCAUUCAAACUUGUAUUUUUAUUGUUAAGGGUGACCGAUAGGUUGGUACGGUUUAGGGGUAUUUUUGGAAUUUCAUUACCUGAGGGUUAGUAUAAAUACCAUUUUAUGUAACCCUAAUUUUACAUAUAAUGUAAGUUUUCUUCCUUGUUCUUGUGGACAUAGGCAAUCCGUCGAACCACGUUAAAUCUGUGUGUUUUUUUUUCUUUUUUCUUUUUCUCUAAUUUCUUCACCAGGAAUCGUUACACUAAGAUCAACAAACUCUCAAAGAUGAUUUUUAAAAUGAAAAAAAUAAUGUAUAGUGUGAGAAUUUUUUAUUUUUUAUUUUUUUAAAAUGAAAAUAAAAAAUUGCUUUAAGGUAAAAGUGUGGAUAUUAUUGUUAAUUUAUUUCAUUUUUCAUUUUCAUUUCCAUUGUUACCUACAAUUGAAAUGGAAACAACUAAUCAUUACAACCUUACAUUCUUAUAUGCAUCCAAAUACAAAAAUUGAAAUCACCAAAUUCAUAUUCAAGGCAAAAUAGGAAUGAAAACAAAUAUUCAUUCUCAUUCUUUAUUCCCACGUGUCAAACAUGACCUCAAAGUUAUAAACAUGAACAAGAAGUCCUUGAAACACCAAUGAUCUCUUCUGGUAUAUAUAUGAGCUUGAUUGACAACUGUUUUAAAUACAGUUUUUUUUUUUUUUGUUUUCAAAAUCAAAACAAAUUUAUUUUUAUUUUUUAUAAAUAGUAGUUUUUUAAUAUUUUUUUUAAACCUUAUUAUGAAAAUAGGAUGUUUUCUAAUAUCAUAUUUUAAUUAUUUUCAAUUAUUUUCCCUUCUUUUAAGGAGGGCUAUUUUAAAAAUAUGAAAAAUGAUACAAAAUAAAGCAUUACAAAUAAAAAUCAUUUUUAAGAAAUAUAUGAAAAUAAUUUGAGAACAUUUGAAGUUCCUUAAUUAAACUUUUGUUCUAGAAAAUGCAAGAAAACUGUUUUUGAAAAUUGUUUUCAUAAUGAUAUGCAUUGAUCGUUUAAAAUUUAAUUACAUGAUAAAAAGACCUAUGUAAAAACCAGAGUUAUAUAAUCAGUCAUAGAUCAAAUCUACUAAAUAUGAAAAGUAAGUACAUAGUUGUAUAUGACUUAGAUGGAGCCUUCUCCGAAUGACAUUCUUUAGUCGGUACUCAUAUUUUUUUGUUUCGUGUCUUCAACAUAACACCUCAUGAUCCUUAAUAAAUCACCUGAAAACUAUAUUAGCACCUUAUUGUUUAAUAUUUCUCUAAAUUUUUUUAUUAAGCAAAUAAAUUCCAAAUUUAAAAUGACAAAUAAAAUUUAUUAAUUUUUAAAAAUAAUUUAAAACUCAAAAACCAAUUUAAUUGAUAUUAAAAGUCAUGAAACUUAAUAAUAUUAGAAAGUCAUGUAUCCAAAUUUAUUUUAAAUGACUUGUUUAAUUUCUUGUUUAUAUAUAUUAUAUUUUUAUAAUUUUUUUUACUAUACAAAUAAAUUUUAAAUUAAACAAAACUUAAUGCGUUGAAUUCAUUAACGAGUCUAAUAAUUUUUAAAAGUUACUUAAAAUUUAAAUACUAAAUCAAUUAGUACCACAAAUUCAUGGAAAAAAAUUGAUUUAUUACUACUAUAUUGUUUCUCUAUUGCAUAGAACCAUUAUUUUUCAAUUUUUUCAUUUGGCAAAUGAACAUCAAAUUAAACAAGACUAAGUGUAUUAAAUUCAUUAAUGGGUCUAGUAAUUUUUUAAAAUAAUUUAAAAUUCAAAUAUUGAUACUCCAAAUUAAACAAGACUUAGGUGGUGUUUGUUUUUUGGUUGAAUAGAAAAAGGUAAAAUAUUUGACUUUUUCUAUUUAGUUAAAAGUAACUUGUUGACAUCGUCCAAUAUAAUUAAAGUAAACCUAUUGAGGGCAAGUUCACUUUAAUUAUGUUGGACGAUGUCAACAGGUUACUUUUAACUCAAUAGAAAAAAUCAAAUAUUUUGACUUUUUUUUUAACUCAAAUAAUAAAUCCAUUAAUACAAAAAAAUUAUGGAUAAUUUGAAACUUUCUUUCUUUUUUUUUUUUUUUUUGCUACACAUAGCUAUAUUUUUAUAAAUUUUAUCAUUAGAGAAAUGGAUUUCAAAUCAAGUGAAACUUUGUAUUGAAUUAAUGGAUUUAACAUUUUUUAAAAAUAAUUUGGAACUAAAAAAAAAAGAUUUAAUUACUAAGAAAAUCAUAGAUCAAAACUAAUAUAUUCUGAUCCAUGAUUUUAUUAUUUUUCCUAUACAUACAAUUAUAUUUUUAUAAUUUUCUCACUAGGUAAAGAUAUUAUAAAUUAAGUGACACAUAAUUAAUAAUUUAAAUUUUUGAAUGAAUCUUUUAAUUUUAGGAAUAAUUUGAAAUUUAAAAAGUUGAUCCAAUUAAUUGUAAAUUAACUUAAAAUAUUAUAAAAUAUUAUGUUCAUAAUUAAGUACUAAAUGUAUAUAUGUAAUGAAAACUUAACUAGUUACAUGUUACAAAAGCCAAAAUUUAUUCAUUCUUUAUUUUAAAUAAAAUAUUAUUAAUAAUUAUUUUUUUUAAAAUAAUAUUUAGUAAUUAUUGUUUUUAAAUUAUUAUUAUUAAUUUUUAAUAAAAAAAUUGCAAAGUUAUUAAUAUCAUUAUAUUUCUAACAUAAAUUUAAAUAGUAUAUUUUUUAAUAUAUAUAUAUAUAUAUAUAUAUAUAUAUAUAUAUAUAUAUAUAUAUAUAUAUAAUUUAUGAUUUCAUUAUAAUAUUUUUAUUCAUGAUUGACGAAAAAUUAUUUAUUGUUUAAUUUAUUUGAAUUGCAAAACUAUUUUUCAAAAUUCAAGCGAGAAAAUAGGCCUGGAUUUGAAUUUCCUGUAGAAGAGAAGGAUGUGGAGAAUAUGUUGGGAGUAUUUGUGGAUAAAGAAAAGGCCAGGGUACUGAGAAAGGAGAGAGAACUUGCUCUUGCCAAAAGAGCCCUGCACAGGUAUUCUACUGAUUCUAAUUAUCGGUUCUUACAUGAUCAGAUUUCAGAUUUAUUUGCUGAGCUUCUGAAAUCUGAUACAGUAUUUAAACUCCGGUGAGCUUUACAAGAUUAGUCUCGCAUCCAAUUCCAAAUGGUGUCCCACAAUUGAUUCUUCUUAUGAUAAAUCCACCUUGAUAUGUGAAAAUAUUGCUCGAAAGGUUUAUCCUCGCGAGGAAUAUCCAGAAUACUAAGGAAUUGAGGAGGCUCACUAUGUUUAUAGAGUCAGGGAUAGGUUGAGAAAACAAGUAGUUGUUCCAUUACAUAAGGCCCUGGAGUUGCCAGAGGUUUUCAUGUGUUCGAACAAGUGGGGAUCACUUCCCUACAACCCUGUGGCUUCAGUGGCCAUGAAAUCAUACAAGAGCCUCUUCUCAAACCAUGAUACAGAGCGGUUUGGUGAGUAUCUUGAGAAAGUGCAAACUGGGAAGGCUAAGAUUGCAGCUGGUGCAUUACUUCCCCAUGAGAUUAUAGCUUCAUUGAAUGAGGAGGAUGCCGAGAGAGUUGCCGAGCUUCAGUGGGCAAGAAUGCUGGAAGAUUGAUCAAAGAAAGGGAGGCUCACAAAUUGCAUUGCAGUAUGUGACGUAUCAGGAAGUAUGAGUGGAACUCCAAUUGAGGUGUGUGUGGCUCUGGGGCAGUUAGUUUCAGAGCUCAGUGAAGAUCCAUGGAAAUUAAGGUAAUGUAAUUACUUUCAGUGCAAAUCCUGAGCUUCACAAGAUCCAAGGAGACAGCCUUGUAUCCAAGACUGAAUUUGUGAGGAUGAUGGAAUGGGGUGCCAACACUGACUUUCAGAAAGUUUUGACAGAAUCUUACAAGUAGCAGUGGAGGGAAAUAUGAGUGAAGAUCAAAUGAUAAAGAGGGUUUUCGUUUUCAGUGAUAUGGAGUUCGAUGAAGCUUGUGGGAGGUAUAACUAUUGUGACUAUGACUAUGAUAUGGAGGAAAUUGACGAGAGUCAGAAGGCAUCUCAGAAGUGGGAGACAGAUUAUGAAGUGAUACAGAGGAAAUUCCAGGAGAAAGGAUACAGAAAAGUUCCAGAGAUAGUGUUUUGGAACCUUAGAAACUCAUCAGCGACUCCAGUGACGGCCACAGAGAACGGGGUGGCCUUAGUAAGCGGGUUUUCAAAGAAUCUGUUGACCUUGUUUUUGGAAGGAGGUGGAAUUCUGAUCCCUCAGGAUGUGAUGGAAUUCGCCAUCUCUGAUGAAGAUUACAAGAAACUUGUUCUAUUUGAUUAAGAUAUCAAGAGAUUUAUCAAUAAUAAUAUAUUUUUUUUCUAUGUGAAAUACAUAUAAUAUUAACUGUGGAGUUAUCAAAGUUCUGGAGGUUUAAUUAUUUCUUCUUUUCAAGUUUUGUUUAUUUAAGGUUUUCUUUGUCUUUGUUAGGAAUUCCCCUUGGGUGGACCCAGCUGGGGAGUUGGAUUGAGGAAGUAAGCAGGCGAACUUGUGUUCUUCUAUGGACAGAGAAAAAAAAUAAAAUAAAAAAAUAAAAAAGGAGGUUAUUUGCAUUUGGAUGUCGUGGUUUGAGGGUACAACUACAAGCUCGAAAUUGUACAUAAUGUGAAAACUCCUGUGUCCAUUGCUGAGAACAGCAUAAAUGAUGGUGAUUUUCAAGUUGUGCCUGGUAUUCUACAGGAUGAAACAAGAAAGGAUCCAGGUGGUAUAUUGAACAAUAUCCCAAUCAUGUUGGUGGCAUCUUUAUUUAGUUAAUGGUAUUCAUUUGGUGGAAGCUGGUUGUUUAUGAUGUUUUUAAUUUUUUUUAACAUGAAGUUCGAUCAAAUACGUAUCUUAGUAUGUUUUGUUUGAGCUAAUUGGCAAAUGCGCUUUAAACAUGGUCACAUGGAUGCAGUUUUAUUUGUGAAAUGAUAAUAGUCGAUUACUUGGUCAGUAAGGUUUAUAUCUCUAACUUCAACAUCUUAUUGUAGUCUUUUAAAAUGUCAAAAGUUUAAUGCUUGAGAAAUUUUGGAAUGGAGACAUUCUAAACAAAGUUAAUAAUCCACAAGACUUGGUAAAACCGAUCAGAUGAUGCUUACGUACAUCAAUGCCUUCUUUAAGCCAUAUCCUAUUUUCAUUGAACGGGAUGUGCCAUCUAGUUUGGUUCUUUAAGCCUCCAAAUCCUAAACCUAGUCUCAAUUUAGAGCAAAUUUAGGGUGCAGGGCCUGCAUGCCUCCCCCUCCCCCUUCCACAAAUAGUAGUGACCUUGCUAUGCCUAUGCAUUGUCAAUGCCUCAUUUUCUAUGGUCUCCAAUGUAAUAUCUUAGUUUCAAUGUCUCUUUCCUUACUAUCUCCAAUGCAAUAGAUUGAUUUCAAUACCUCUUUACAACUAAGACCUCCAAAUUUUCUUGGUUCAAACCUACCAGAAUUUUUCUUCUCCUUUGCUUUCUAUCAAUAUUAGUUCCCCUAAUUUAAUAUAUACUUCUUUAUUACCUUCAACUCUACCUCUCUUUCUUUCUCUAAAAGCUUCCUCAAAGAUUUAAUUGCUUUCUUGCAUGUUUUAAGAAAACAAACAUGCUCAUAUUACAUUACCUCUACUUGAGAUCUACCUUAUACUCUACCUUCUUUCUUUACCUCCUAUAUCAUCUACUACAUUAGCUUCAAAAAUAUUAUUUAGUUUGAUACUAAAUAAGGCUCCUAAUCCUACUCUUCCUUCAACAAACUUUCUUUUUACAAGUUCCUUAAACUUUAUUUUUUAUUUUUUAUUUUUUGGAAAUUCGGGUUAGAAAGAUUCCAUUACUCUUACCUAAUAUUUCAACCAUCAAGUUGAAUCCACUUAUUGCCUAAAUCCAAGGAGUCUGCCCUCCACAAAAACAAGGAAAUUGAUCCCACAAUAACAAGGAGAUUGCCUUCCACAGAAACAAAGAGAUCUCCCUUCACAGAAGCCGAAUACAUUGCAAUCUAUUUUCUUUCUUGUAAGAUCAAAUCUUCAAUCGAGCUCCAUCUUAUGGGGGCAUAUUAGAGAAAUUUAAUAUUAUCCUUAAUUUACAUAUUAAUAUUUAUCUAUUUAUUAUAUAUUGAAUUAAAAUAGAAUAUAGAAUUUGAAUCAUAGUAGAAGUUUACUAUAAGAUUGAAUUACAAUAGUUAAUAGAGUUUAAAUUAUAAUAACUCAAAUACAUUUAUAUAUAUUUGACCUUACGAGAUUUUCUAUUUAUGUAUUUGAACUACAAUCCUUAUGAUCCUUAGGUCUCUAUACCUUCGUGAUGGGCUCCUUGACAUUUCAUAGGUUGUGCUACACAUGCAUUUGAAAUUUAGAGUGCAUUUGACAGUGAUUCUGGGAAGUGUUUUUGGCAUUUCUAACACUUAAAAUUUUUUAUUUUUCAAGUAUUAGAAAUGCUACAAACACUUUUGAAAAUUACUGUCAAACACACUCUUAGGAGCGCAUAUAGUAGAAAACUAGAAAUUGUGGUUUUUUUAGGAUUUACUGUAAUGUCAUUAGGAGGGUAGUAAGUUGAAACUGAGUAUGAAUAAAUAUUUCUUUCUUUGGGAUGUUCUUCUGGUAGGUGCUGAUGAAACUGUUCUUUUUACUGCCAAUGUCACAUAUCAGCCAGAAAUUGAAAAUUUCAGUCAAGGUGUCCUCGGUUUUAGUGGUGAGGAAAGCUAGAAAUUUUAAGGUGAAGUUCUGUUAAAAACCUUAAGUAGCUGGGAUAUCAGGCCUGUUUUGCUUGAAAAAAAAAGUUGCAAGAUAACUCAUAUGCCAAACAGGUUCUGAUAUUGUGAAUCUAUCGGCAGACAUCAGUAAUCUCAUCUUCUGAGAUGGAUGUUGGGGGUGCAUGUGGUGGUGGAGGGGCAAGGUUUCAUUUGGUUUAUUUUGUUGAUGGAUAUUGUCUAGCCCCCUGCGCCAAGUUUGAGGGGUGGUGGGUUGUGAUGGCCCUACAAUUACUAUUAAUUUCUUCCUCUUUUACCGAUUAAAGUGUCCGAACAGUCGAAGUUACCCUUAUGCAUGUCAACUUGAUCACUUACCUCUUCAAUGGAGUUUAUGCUGGUUCAUUUAGGAACUGAUUUUUAUUGUUAUGCAUUCUAUGCUGAUGUUUAGGCCUCUCCAUCAUCACUAUAUACAAAAAUUCUAGGUUGAUACUAUAGGUUGAGAUUUAUUUUUUAAAUAAAAAAUAAUAAAAAUAAAAAUUAUGGUGAUGUUUAGUUGUUUUAUGGAAAAUUUUAACAAGUUAUUUUUGGGCAAGUUUUCAAACAAAAAGAAAAGUAAAAGUUGUUUUGACAAAAACAUAUAGAAAAAAAAAAUCAUAGAAAAGAAAUAAUUUCCCCAUAUUCUAACUUUUUUUAAUUUUUCUCAAUGGGCAAAGGAAUAUCAAAUCAAGUUUGAGUAGGAUUUCUUAAUUUUUAAAAUAACUUACAAUUAAAAAAUUUUGGUGUUUUCAUUUUUGGACAAUUUUUUAUUAAGCAAAUGGACUCUGAGUCAUGCAAGAGAUAUGGUUGAUUAAUGGGUCAAACAAUUUUUUUAAAAUAAUUUAAAACUCAAAUACAUAAUCAAUGUCACAAAAUUUAUAAACAAAAAUAGGUUUAGAGAAGAUCUACACAUAAUUUUACUUUUCUAAUUUUAUUUUAUUUUAUUUUUUUGUUGGAAAAUAGUCUUCAAAUCAUGUAAGAUUUAAUAGGUUAAAUUUGUUAACAAUAAAUUUUAAAUUAUAAAAUAUAAUCUGGAACUUAAAAAUCAAUUCAAGUAAUGCUAAAAAAAAUCAAAUUUGGUAUAGAAUGACUACGUAAAAUUUUUUACAAAACAAAUGAAUUUUAAAUCAAGUGAGAUUUAAUGCAUUAGAUUUUUAUCAAAUAUAGUAAUUUUAAAAUUUAAUUUGGAACUCAACAAUAGACACAAUAAAUACCAAAAAAUAAUGAACCAAAAUUGGUUUGGAAUAACUCCACAACCUCUUUUUUUUUUUUUUGGUGCACACGAAUUUUCUUACUAGGUAUAUUGCUUUCAAAUUGAGAAAGAUUUACUAUUUAGAUUUUUUUUUUUAAUGAGUUUAAUGGUAUUUUAAAAUAAUUCAAAAUUUCAAAAAUUGACUAAUUACUAUUAUAAAUUCAUAAACCAAGACUAAUUCAAAAUGCAUUGGGGGCUAAGGGGGUUGAAAAUAGGGACAAUGGGAUGGGUUUGGGACAUGACACUCAUAUCUCAUUUCCAUUCCAAUUACAUAGUUAUCUCCCAUCCUUAUCCCAAACUUGUGUUGGAGCAAGUUGAUUUGUUCCCAUCUUUGUUGAUGAAAUGACUAAUAACCUCAUCCCCUCCUUAUCUUAGAUGUACAUUUUGUCAAAUUUGAUCAGGUAUGAUUGAUCCAAGCCCUAACCCUAAUUGGUAAUGACUGGAUACUACACCUAAUUGCAUUCUUCUUUCGUCGCAAAAUAAUGAGAUUAUAAUAAUCUAGCAAAUAAGAAAAAAUAGUAUGGAAGUUCAAUUUAACACCAUAACUAUCAAUAAUUUUAAGCUUAUAGAUGACUUAAAUGAUUAAAAACUAAUGCAAAAUACCAAAAAAAAAAGUUCAUAUAAAGAAUUCACAAGAGAACAAAAUGAACAAAAACCAAAUAUGAACAUGGGUCAACAUUAGUUAUGGAUUUGGAUUCCUUUCAAGGCCAAUCUUUGAACCAAGACUUCAUCAAAUCUACUACUUCAAAGGCUUUUGUGUUCUUCUUGGGUUGUGCUCUCAAACAAAGACUUCAAGGUGAUGCUCUAGAUGAUUGCAUUACACAUAUUUAGGGUGGAGAGAUUGGAGAAGCUUGAAGAUGCCAACGAUGGGUACAAUUGAGUGGUCAAUAAGAACAAUGUAGCCUAUGACUAGUUUGAUGUCGUGGUACAAGAGUUUUAGGCAUUGAGGUUAAAGCAAGAGCAACAUGGAAUUGAUUUUGGAGUCUUUCAAUUAGUGUAAAGGAGGAAGAAGUGGUAUUGAUUCUAGAAAUAGGGUUUUAGGUGGUGCGUUAGAGGAUGAAGAAGAAGAAAAAGAAGGAUCUGUUGGAAUUAGUGUGAGUGUGAAGAGAGAAGUAUAUAAAUAAGGGGAAGUAAAAGCAAAGUUCUAAAAGCUAUAUUUUUUUUUAUUGUUGGUGUAUGGUUGCAUGAUUAUCCCUAUAAAUAAUAGGAGUUUUUUUGGUAUUCUACUAGUAGUUGAAGGAUAAUUUCAUAAAUUUAUAUUUAGAGUGGGGUGGGGUGAGUUGUGACAAAAUUCAUACCCGUCCUAAACCUUGGUUCAGAUUUUUAAAAUAUCCUCAAACUUAUCAUAUACCCAACUUUUAUAUUUCAUACUUGUCUUGAUAGAGGCAGGUUAGGCCGGGUUACUUGAGUAACCUACAUAAUUGUCAUCCCUAGUUGAAAUACACUUUUUUGGCAGUGGCCACCAACUGAGCUAGAAGCUUGAUCGAUUGACCUACAAGAUUAGUUCUCAUCAUUUUAAAAAAAGUUUUGGCCUUGGUUGUGAGUGCAAUUGAAUCUAAACUGGCAUUUCCUUAAUGCAUCUACUUCAAUCCUAAAUUUCUUACUUCCUAAGCCUCAAUUGUUGUUAGGAUUUUGGAAAGCCCAUUUCCUUAAAUUGUAAAUUUAAGAAAAAAUAAAAUAAAAGUGAGACAUUUCUUGAUUGAAUAUUGUUAAAGGUCCCUUGGCAUUAAGACUUGGUUGAAGCCUUGGAAGAUUAGUGGAACUCUCAACUUGUGUUUGAAUCUUGAGGAGAGUGGACGUAAGCCAAAAUUUUGUCAAACCAUUAAACAAAUUGAGUUUGAAUCCUCAUUUCUUGAUUUCUUAUUUAUUUGCUUUUUCUUAUUAUUACUUGAAUUGUCAUUUGCAUUCAUUAAUGUUAAAAUUGGUUAUAAUUAACCAACACUAAUUCUCUUUCCCCUUCCCUUUCUUGGGUGUAAACCUAGGUUGGAUUAACUAGAUUAAUUUAUAAAAUCUAUUAAGAUGGUAAAAGAAUAAUUAUUCUUAACACACAUAAGAUCAUCUUCAAUCAAAUGACUCAUUGGCUAAUAUGUUGAAUUUGCUUAUUACUUGCAACUCAAAAUUGUGUUCUAGUUGAUAUGUCAAGUCCCCAGUGUAUGGACAUUAAAUUUGUAGUACGUGAUGGUAAUUAGAUGGUCCAACUCCAAGAAAGUGAUUGAAAACUAGUUCAAGAAAGGUGCAAAAGGGAAUUGUUUUGGUAUUUUCGUUUUUAUUCUUGAAGGUGGCAGAGCUAAAAUUUGUGAAAUCAAGCAAAACAUACUGAAAUUACAUUGAAAGAAAGAAAAUGGGAGUUAAUGUCUUGCAGUAGAUGAUAAGGACUUCAUGCAUGUAGUAUGACCCAUGUCUUGGACUGAUGCCAACUCACGGUUACACUUAUACCCUUGGUUCUCUCUUUACUACCUUGGCUAACCUAGAUCAGGCUAUGAGAUAGGCUCCUCACCACACCAUUACUUGCCCAUUAAUUAGAGACAUUUUCAAGCACUGAGGUAACAUGGUGACACCAAGAGGGUUUAUUCCUCGCCCUCCUCGCCCUCAACAAGUCUAGACUUGGUCUCAAAAAAAUGGAGAAAAAUGAGGUGUCGUUAUGUAGAAAUACAACAACCAUGCCUUCCUCAUUACUUUGAUUCAGAAUGUGAAGGUGAAAUUGAGAAACAGAAACUCUUGAAACCAAAAUGAAAAUUGAUACUUUUACGAAGAAUUACAACAACAUUGGAGGAAGACUACAUUCUUCCUCUUUAUUCCUACAUUUCUACACUACUUCUACUCCACUCCAUAUUUCUACAUACAUCUUUAAUCAGUCUUCCCUCCUUUAUAUAGAGCCAUCUUCACACAAAUUCCGCAAGGUAGAAAAGAGGAAUGAAACUUGGAGCAAGGUUCGACUACUGGCUGUAGCUUGUCAAGGCUGGAAGUGAACCUUUUUUCUUGGCUUUUCUGGGCAUGGGUAGUAACUUGUGGGUUCCUUUUUGGGAUACAAAUGGCUAGAACAUGUGGCACUAUCUUGUUGGAUGAUGUGUCAAGCAUGUGGCAGCCAUCUAGUGGCGAUUAUGUCAAUUUUGGGAUGGAGAGUUGGCAUCCAAUUGCAAAGAAAUAUGACGUCUACCAACAGGCAAUGUAAACCUAUGUAGAUCAUAUGAAGAUAGAGAGGAAAAAUAUAGAAAUGGAUAUAUACCUAGAACUAGCUUUUUAUUAAAUGAAACGGAGAGCCAACAAUGAAGGAAAAUAAAUUUUUUUGGCUUAUAUCAAAGAGUUCACAUUGUGCUACCCUAGGUUUUCUUAAAACUUACUUUUAUGAUAACAAAAAAAAAAAAAAACAUUAUUGUUUAAUCCUUUGUUUUAAACGCAUGUUUAGCAAGUUAUAAAAUGUAAAAAUCUUUCUAAGUUCAAAUAUGAAGAUAUGACAUCAUUUCAAGCAAGAUAGUCUCUAGGAAUUAAUGUAAAGCUAAAUUAAGGUGAAAUUAAAUUAGUUCAAUGCAUUAAUUUAAGAAACUUGACCUAUCAAAAGUACAAAAUUAGAUGAAAUCCAUUUCAAUGGUUAAAAUGAUCAAAAUCAAACUUUUUCUAAGUAUUUUUUAAAAGUAUCAAUAUUGAAAGACAAUUUUAUAUUUAGUCAGAGUUUGGACAAAACCAAAAAGCACACAAAAUCCAAGCGACCAUCUCUAGCUUGGAUGGUCGCUUGAUCUCUAGCUUGUGUACUUGGAAAGCAACAUCGAGAUGAUAUAUAUAUAUAUAUAUAUUUUAUAUAAUAUUGUUUGUCCAAAUUCCCUAAAAAUUAGGCCACCACAUGUUCAUAAUUCUCCCUUCUUGAAUUUGAAAACUCGGACAAUUGGACAAUGCGACACCUAAGUCCGGUUUCUAAAUGCUAAAGUGAAAGGGUAGGUAUGGACCAUUGAAAUGUGAUCACAACUUUUCUCUGUAGCCAUGUUGUCUCUUUUUUCUUUUGCAUGAUUUUCUCACCUUAACAGAAUCAUAGACUUGUUUAAUCUCUAAAUGGGAUUAAUUUCAUCCAGCUUUAAGCUACUAUAUUAUAUCUAGGUGGAGGACUUUUAAGAGUGCAACCGACAUAGAGCACAUGCAAGUGGGUAUAUGGGACAUGAAAUUUCUUCUUAUAAAGAUUGCAUGAUUUUUAUAUUAGAGUUGUUGGGGCGCAAUGUAUGUAGCUUGUUUUGCAGUUAAAUUAAUUGGAUAAGUAGACAUUGGCGUUUCUAAAUCUACUGUGAAGUGCUUCAUGUACGUGUGAAGUAUUAGAAAUUUCUUUCUUGGCAACUUGUUUUUUCUUUGCGGUCUACUGAUAGGUUUGACUAAAAUUAUAUUCCCUGUCAUGCUAAUUAAUUUUCACGUGCAUGCUCAAAAGAAGAGUAUGACCUUAGUGCACCAAAAUCACUUUGAUUAAUUUGUGAUAGGUUUUUGUGCAUCAUGACAUUAGCCUUAUUCAUUUAGAUAAUGUUUAGUUUUUAGAAAGUAUUAAGAAAAGGAAAAUAAAUAUUAAGAAAAAUAUUCUUAUAUUUGAUUGUAUUAUGAAAAAUGUCAUAAAAAAAUCAAAUAUAAUUUAAAUUAAUUAAUAAUUUAUACAUUUUCAAAUUAUUUAAUCUUUAUAUUGAAGAUAUAAUAUAAAUGAAAUGAGUUUUAAGUAUUAUAUAAAAGUGAUUUAUUGAUCUUGCAUAUAUGUAUUUCUUUUUUUUUUCUUCUAUUUUUUUUCUUUAUUUUAUUUUCCUUAUGUUUUCCUCAACAUUUUCCGGAACCAAACAUAGCCUUAGGAAAUCCACAAUUACCUUCAACUGAGUAUAUUCGGUUGUUUUAGCAAUGUUAGGCUGCUAACUUGUGUUGGUACGAACCUGUUAAGCCUAAAGAUGUAAUUAGUUAGGAUAUUCUUUUCCCUCUAGUCUUGUAGCUCCACGUGUAUAGUUGGUUAGGACCUCAUUGUAUAUAAUGCCUGCCCUGUUAUUGUUGAAGACAACAGAGAUAAAUAAUAUUAACAUUUUUCCUCUCAUCUCUCUUUGUUUCCCUCUGUUUUCAUCUCCUCUCUCAUCUUGGUAUCAGAGCCUCCAUGGAUUCUUUCAAAGAAACCUCCGAAUCACCUUCUGCUAGCAUUGUUAAUGUGCAAAACCCAUUAUCUCAGUCAAACAACCUUCCUUCACCAGCAGCCACACCCUCUUUUUCUUUCUUGUCUAUGAAUCAACCUCUCACAGUGAAGCUGGAUAAUGGAAACUACCUCAUCUGGAAGAAUUAGCUUCUGAAUGUCAUCAUUGCGAACAGACUCGAUGAUUUCAUUUAUGGAACUCGACCCUGCCCUCCUUGAUUUCUCAAUCUGCAACAACAAACCCUCACUCCAGAGUACUCGGUCUAGCAGAGAUACAAUCGACUUCUAAUGAGUUGGCUGUACGCAUCCUUGUCCGAAGAUAUAAUGACUCAGAUUGUUGGGUAUUCAACAACUGUGGAGAUUUGGAACGUCCUUAAUCAGAUUUACUCUGCCUCUUCAAUGGCGUGGGUUACCGAGCUUCACACCAAGCUUCAAACGCUCAAGAAAGAUGGACUCUCAGUUGGUGAAUAUAUUCAAAGGCUCAAAUCCAUUUGCAAUAGUCUUGCAGCAAUAGGAGAACUAGUUUCUGAGAAAGACCAGCUUAUCUAUUUGUUCAAUGGAUUAUAUUGUGAGUAUAAUUCUUUUGUUACCUCCAUUCAAAAUCGAUCUGACCAACCAACUAUUGAGCAAAUCCAUAGCCUAUUGCUUAGCUAUGACUUUCGGCUUGAACAACAAAACUCUGUUUCUCUCCAUUAUGCCCAAGUCCGUAUGGCUCAUCUGAACAAGAAACCUUAUAAAUCAACUCCUCAACCUACAUUCAAUCAUAUUCACAUUCAACCUAGAUACUCUUCUCCACCUUUUAAGCCAACCACUAGUCAAUAUCAACCCAGGAUUUUGGGCAAACCACAACCACAACCAUGACAGCCUCAACCUCAAUGGAAACCACAUUUUUCAAUCCAGAAUCAAAAGCCUCAGUGCCAAAUUUGUGGUAAAUUUGGACACACUGCUCUUAUUUGCUUCCAUUGCACAAAUUUGAACUAUUCACCCCAACCUUCUCCUAAAUCUUUCAAUACUGUUCUCACCACAAAUUCCCAGCUCCCUAAUCCUCCAAAAUUUUCUUACCCUACAAUGGCUCAUCCUGCUGCUACGCAUAACACGAUUCCUGAUACAAAUUGGUACAUGGACUCAGGUGCUACACAUCACUUUACUCCGGACAUCAACAUGCUUGACACUGUGACACCAUUUAGUGGUUUAGAACAGGUGACAGUUGGGAAUGGUAAGCAACUCUGUAUCUCACAUCUUGGUACUGCAAAACUACCAUCCUCGUAUUCUCCUCUUGUUCUACAUCAGGUAUAUCACACUCCAAAAAUUUCAAAUAAUCUUAUUAGUGUUAGAAAAUUGUGUUCUGAUAAUAAAGUUUUUGUUGAAUUUUAUGCCACUCAUUUUCUUAUCAAAGAUCAAGUUUCGAAGAGAGUUCUCUUUCAAGGUCAACUUGAUAAUGGCUUAUACAAAGUUCAGUCGUCAUGCUCUCCUUCUACUAUUUCCUUUCAUCCUCAAGUUUUCAUAGCCAACAUCAAGGAUCAAAAUUUGUGGCACAAGAGACUAGGCCACCCAGCUUUAUCUGUUAUUAAUCAAAUCUUGGAUUCUUGUAACAUUGCUCGAACACAGAAAAUUGGUUUUAAUUUUUGUAGUUCUUGUCAAUUAGCAAAAAGCCACAGGCUUCCUUUUUCUCUGUCUCCAUCCAUUGCAGAAAAACCUUUUGAGUUAAUUCAUACAGACCUAUGGGGUCUUUCUCCUGUUCGCUCUAUUUCUGGUGCUCGUUAUUUUUUACUUUUCAUUGAUGAUCAUACUCGUUUUACUUGGUUUUAUUUGCUCAAAACAAAAGAUGAAGCAUAUCCUACUUUUCUCAAGUUUCAAGCUCUCAUUGAAAAUCAAUUUAAUACCAAGAUUAAGGUUGUCCAAUCUGAUUGGGGAGGUGAGUUUCGAUCUCUCUCCAUACUGUUUUCAAAUAUGGGCAUUGUCUAUCGUUUAUCAUGUCCAUACACCUCACAACAGAAUGAGUGGGUUGAGCGAAAAAAUCACCAUGCGGUUGAAAUGGGAUUGUCCUUUCUUGCUCGCUCGGGUAUGCCCUUAUCUUAUUGGCCUUAUGCCUUUCAAACUGCCACUUACCUUAUUAAUCGUCUCUCUACCCCUGUGCUGCACCAUCAAUCCCCUUACUUCGCACUCUAUCACAAAUUCCCAGCUUAUACUCAUCUUAAGGUCUUUGUUCCUCUUGUUUUCCAUAUUUACGCCCUUAUAAUACCCAUAAACUCCAAUACAGGUCACUGGAGUGUGCUUUUCUUGGUUGCAGUUCACACCACAAAGGUUAUCUAUGUCUUGACAUUCAUUCUAGCAGGGUGUAUAUUUCUCGCCAUGUGAUUUUUAAUGAAGAUUCUUUUACAUUCAAGAAUUUGAAAUCUUCUCUCUCUUAGUCUAUUUCUUCUUCCUCUUCUUUAUUAGUUCCUCUGUUCAUUUCCUUGCCUCCCCUCUCCCCAUAUCCUCCUAUUUCUCCAUCUAUAUCUCAUUCUUUUCUCUCUUCUUCUUCUACCUCUAGUACUUGUUCCCCUCUCGUUGCUCCUACCUCUCUUCCUCCCUCUUCACACUUUGUGUCCCAUCUAUUCCACCUCCUUCUCCACCUUCUUCGAGUGUGGACCUGCUUGUACCUUGUGUGAAUACAAAUUUACUUACUUUUUCUCGCACUCACAAUAUUCAUCCUAUGGUGACCAGAUCUAAGGGUUUGUAUCUAUAAACCUAAGUUGCUAUUGAGUGUCUCCAUAGGUUCUCUCACUAAGCCUACUUCCUUUCUUCAAGCUAUUAAAGAUCCUUCAUGGAAGCAAGCCAUGGAAUUGGAGUUUGCUGCCCUUCAACACAACAAGACCUGGCAUCUAGUUCAUUCACCUUCCUCAGGCAAAGUAAUUGGUUGUAAAUGGGUCUAUAAGAUAAAGCUUUAGCCUGAUGGCUAAUUGAGAGAUACAAGGCCCGCUUAGUAGCUUAGGGUUAUCAUCAAACUGAAGGUAUUGACUACUUCGAAACAUUCAGCCUGGUUGUCAAGCCUUCUACUACCGUAUUGUGCUCAGUCUUACUUUUUCCCAGAAUUGGUGUAUUAGACAGCUGGAUGUUCAUAAUGCCUUCUUACAUGGUGACUUAGCUGAAGACGUUUUCAUGGAACAACCACCUGGAUUUGUUGAUCCUCUCUAUCCUACUCAUGUCUGCAAGUUGGAUAAGUCUCUCUACGGUCUUAAUAGUCACCUCGGGCUUGGUAUACUAAGCUGAGUACUUCUCUACUACACUUGGGAUUUGUUACUUCUAAGAAUGACUCUUCCUUAUUUAUUUGUCAUUCGUCUCAUGGGUUACUUCUUGUUCUUGUCUAUGUGGAUGAUAUAAUCGUCACUGGGAGCCACUCUCCUCAAGUUACUCACCUUAUCCAAUAGUUGCAUCAUCAGUUUUCUUUAAAGGAUCUUGGUCAUUUACACUAUUUUCUGGGCUUGGAGGUUCAUCACACCCCUACUGGUAUUCACCUCAGCCAAGCAAAGUAUAUCACUGAUCUCCUUACCCGGGCGGCUAUGUUGGAUGCCAAGCCAUGUCCCACUCCUAUGUCCUCCAACACAUAUCUUUCUCUUCAUGAUGGAGUGGCUCUUGAAAAUGGUUCAGAUUAUUGAAGUUUUGUUGGUGCCCUUUAGUAUUGUACCAUGACACGCCCAGAUAUAGCUUUUGCAGUAAAUAAAGUGUGUCAAUUCAUGCACCAUCCCUCUGAUGUUCACUGGCAGGCUAUAAAACGUAUUCUCCAGUACUUAAAGGGCACAUCUCAUUUUGGUCUCUUCCUACAGCCUUCCUAUGACUUCAACAUCACUUGCUAUACAGAUGCCGACUGGGCUUCCUGCCUUGAUGACAAGUGUAGCACCAGUGGCUACUGCCUCUUUCUUGCCUCUAAUCUGGUUUCUUGGUCAUCUUCCAAACAAAAAGUGGUCUCCCGCUCCAGCGCCAAAUCAGAGUACCGAGGGGUAGCAAAUGGGGCUGCUGAAAUUGCUUGGACUGAAUCUCUUCUUUGUGAACUUUCCACCCACUCGACCUCCCCUCAUUGUCUGUGACAAUAUCAGUGCCACAUACUUAGCUGUCAAUCCUAUUUUGCAUGCCCGCACCAAAACAUGUGGAAAUCGACUAUCACUUUGUCUCGGAACGUGUUCUUCAACGCUCUCUCUCUCUCCAGUUUACACCUUCGGAUGAUCAACUUGCUGAUUGCAUGACCAAGCCUCUCUCCACCCAACGUUUCAUCACUCUACGCUCCAAGCUCACUGUUCUCACUAGACCAAUGAGCUUGAGGGGGGAUGUUAAGCCUAAAGAUGUAAUUAGUUAGGAUAUUCUUUUCCCUCUAGUCUUGUAGCUCCACGUGUACAGUUGGUUAGGACCUCAUUGUAUAUAAUGCCUGCCCUGUUAUUGUAGAAGACAACAGAGAUAAAUAAUAUUAACAUUUUUCCUCUCAUCUCUCUCUCUGUUUCCCUCUGUUUUCAUCUCCUCUCUCAUCUGAACCAAAUGAUCCAUGUUAACCUUGGCUUGGUUUGAUUUGGCUCUAUCUUAGAGAGCUCAAGGAUCACGUCAACUCUGGUUUCUACUAUUCAGGUCCAUUCCCAUAUGAACUGGUUCAAAUUUGAGAAAAUGGUAACAGACCUUUAGUGAUGUUGGUUUGGAGCCAGUUGCCAAACCCGCCCUGAGCUUUACCACUAAUGUCAAGGGAGAAAGCCUUUUGAACAAAAACAAUAGCUUCAAGAGACUGAAUCGUGGAUGAAAUCUGAUCCACAUUUCUUCUCAUUUUGGAAACAAAUGAGAACUUAACUAAGAAGAUUCUACGGCCUCAUAGUGCUUUUCCUGAUCUAAGGUUGGUUCGUUUCCCAAAUUGUGAGAUGCACGGGCCAGACUUCAGAACUCUCACGCUCAGGAGUGUAUCCACGUGGUGGACAUAAGAUGGUGGCUUAAGAUCUGGUGUCGGUGGCUUUACUUUACUAGGAGAGUAGUGUGUCUUCAUCUCAUUCACUGCCGGAGGGUGGCGUAAGCAGUGACGCUAAGGUGGGGCAUAGUCAAUAUCAUUUGCAUUUGACCAUUAUAGUUUUCUCCCGGCUUGAAAGUAACCUUAUCGUGAUAAAGGAUUACUAGCACUAGUUCAGAUGACAGUCAUGUUAAAUUCGGACCAUGUUUGUGUCACAUUAUCAGCAACCAUGUGUUUAUGGUUCAUGCUUUCUGCAACUGAAAUUGAAAUUGAUAUAUAACCAGGUGAACUUCAAUCUAAAUUCUGGAAGUACUCAUGUGAGCGAUGGUGCCCAUCUGCAGAGUCCAUCAAUUGAAAAAUGGAGUGAGUGUAUCUAUAAGAGGGAAGGCUUGGCAAAUGUCCAGUUUUCUGGGAAUUCAACAAGGAUCUAAAAUAGAUUGUUUUCUUUGCUGAUUUCAAUGGUUGAAAUUUGAGAAGAUUGUGUCCCACAUAACACAACUAUUACUGGUCCUUCUGUUGCAAUUUAUCCUCUAAGGCUCUAGCAUGUCUUCCAAUUCCCACUUCCCUGUUACUCCAGGAAAGCUAUUUCUGUCAUUGUGAAGAAGAAAAGAGAAUGUAGAUAUCGAUGCUUUUAAGUGACUGGAGCAUUCAUAUCAGGUGGUCUGCAGCCAUAUAUGCCACUUUGUGAAGAUUGGAACAGUCAAUCACUAGGCUAUAUAUUAGUGUGGCCCAGCCACUUUAAUCAAGGACAAUUCUUCAUACUUAAAAGUCAAAUUCUGCCUUUAGUCUCAUUAUAAAUUGCUGUUUAAAUAUUAAGCAAACAUUUGUUUAAUGCGAUUAAGACAGUACUAACUCAAUACUUGUUCUAUUUUUGGAUGGAAAUGCUUGAUGGUUUCAUCAUUGGAUGGGAUAAAGGUGCAUUCAUGAUUAUGAAUACUUGUAGUUAUAUUUUCAUUCUCUUUUUUCUCAAUGAGACUUGUUGGCACAAUUUUUCUGUUCAGAAACCUACCUCUCCAUGGAAAAUAAGUUGUGAUUGAUAGUACUGGAUAUAUUCAAGAAAGCUAAAUAUAGAUAGCACAAAAUAUUAUCGACAUAAAUAGCAUUAACAGCGUACGUAUGUCUCAGUGCUCAUCAGCCAUAAGCAUGGGGCAAACACUUACGAUGAGCAACUUACGUCAAAAUUCCAGAAUAGGACAUAGAAGUGACAGAUCUAUAUAUAUAGAACACUGCAUAAGAGUCACAAGAAAGGAAAUUACGGGUGCAUAGCAGCUCUUAUUUCACAUACUACUCAUACUGAUCAAAGUCACUCAGUUGGGAUGGGUGGGAGUAGGAGGUUUGUGGGGUGGCUUGUGCGGAGGAGUUGGCAGCUUCUUUCCAGGACCUGGUGGCUUCUCUCCCUUAGGUGGUUUGCCAACUGGGGUUGGUGGCUUGUAUGAGUCUUCAGCAUUCUCUGCAGGAGGGUGACCAGGGUUGUGACCAUAAUGUGGUGGCUUCUCUCCCUUAGGUGGUUUGCCAACUGGGGUUGGUGGCUUGUGUUCUGGGAGUGGCUUCUCCCCCUUGGGAGGUUUUUCCAAUGGGGUUGGUUUGUGUUCAGGAGGUGGCUUCUCCACUGGAGGCUUGUGUUCAGGAGGUGGCUUCUCCACCGGAGGCUUGUGUUCAGGAGGUGGCUUCUCCACCGGAGGCUUAUGCUCUGGUGGUGGCUUCUCCACCGGAGGCUUAUGCUCUGGUGGUGGCUUCUCGAAUGGGGGAUGCUUAGGGUAAUCAGCAAGUGAGGGGGCGGUGAGAACCACCAGGCCAAGCAAGACCACUAGCAAGUAUGUAGGAGACAUCUUUGGGUUUAGACUCAGAUGGUGCAAAACUAGGAGAAUUGUCUUUUAUAGCGGAUCGCACCCAAUAAUGAAAUGACACGUGUCUUUAUGACCCAUGUGUAAUGGGGUCGAUUUGGGUCCUACAGUGUUGAAAACUUCGACAUCCACUUUUGGCCUUUUGCUUUCUCUACAGCCGCCUUGCUUUUUCCCUCUUUCCUUUUGUUUUCCUCCUGCCCCAUUCUAUCAACUAAACACAAUUAUGUAGUUGUUUAAUUCUUAAAUGAGAUAUUAUCCGUCAAUCGUAUCAUAUUUUAUCAACAGAGAACGGAGUGCAAUGUGGCAAUCCAAAGAAAGAAGAUCCAUAAUGCAGCUGUAAUUUUAUCGUUUACUUUUAUCUCUUGGACCACUGCAUUUUUGUUAAGAGGUGCAAUAAUACACGUCUUUAUCUGCCAUUCAAUGUUUACAGUAAAGAGAGGGCACAAAACUCUUCACUGCUCUGCAUGUGUCCCAAAAAUGCAAUUGGACAAAUUAUGAUUUGCAUGCUAAAAAGAGGCAAAUGAGGUUAAUUCGCACCAUAAUUAUUUUGUUUUCUGGACCCCGGGGCCCUUUGGUUGGUUUGGGGGUCAGAAAAUGAACAUCAUAGGGGGUUUUUCCCUUAUGUGCAUUUGUAUCUGAUGGCUUUAACUCGCCUUGUUACUACAAAGAAAUUGUCACAUAUAGGAACUUAUUCCAGGCUGAGUAUCUCCGCAUAGACCCUAUAAAAGAAGACAAGUCAUAAUGAACAUCUAACCUUUGUUCAAUUUGAUUCAAUGCCCCAUUGUGUCCACCUCACAAAUCUGAAUUAUUAUAUCCAUUGAAUACAUAAAUUAAUGAAGAAAAUAUGAAACCCAAGAUACAUCUCUGCACAACCUCAACCCUGGUUGCUAUGUUUCCCUUCUAUUCACAUGAGGAUAUUGAUUACGGAAUAGGGAAACCUAGCAAGGGUUUACUCGGCUCUGGUUUGAUGCUAAUUGCCAAACUUGCAACAAGCCCUGAGUUUGAAGCUCACAGAAGAUGUUAUACAGGCAGGGAAAAACCUUCAGAGUUCGCUGCCAAAGAUAAUUAUUAAGGAGAUAUCACCAAGAGAAUUCCAAGGAGUCUGAAUCAAAGACAAAUUGGUCGUUCGUGGAGGUUCUUACUUUCUUUUGGGUAUAACUCACUGAGGGCACUGUCUUUUUUAUUUUCAUUUCACAUUUAGAGUUCUGUUCUGGAAACAUAUAAAAGGAGCAUCAGUUUGUUCUUGGGUAACCCAUAGUCGUGAGUGGGUCCAUUUGCAUGCUACUUAGUUGAAAAGUUGGACCAUUUGCUCCGACGCCUACCUCCUGGAUUCCAUGCUCGGAUAAAACAAGAAUAAAAAAAUAUUUAUAAUUUACAAAUGGGGGAAAGAAAAAAAUGUCAACAACAAACUAGGAAAAAAGAGUAGUAAAAUUCAUGUCACAUGCUAGUGAGAGAAGGGGUUGUUACACUCACUCGAAGUUCUUUUCAAAAUAUCGCAUGGUAUUUUAUUUUAUGUGUGAGCGCAGUUGUGAAUGGAACGUGCAAAAGUCCAAAUUGGUGACCUUUAAUAAAUAUUUAAAACAAAAAACGAAAAAAAGGAGGGAAAAGGGAUCAGAAAAGAUAAAACAAUGUGUACAAAAGCUCAAUUAGUUUGCAAAUUACUGUUUGGAUUUUGAUAGUAUUUUAUUUGAUGUAAAAGAGAAUUUAAGAUAUUUCCGAAACAAAAGCAUUAGUUUGCUCCAUGUCAAUUUCGGCAUUUCUCAUAUGUUUCACACAUACACAGAAGAGCAUCGUUUUUUAAAGCAUGCAUUUAUGUUGGAUUAAUUUGGAUUUUGUGGGAACUGGGGCAAGGAUCACAUGGAAGAGAGGUUGACUUUUUUCAGUACUUCAAUGGUUGAGACAGGUGAAGGCCUGAUUGAUACUGAAGCCUGAAAUUGCGACUCCGUCAUUUGUCAAAACAUAUGACAGCUUCCAUGCUCUCGUUUGGUUGCAUUGUUCUGUGGUCAUGCAUACAUGCCACUUAGUGAUCAGUCUGUAACUGUCAAUCAUUGGGCUUUGACUGAACAACAUCAGCCAUGUAUAAAUACUUGCAAAUCAAACGGUCUUCUUCCUCCCAUAAGGAAUUUCGGUUUAAUUAUGAAGCAUGCAUUUGGCUGACCAUCAUAAACCACUUCUUUAAAUUGAUGAAUGAUAGUUUUUCAUUCAUUCUUUCAUUCGUUCAUAUACAGAGUAUAUAUAGAGGGUAAUCAUCAUUCUAAGAAUGGGAAAGAAUGAUACAAGGAAAUAAUGAUAUAAAGAAAUAACAACUAAUAUUCUAAUAUCUCAACUUUCCUAAUAUCUAAACAUUCCUAAUAUCUCAACACUAAAUGAUAUAAAGAAAGAAUGAUAUAAGGAAAGCAUUCCUAAUAUCUCAACACUCCUCCUCAAGUUGGUGCAUAGAUGUCAAACAUGUCCAACUUGUCUAAAAAUUUUGAGAACAGUUGACUUGAGACAUCUUUGGUGAGGAUAUCGGUCAAUUGAUCUUCUGAUCGAAUCUUAGGCAAUUCCACAAUCUUAUCAUCCAACUUUUCCUUAAUGAAAAAUCUAUCCAUCUCGACAUGCUUUGUACGAUCAUGUUGUACUAGAUUAUGAGCAAUGUCACAUGCUGCUUUAUUGUCACAAAACAAUCGGAUUGGUUGCCUAGAUAGGUAACCUAAAUCCUAUAAGAGGAGUCUUAGCCAUAAUGCCUCACAAAGUCCUAAAGUCAUACCUCUAAAUUCCGCUUCUGCACUUGAACGAGCGACGACAUUUUGCUUCUUACUUUUCCAUGUCACAAGAUUACCACCUACAAAGGUAAAGUAACCAGAUGUAGAUCGCCUAUCAUCCACUGCACCGACCCAAACAGCAUUAUACUUCUAUACUCUGAUGAUCAACAUUUUUAGCGAACAAAAUUCCCUUCCUAGGAGCAUUCUUCAAAUACCUCAAAAUACGCAUGACUACAUUCAUAUGUUGCUCUCCAGGAUUAUGCAUGUAUUGACUCACUACACUCAAUGUAUAAGCAAGAUCUAGUCUUGUAUGAGCUAAGUACAUUAAUCUCCCCACAAGUCUCUGGUAUCUUCCCUUAUCGAUUGAUACUUGAUUAGGCUCAACACACAAUUUCAGACCUUCUUCUAUUGGUGUAUUAAUAGGUUGACAUCCCGACAUUCCAGUUUCCUGUAGAAGAUCUAAGGCAUACUUUCUUUGAGACAGAAAAAUUCCUUCACUUGAUCGAGAAACUUCAAUCCCAAGAAAGUAUUUCAGACGACCAAGAUCUUUCAUUUCAAAUUCUCUAGAUAGAUACUUUUGCAAAGCUUUUCUUUCUUCAGGAUCAUUUCCUGUAACUACAUGUCAUCCACAUAUAUCAUAAGUGUCGUAAUCUUACCAUGUUGCUUUUUCAAGAACAAAGUGUGAUUUGAAUUACUUUGAUGAUAGCCAAAAGCUCUCAUUGAUUUUGUGAACCUUCCAAACCAUGCUCUCGGGGAUUGCUUCAACCCAUACAAUGACUUCUUCAAUUCGCACACCUUCUGACAUUGCUUUUCUGACACCAUGCAUCCUGGUGGAAGAUCCAUAUAUACUUCUUCAGAUAAAUCGCCAUGCAGAAAGACAUUUUUUACAUCGAACUAUUGUAAUGGCCAAUCUAGGUUUGCAGCUAAAGACAAUAAUACUCGAACUGUGUUGAUCUUAGCUACAGGUGCAAAUGUCUCUGUGUAGUCAAUUCCAUAAGUUUGAAUGUACCCACUAGUCUUGCUUUAAAUCGUUCAAUACUACCAUCUGCCUUGUACUUCACAGUAUAGAUCCAACGACACCCAACUAGCUUCUUUCCUGGUGGACAUUCUACGAGUUCCCAUGUUUCAUUUUUCUGCAAUGAUUUCAUCUCUUCAUUCAUGGUUGCUUUCCACUUUGGAUCAGCUAAAGCUUCCUGCACACUAUUAGGAAUAGCUACAGUAGAUAAUUGAUUUACAAAUGACUUAUUUGAUUCAGACAAACCAUGGUGUGGACCCGCAUUUUUCACGUGCGCCUCUACUCGAUCGGCGAGACUCGCUUUCUAUUUGUGAAAAAUUAAUUUUAGAAAAGUUGGAGUCGCCACCUAUUUUAUUUUUAUUUUGAAGGGAAAAUAAAACAAGAAAGAAAAACCCUAAAAAGUGACUCCAUAGUUUUGGAAAAAGCAUGUCUUUGGGAAACCUGAGUCUAGGUCCGGGGAUCAUGUUACUUAUUGGGAAGGUACCUCUAGGAGGUAGCACCCCUCUAAGCCUUAUGAAGGUCUCUACUAACUAAAUUAAGGGAAGUGUGGCAAUAAAUCGAUUGAUCAUAGAUACCUAAGUAGACUAGGUGAUUUUAAAGUGUGGCAUGUCAAACACAAUCAAAUUGCAAUAAAGGAGAGUUAGGGCGCGUACCUGAACCGCUUCUCAAGCGCUAUCAUAAAACAUCAAUGGUUAAUUUAAAUAAUAUAUCAUCCAGCAUGUAUUUUAUUAGAAAUAAUCAAACAAUGAAACAUGUAUAUCAGAACACUCAAGCAUUAUUAGACAUAAGCAUUAUUUCACUAUUCACAGAAUUCAGAAAGUAGGUGAUAGAGGACAUACCUGGAUAGCAUAGAUAAUUUGUAAUGUGCUUCCUCAAGUUGUAAGGGGUUAGAUAACAAAUAAUAAAAUAUAGAAAUCCUAGCAUGCUCGUUAUCUAAUUAGCAUAGCAAAAGUGAUCACAGUAUACAGAAUCAUCAAUUAUCACAUACAUCUUGUAUAUAAUUCCUAAAAAAAAUAGAUAGACAUGAUUUCAACAAGUGUCAAAUGUGGCAACAAAAAUAAAUUUUGAAAAGAUUUUCUUAUGUAGGGGUUUCACCAAUUCCCCAAAUUAAUAUACACGAAUUUAGCUUAGAAUUAUCCCAUUUAUUUGGGACUACAAGCUUUGAUUCGUGUUUUUGUUCAAAACCAAAAAUUUUUGUUGAAAAUCAAGAAGGAUGCGAACCGAACAAGAUAUGGUUGCAUAUUAUUUUUAAAUAAAUAAAUAAAUAAAUAAAGGAGAUUUUGAUCCUGAGGACUUUAAUGAGUUUUUUUUUUUAAAAUAGAUUUUUAAAAUGAUUUUUUUGAGAAAAGUAUUUUAUUUUAAAAUAAAAGGGAUUAAUUUGGGAAAAAAAUAAAAUAUAAGAAAUAAAAUACCAAACAAAACAAAAAUGAAACCUCAAAGUAAAAUUUUUUUAGUAAUUAACAAAAAUGAUAAUGGUGAUGGUAGAGGGCAAUCUUCAUGAUUUUCCAAUGGCCUCAGAAAGAAAAUCAAAUUAAAUGAAGGAUCACUAACAGGCAAGACAUUCUAAAUUAGACAAACUAACAAAGUAUCAAUUCAUGAACUAACCGCUAGGAUUUUGAAAGCAUAUAAGCUAAGAUAAGGGUGAUCAGGAACUAAUAUUAAUGAUUUUGAAAUAAAAACUAAAAAAAAGGAUCAAUUCGGGUAAGGAACUAAAAUUAUAAAAGUACCUAAACUAAUUAUGACGAGUUUGACUAAAUUAAACUAAAAACAUGAACUUUCAAACAUAGAAUUAAUUUUACUAAUGAACCAAAGCAAACUAAAAAUAUGUACUUUCAAGCAUAGAAUUAAUUUUAUUGAUGAACUAAACUAUAACAAAUAUCUAAACUAAAUAUAAUGAAUCAAAUUAAAUUAAAGCAACUUAAAAACGCAAACUUUCAAACAUAGAAUCAAUUUUAUCAAUGAAUUAAAACUAUAAAUGUAUUUGAACUAAAUAGAUGAAUCAAACUAAAUCAGAGCAAAAUUAAAAAAAAAAAAGAACUUUCUAACAUGAAAUCAAUUUUAUCAACAAAUAAAUGAAUGAAUAACAAGUAAUUAAAAGAAUAGCUACUACAUGAAUAACUGAAUGAAUAAAAUUCAAAUGUUUUCAAUCUGAAGCAAUCAAUCAAAAUUAAAUAGGGAUCAAAUCAAAAUAAUCGAAAUCGGAAAAACAAUAUGCAAUCUUUCUAAAGGUUUAACCAGACAAUUGAAUUAAAAUUAUGAAUAGAAUAAAUUAAUAAACCAAAUCGAAACCUAAAUUGUACCUAAAAAGAUUAAUUAAUUAAACUAAGAAAUCAAAAUCAAUAACAAAACUAAACUAAGGAGUAAAUUAAGACAAGACUAAUUAAAUUAAACUCACAAACACGUUUUAACUAUCAUAUGGAUUAAAACAAAAUUAGCAUGGACUUAUGAAUUACGAACAAAAAUAAUCAAAACUAUUUUAAAAAACUCACCUCUAUUAUAAGAAAAAAUCUGCCUUUGAUGCGUUGAGGUGGCUCCCCUCUCUGUGUGGAUCUCUCUGCUCCCCAGAAAAAAAAUGUCUCUUCCUCCGUUCUCUUUUGUUUCAGCAAAAUAAUAUAUCCCCUGCUGUGGAUCUCUCUACUCCCAGAAAAUAAUAUAUUCUCUCCGUGUCCUAAAGUGGACCUAGGGUGCCUAAGUGGACCUAGGGUGCCUAAAUGGGCCUAGGGUGCCUAAAUGGGCCAAGUGUAUCUAAAUAGGCUUAGGGUGCCUAAGUGGGCCUAAGUCUAAGUGAGCCUAAGUCUAAAUCAAGACUACCAAGGAUCAUAAUAAGGGGUUAGGCAAUCCCUUAACCAAAGUCUCCAAGGUGGCUAAAAAAAAGUAAGUAGUAUGAGUAGCUAUGGGUCACCAAGGAACUACUGUGGAGCAUUGAAAACGAAUUUAAAGACAUGUGCCAAAGGGACAAAAUUGAGGGUCUACAGAUGGUUAGACACAUAGUUGCUCAUGGGAUAUUUGACUUUGGUAAACAAUUCAGAUUCAUAUGUGGGUUUAGGAAUACCUUUAUUAUGACGGUGUGGUAAUCGUUUCAUGAAUGGAUCAGGUUGCAAAUUAAGAACACCCUCAGCAAACAACGAUUGGUUUGGUAUUUCAGUGAAGACAUCUUCGAACCCAAAUUGUUGACCACUCAUAUCCAACUCACCCGCUUCCUGGUUCACUAGUUCAGAUUGUCCAAAUUCAUCAUUCUCAUAGAUAUGAUAAUCAUAAUCGAGAGUCUGAAUUUCCUUAUGGUACUCCCCCUGAAGUUCAGACUUAGAUGAAAAAUACAUCGAAUAUUCAUGAAACAGCNNNNNNNNNNNNNNNNNNNNNNNNNNNNNNNNNNNNNNNNNNNNNNNNNNNNNNNNNNNNNNNNNNNNNNNNNNNNNNNNNNNNNNNNNNNNNNNNNNNNNNNNNNNNNNNNNNNNNNNNNNNNNNNNNNNNNNNNNNNNNNNNNNNNNNNNNNNNNNNNNNNNNNNNNNNNNNNNNNNNNNNNNNNNNNNNNNNNNNNNNNNNNNNNNNNNNNNNNNNNNNNNNNNNNNNNNNNNNNNNNNNNNNNNNNNNNNNNNNNNNNNNNNNNNNNNNNNNNNNNNNNNNNNNNNNNNNNNNNNNNNNNNNNNNNNNNNNNNNNNNNNNNNNNNNNNNNNNNNNNNNNNNNNNNNNNNNNNNNNNNNNNNNNNNNNNNNNNNNNNNNNNNNNNNNNNNNNNNNNNNNNNNNNNNNNNNNNNNNNNNNNNNNNNNNNNNNNNNNNNNNNNNNNNNNNNNNNNNNNNNNNNNNNNNNNNNNNNNNNNNNNNNNNNNNNNNNNNNNNNNNNNNNNNNNNNNNNNNNNNNNNNNNNNNNNNNNNNNNNNNNNNNNNNNNNNNNNNNNNNNNNNNNNNNNNNNNNNNNNNNNNNNNNNNNNNNNNNNNNNNNNNNNNNNNNNNNNNNNNNNNNNNNNNNNNNNNNNNNNNNNNNNNNNNNNNNNNNNNNNNNNNNNNNNNNNNNNNNNNNNNNNNNNNNNNNNNNNNNNNNNNNNNNNNNNNNNNNNNNNNNNNNNNNNNNNNNNNNNNNNNNNNNNNNNNNNNNNNNNNNNNNNNNNNNNNNNNNNNNNNNNNNNNNNNNNNNNNNNNNNNNNNNNNNNNNNNNNNNNNNNNNNNNNNNNNNNNNNNNNNNNNNNNNNNNNNNNNNNNNNNNNNNNNNNNNNNNNNNNNNNNNNNNNNNNNNNNNNNNNNNNNNNNNNNNNNNNNNNNNNNNNNNNNNNNNNNNNNNNNNNNNNNNNNNNNNNNNNNNNNNNNNNNNNNNNNNNNNNNNNNNNNNNNNNNNNNNNNNNNNNNNNNNNNNNNNNNNNNNNNNNNNNNNNNNNNNNNNNNNNNNNNNNNNNNNNNNNNNNNNNNNNNNNNNNNNNNNNNNNNNNNNNNNNNNNNNNNNNNNNNNNNNNNNNNNNNNNNNNNNNNNNNNNNNNNNNNNNNNNNNNNNNNNNNNNNNNNNNNNNNNNNNNNNNNNNNNNNNNNNNNNNNNNNNNNNNNNNNNNNNNNNNNNNNNNNNNNNNNNNNNNNNNNNNNNNNNNNNNNNNNNNNNNNNNNNNNNNNNNNNNNNNNNNNNNNNNNNNNNNNNNNNNNNNNNNNNNNNNNNNNNNNNNNNNNNNNNNNNNNNNNNNNNNNNNNNNNNNNNNNNNNNNNNNNNNNNNNNNNNNNNNNNNNNNNNNNNNNNNNNNNNNNNNNNNNNNNNNNNNNNNNNNNNNNNNNNNNNNNNNNNNNNNNNNNNNNNNNNNNNNNNNNNNNNNNNNNNNNNNNNNNNNNNNNNNNNNNNNNNNNNNNNNNNNNNNNNNNNNNNNNNNNNNNNNNNNNNAACCAAAGGAAGCAUGUUCCAGACGUCGAUGCCACAACCAAAUUUCAGACUUUUUCUUCUCCUCCUUAGAUCCAUCUGCCAUCAAGGCUUGUUGCAACUUAUUUGAAUCCUUUGAUUGCAAGUCCAAGUAUAGAGUUUCCCCCGCUUAAUACGACAACCAAUCGUCUGUCUUGUUUGAAUGUCCUUAAUCACACAAAAUUCAGGCCAAAAAAUGACAAUACAAGAUAAGGCUGCAGUGAUUUGAGAAACUAACAAAAGAUUGUAAUCUAAAGAUGGAACAACUAAAACAGAAUCCAAAUUCAAAGUAUCAGUAAGAGUUAAGGAUCCUUCCCCAAUGACUGGGGUUGUGUUACCAUUGGCUGUGGAAACAAUUUUUUGUGAGGAAGGUCUAAGGGGUGAAACCUGUCUAGAAUCAAAAGUCAUAUGAUCUGUAGCACCAGAAUCAAUUAUCCAUGCACUAUUAAUAACAGGUGUAAAAGUAUUUAAAAACUUACCACAAUGAUCUGUAGCGGCUACUAAUGCAGAGACUUUCUCAACAACAUUAGUCUUUGUUUUUAUUUCGGUAACAGUUGCAAUCAAGGUUUUCUUGGAAUUCUUCUUCCGUUGAUCACGAUUAUUAUCAUUAAUAACAAAGUGUUGAUAGCCUAAACAUGAUCUAAAGGUCCAUGGUGCAAACCCUCGGUUCCUCAUUGUUUUCCUGGUCAUACCAAGAGUUGUUGCUUUGAAAUUGUGGGAUAUCCAGACUGGUGGGAUCAGUUUUAUUGCAGUGAGUGCAUUUGAAUGUUGACUUAUCAAUAUUAGGGCUUGUCUUCGGAUGGUUGAUUGCUGUUGGACUACCAUAGCGACAAAAUAUCCAGGAUUUCAAUUCCAGGGCUCUGAUACCAUCUUCAAAUUGAUGAAUGAUAGUUUUUCAUUCAUUCUUUCAUGUACAGAGUAUAUAUAGAGGGUAAUCACCAUUCUAAGAAUGGGAAAGAAUGAUACGAGGAAAUAAUGAUAUAAGGAAAUAAUAACUAAUAUCCUAAUAUCUCAACUUUCCUAAUAUCUCAAUAUUCCUAAUAUCUCAACUUUCCUAAUAUCUAAACAUUCAUAAUAUCUCAACACUAAAUGAUACAAGGAAAGAAUGAUAUAAGGAAAACAUUCCUAAUAUCUCAACACCACUUCAUGAUAUAUAUAGUUUCUUACCCUUAAUCAAUGGUUUCUAAGUGAAUUUAUAUAGAAAGAAAUCCAAACUGUAGACAGCAGUAUUGGUAACACUCAAUAUUCUGUAUAUAAUAGAAUAAAUAGCGUCACAGUGAUCGUCGCCUACAAGCAAGGUACAAAUACCACAAAGAGUGACCCACAUAGACAUUCCCCAACAAGAUGUAGUAGUGACUGACACAUAGCCACAAUUAACACGUAGAAAAGGAUAAGACCGGUGCACAGUAGCUCUUAUUUUACAUACUACUUAUGCCAACCAAAGUCACUCAGUUGGGAUGGGAGGGAGAUGGAGGUUUGUGCGGUGGCUUGUGGGGCGGAGUUGAUGGCUUCUUUCCAGGAGCUUCUGGCUUUUUCAUCGGAGCUGAAGGAGGCUCAAUCUUAUGAGGCGGCUUGUACGAGUCUUCUUUGCUCUCGAAAGGAGGGUGGCCAGGGUUGUGACCAUAAUGUGGUGGUUUCUCUCCCUUGGGAGGUUUACCAAUUGGGGUUGGUGGCUUGUGUUCUGGGAGUGGUUUCUCUCCCUUGGGAGGUUUAGUGGGUGACUUGUGUUCUGGAGGUGGCUUCUCCACCGAAGGCUUGUGCUCCGGUGGUGGCUUUUUGGUUGGAGGGGGCUUGGGGUAAUCAGCAAGAGAUGGGGUGGUGAGAACCACCAGUCCAAGGAACAACACUAGCAAGUAUGUGGGAGACAUUUUUGAGUUUGGGCUGAUCAGAUGAUGCAAAACUAAAGCAUUACGUGACCUUUUAUAGCAAGUAGCUCCCAAUACCUACUUGACACGUGUUACUGUGACCCAUAAAUAUUAUGGGGUCUAUUUGUGCCCUACCGGGUUGAAAACUUGGACAAUUGGGCAAGGACCCGCCUGACUAUGGAGGACUACUGAGGUGUGAUCACAGCUUUAGGAUUUUUCUUCCUCUGCAGCCGUCUUGCCGUUGGCAUGAUUUUCUUAAUCUCAAAUAAAGGCAUAGUUAUAGAGUUGUUUAAUCUCUAAAUGGGAUUUUAUAUAUCUUCAGAUAGCCAUUAAUACAUUUGAUGAAGAAAGAAAGACAAGUGCAUACAACAUGUAUACGACUAGCUUUCAUGGAGUUCAUUUAUGAUCAGUUUUCCUGUACAUGUAAACCAAGAUCAUAUAUGUUUUUGUUCCACAACAAUUUUGGAAUCUUGUUUAUCCGUUUUUAUCAUUAUAAUGUCACAUAGGCUGCCAACUUGGGCGCUAAAUUAAAGAUCCAGUUGGGCAAGUUCGUUUCAGAAUUUCAAUGGUGGAUUCAGGAAUUGUUUUAUAAGAUAUGCAAAAUAGUAGAGGGAUGAAUAGUGUUUCAUUAAGAAAAGAGCCCUGUAAAAAUAUUGUUUAAAGGUGCCAUAGAAACUAUAAUCAAUAAAUAACUUUUUUUCCCCAUGGGUGGUGUUUCUUGUGGGGAUCAGUGACUGGUUUGAGUCAACGCCGUGUCUCUUUAGUCCAGAAAUCAACUAUUUUAUGCAUUGAAUACAUCAACAAAGAAAAUAUGAAAGCCAAAUGACACCUCCCCCGCAAAAACUAAACCCUGGUUGCUAACUUUCUAUGUUUCAGUUCCAUUCACACAAGAAUAUUAGUUCAAGUUUGAGAAAAAUGGCGACUUACCUAGUGAUAACUCGGUCUUGGUUUGCGAUUUGACUUUAACGUCAUGGGUUGAAGCCUCCUACAAUCAUCGUGUAUGCUAGUUCAAAGCUCGUGGAAGAAGUUAUACAGGGAGGGAGAAACCUCCACAGCAAGCUCCAAAAGAGAAUUAUCACAUUGAAAGCUCCAGUUGAACACUGGGUGAAAGCCAUAACAAGAUUGGUUUUCUAUCGCUCUUUUAAGUAAUGGAAGAUUAUUAUCUCUGCUUGUCACUACAACCGUGCAUGCUGCUAGAUCUUUCUAGACACUUCAAACAGUGAAACCAAGUAUGAUUCUUUUUCUCUUGAGUGGGUCCACUUGCAUGCCAAUGAACGAGUUGAAAAGUUGGACAAUUGGCCACAGCGCGCACUUACCUUCUGGAACCGAAGGUCAGUGAAGUGGGGUUCCUUUUGGCCCCUUGUGUUUCUGUUCCAACCUACUCCAGGAACCGAAGUUCAGUGAAGUGGGGCUACUUUUGGCCUCUUGUGUUUCUGUUCCAACCAAACAAAAAUGGGAGGGAAAAAUAGCAUUAUGCUUGUGCUAAAGAUCAACGCAUGAUAGCUGAAUAAGGGAGAAAAAGGCAUUGCUAUCUCAAUUUCAUAAACUUGAUAAGUAGUGACAUUAAUAGUCUUCCUCAUAGAUGGAUACAUGGUUUUAUUUUAUUUAUUUAUUUUUAUUUUUUUGUUUUAUGUCAAUGCUAAUGAAUGAAGUGCAUUAGCUUGUUUUGUGACUAGAACUACAAAUGUCCAAAUUGGAGCUUCUCCAAUAUAUUUCUCAGUGAGUUAUUGAUUAGAACUCUUGGAUUGAGUUCCAAGAUUUGAAUCAGACCCCUCUAGCAGCUUCAGGGGUACGUAGCAACCUAUAGCAUAUUAAUGAAGACUUAGGAUUUAGACUUAGGAAUACAAAUUAAUAUGUACCUCAUGCUCUGACUAGCUUCCCUGCGUAUGCACAAAAUGGAGAUGACUCCCAAAAAAAUAGCAGAAUCGCCUUAGUAUGUUUUUGUGGUUAAGAUGAUUCUCCACUUUAUAUAUCCACAUUGGUUCAUUAUGCAAAUUAAUCAACUAAGCUAUUUUUAUUUUUUCUUAAAUGUGAAAUAGGAGCUCCAAAUUAACCUAACCAUUGGCCUGAUUGAAUUGAUUUCACUUGCAUAAUGUUAUAGUAGAAGUCCGUAAUUUGAAUUUUAUUUUUGCAAAAGGUAACGUAAAUGAAGCAUUGUAAUUAAAUUUAUUUGUAAUUACAAACUAAUUUUAUUUUAUUAAGAAUUAAUUUAAUUACUCAUUUAAAAUAAAAAUCAGUUAUACUUUUACCAAGAUGAUAAUAUUCAUAUUUUUCUAGUUAACAUAUAUAAAAUAGUACACUUUUUCAUAUAAAAAAAUAAUUUAUGAUUUAUUAUAAUGUUACUAUUCACAUUUUACUAAAUUGAUGGUACAUGAUAGUGAGAGAAGGGGGUGUCACACUCAGCUAAAGUUCUUUUCAAAAUAUUGCAUGGUGUUUAAUUUUAUGUGUCGGCGCGCGUGUGAAUGGAACCUGCAAAAGUCCAAAUUGGCGUUUCUCCAUUUUCCACAUAGGAUGGUGACGUUAAUAGACAAAGAUACAAUAUCUGUAGACAUUGCUUAAAAAUCGAUGUGAAGUAUUAGAAAUUACAGGGCACUGUACUGGGGGAGCGGCUGCCCCGCCAAAGGAGGAAGAAUGUAGCAAUUUCUUCUGUUAGCCAGGCCUUAGGAUUUAUGCAUGGGAUGCCUAAUAACAAACAGAGAAAAUAUACUUUUGGGGAAGGUAUCCAACAACAGACACCAUCAUUCAGAUGGUGGGAAGGUAUCCAACAGAUGCCAUCAUUCAGAUGGUAACAUAUAUAUACAUUUAUUAGUGAGUUUUUUUAAUACCUAUAAAAAAAAAUAUACACUUUGAUAUUGUGGCUGAAUCCAUUACAUACUCAACUAACCUUGCUCAUUAGGGAUUUGACUUAACAAGGGCAACGUUGCAGUACAAGCUCAAAACUUUAUGCAGGUGACAUUACAUUUGGUAAAGAAGAGGAAAAUAACGAAAGCCAUCCAUAAAAGCAAAAUUCCACAUGGGAUGAAAUUCACAAGCUUCAUUUACGAUAGAGUCGCAUCCAGGCAAUUAAUUCCACAUUAGACCGCCUGUUGACAUGUGUACCAAUCUUUUUUCAAAAAAUAUUUAUAAAUAAUUGAUACUCACAAAAAUAAUUUAAUAUUUAUAAAGGAUAAAAAAAUAUUUUCAAAUCUAUAACAAUUUAUAAAAUAUUAAUAAAAAAUUAUCUCUUAAACUUAGUAUAGUUUUAUCAGAUUAAACUUUUAUUUUGAACAAAUAAUUUUAAUCUAAGUUUUAAAUUCUAAAAUUAUUUCCUUAAAAUAAAAUUUUAAAAUUCAACACUUCAAUUGAAAUUGUCUUUUUAAAAAAUAUCUUCUUAUUUUAAUCCUUAUAAACUAUAGUUGAUUGAAAAUACUAUUGAAGUUCUCUCUUAAAAAAAAGUCUUAUUUUAAUCUUCAUAAAUUGCCCUUGAUUUGAAAAUAAAUUUUCAGUUAUCAUAUUUUAAAUAAUAUCUAUAUUUAAAAUACUCUAUUUAAAAAAAAAUGAACUAAUUUUAAUUAUAUUAUAUUUUAUUUUUUUAUAUAUUUUUAAUGAUAAACCAAACAUAGAAAAUCAUUUUUCUAAAUAUUUUAAAAUUUCUAAGCAACCAAACAUAAUCUUCAAAAUAAAAGGAAAAUAAGGAGGGACAUUUGAGAAAUGGCGAUUAAAAAAAAGUGUACAAAAGCUCAAUUAAUUUUCUUCUAGUCUUUUAUAUAAAAAAGUAAAGGAAUUGAAAAGUAUUGAUAUGUAAAUUAAUAUUUGGAUUUUAAUAGUAUUUUAUUUGUCUUUCUCUAUCUCAUGUAAAAGAGAAUUUAAGAUAUUUCCUAAAGCAAAGCAUUAGUUAUCUGCAAUCAGUGGUGAUCAUGCCCCAUGUCAAUUUCGGACCCAUAUCUUAAAACUGUAUAAUUUGCAUUCAAACAUUACUGAUUUCUCAGAUGUUUCAUACUCCACAGAAGAGCAUUGUUUGUGAAAGCAUGCAUUUAUGUUGGAUUUUGGAUGAUGUGGGAACUGGGGCAAGGAUCAUAUGGAAGAGUGGUCGAUUUUGUUCUGUACUUUAACAUUUGAAAUAGGAGAAGCUCGGGCAUUUGUGGGGCUUAAUUGAUUUUGAAGCCUGAAAUUGCGUUUCUGUCAUUUUGUAAAAAAUAUGGCAGAUUCCAUGCUCUCAUAUGUUUGGUCUGUGGCCAUGUAUAGAUGCCCCUUAGUGACCAGUUUGUAACUGUCAAUCAUAGUGUUUUGACUCUGGCUCAACAACAUCAGCCAUUGACGGAUUUUCAUACUUGCAAAUCAAAUAGUCUUCUUCCUCCCUUAGGAAUUUCGGUUUAAAUGUUAUUAAGCAUACAUUUGGCUGACAAUUAUUAACCACUUCAUGAUAUGGUUUCUUACCCUUAAUCAAUGGUUUCUAAGUGAAUAUAUGCAGAAGGAAAUCUGAACUGUAGACAGCAGUAUUGAUAACUCUCAAUAUUCUUUAUAUAAGAGAAUAAACAACGUCAUAGUGAUCGUCGCCUACAAGAAAGGUACAUUUCCCAACAAGAUGUAGUUGUGACUGGUACAUGGACGCAAUUAACUCGUACAAAAGAAUAAGACCAGUGCACGGCAGCUCUUAUUUUACAUGCUAAUUAUGCUAACCAAAGUCACUCAGUUGGGAUGGGAGGGAGAUGGAGGUUUGUGCGGUGGCUUGUGGGGCGGAGUUGGUGGCUUCUUUUCAGGAGCUUGUGGCUUUUUCGGAGCUGAAGGAGGCUCAAUCUUAUGAGGCGGCUUGUACGAGUCUUCUUUACUCUCGACAGGAGGGUGGCCAGGGUUGUGACCAUAAUGUGGUGGCUUCUCUCCCUUAGGUGGCUUGCCAACUGGGGUUGGUGGCUUGUGUUCAGGAAGUGGUUUCUCUCCCUUGGGAGGUUUACCAAUUGGGGUUGGUGGCUUGUGUUCUGGGAGUGGUUUCUCUCCCUUGGGAGGUUUAGUGGGUGACUUGUGUUCUGGAGGUGGCUUCUCCACCGGAGGCUUGUGCUCCGGUGGUGGCUUCUCCACCGGAGGCUUGUGCUCCGGUGGUGGCUUCUUGAUUGGAGGGGGCUUGGGGUAAUCAGCAAGAGAUGGGAUGGUGAGAACCACCACUCCAAGGAACAACACUAGCAAGUAUGUGGGAGACAUUUCUGAGUUUGAGCUGAUCAGAUGAUGCAAAACUAGAAGAAUUACGGGACCUUUUAUAGCAAGUAUCUCCCAAUACCCACAUGACACGUGUUACUAUGACCAUAAAUAUUAUAGGGUCCAUUUGUGCCCUACCGGGUUGAAAACUUGGACGCUUGGCCGAGGACACACCUGACUAUGGAGGACUAUUGACGUGUGAUCACAGCUUUUGGAUUUUUCUUCCUGUGCAGCUGUCUAGCGGUUGGCAUUAUUUUCUUAAUCUUAAAUAAAGGCAUAGUUAUAGAGUUGUUUAAUCUCUAAAUGGGAUUUUAUAUAUCUUCAGAUAGCCAUUAAUAUAUUUGAUGAAGAAAGACAAGUGCAUACAACAUGUAUACGGCUUGCUUCAAUCGAGUACAUUUAUGAUCAGUUUUCCUGUGCAAGUAAACCAGUUUUUUGUUCCACAACUAUUUUGGAAUCUUGUUUAUCAGUUUCUAUCAUUAUAAUGUCACAUAGGCUGCAAACUUGGGCACCCAAAGAUCUAGGUGGGCAAAUUUGUUUCAGACUUUCAAUGGUGGAUUCAGUAAUUGUUAAAAGGUGUUUCUUCAUUAAGGAAAGAGUCCGGUAAAAAUAUUGUUAAAAGGUGUCAUAGAAACUAUAAUAAAUAAAUAACUUCUUUUCCCCAUGGGUGGUGUUUCUUCUGGGGAUCAGUGACUGGUUAGGGUCACCCAAAAUGAGUCCAGAUUAAAAUUGGUUCGAGUCAAAGCAGUCUCUUUUGUCCAGAAAUCAACUAUUUUGCGCAUUGAAUGAAUCGAUAAAGAAAAAAUGAAAGCCAAAUCACACCUCCCCUGCAAAACCUAAACCCCGGUUGCUAACUUUCUAUGUUUCAGUCCUAUUCAUAUAGGAAUAUUGGUUCAAGUUUGAGAAAAAUGGCAACUUACCUAGGGUUUACUUGGUUUUGGUUUGCGACUAUUUACGCAACCAACCAUGAGUUUGACUUUAACGUCAUGGGUUGAAGCCUCCUACAAUCAUGUAUGAUAGUUCAAAGCUCGUGGAAGAAAUUAUACAGGAAGGAAGAAACCUCCAAAGCUAGCUCCAAAAGAGAAUUAUCACAUCGAUAGCUCCAGAGAUUCCCAAGGGAACUGAAUCAAAGACAAGUUCCUCACUUUUUCUUCUUUUGAGGCCAAAUAUGAACCAAGGAUCACACGACCUCAUUCAACUUCAUAAGUUUGAUUUCAUGCAGUUGAACACUGGGUGAAGGCCAUGACAAGAAUUGAUUAAAAAAUUCUACCACUCUUUUAAGUAAUGGAAGAUUAUUAUCUCUGAUUGGCACCACAACAGCACAUGCUGCUAGAUCUUUCUAGACACUCCAUGCAAUGAAAGCACAAUGGAUCUUGUAAUGAUAGAAACUAAGCCAUGCUACAGUACUAGAUGAGGGGGUAAAACUAGUAGACAUCUUUCUAGACACUCCAUGCAAUGAAAGCACAAUGGAUCUUGUAAUGAUAGAAACUAAGCCAUGCUACAGUACUAGAUGAGGUGGUAAAACUAGUAGACAUGGCUGGCAGUUGAUUACUACUCAAAAAGUACUCUUUUAUAGCUUGAAACUAACUGUUUUAAACACUUUUGAGUAGUAGUUAAUACCUUUUAACUUAAUUGGCACAUUAAGGAACCUAGCAAGGGUUACUAAUCAACAUUUGGCAAGUUUUGAUGUUUUUGGUAGCUAUUUGAUCAUUGAAACAAGCCAAGAAUGAGGGGGAAUUUUGUGAAGUCCAUGGCAAUGCAAGUUAAAGCUCAAAUACAUGAAGAAUCCAAGCUUUGGAGCACUUCAUAGCCCUUUGCCAAGCCAAUCAAAGAUGCAAGGAAGAAAACCAAAGGAAGAAAUCCAACAAUCAGCAUUUUGGCAUGGCUAUGUGAAAUUUCGCACACCAUGCGAAACCACAAGAGGCAGCCAAAGAAUUUCGCAUGGUAUGCGAAAUCUUCUUGUGCACUGACUCUGUUAGAUUUUUAUCUUCAGAUAUUUUGUGUAAUUUCCUAGUUUCUCCUUGUAACCAACUUAGAUAUUUUCUUUUAUAUCUUUUUUUAUAUUUUUUAGGUAACAUCAUAUAUAAGAGGAGAGACAUAAGGAGGAUAUGGAUGUUUUUCAUAGAACACUUGUAAAUUUUUGGUAGUAAGAAAUAUACAAAGCUUUUUGCUCUGCCUUACCUUCUCAAGGGAUGAGUGGCUAGGUUUUCUUGGAGUGAGGGAAGCUAGGUGAAGGACCUGAAUGCAAAGGUGGGAGUUUUCCUUACUUUAAAUGAAAGUAGUUGUUAAACAUUAAUGGUUUUUAUUUUAAGGUUUAGCUUUAAAUCCCUGAAAAACACCUUGAAUGGCCAAUACUUGGUAAGCUUUUUAGAUUCUAUGGAUGCUUAUUGCUAGAUCCAUGGAUGUCUAUUAGUUAUCAUUUACGAGCCAUUGGAAGGUGAUUCAAGGUGAGGGUCUUUAGUGUUUGAAGCCAUUAAUGGGAAGCAAUUACCAUUUUUUCAUGAAUCCUUUGGAUCAAAUCUUAAUUGCUAAAUAUAAAACCGGUUUCGAGAGAUAACCACCAUCCUUUAUGUUAUUAUCCCCAACGCGAGGAGAAGAUCCGAAAUCUUCCUUUUUAUCUAAGGAACCCGAUCCUAGUGACCUAAAGCUCCAAGAUACCUUUUCUUUGUAGUUAACUUCAUUUAUUGUUUUUGCUUAACUUAAAAUCAAUCUUUGCAACCACAAUUCCAUUUUCUUUAAAAGCUAAUUUUUAUAAGGAAAAACACCAUUUUAUUUCCUUCACUAAGUCAACUGUACGAUGAAAACCCAUCCCUGUGGACGAUCCUAGAGCCACUAUACUAUGUUAGCUAUGCUACCCUAGUGUGAGGUGAUUUAGGUUUUAUAAAUUUUUUUGAUAACACCCAUCUGAGCCAGAAUCAAAUGGCACGACUGAACCAGGGACGAAUCAAAUGACGCCGCUACCAAGGAUGGUGCCAAAGUACAUUGACAUGACUUUUGGUGAACACUUGUGAUCUUCACCACAAGUUUGGUGAUUUUUCUUUUACUAAUUUUUUUUAUUUUAGCUUAUCUUUUAUUUAGUUUUUAGUUAACCUUAAAUUUUUCCUAGAAUUGUAUUUCUUUUGUUUUCUUUGUUUUUGUUUCAGUGAUCUUUAGUUGUGCAUGCCCUAUUGGAUAAGAGAUAUUGAGGGAAUACUUGUGAAGAUUGAAACUCCUCGAGAAACUGAGUUAGAAGUGUGCUUGAACAUCAUGGAUGUUCCACCUGAAGACCAGAAUAGCCAACAUGGUUAAGAGGAUAAUUUCAACACAUACCGAUCCAUGAGGAACCGCAUACAUCCACCUUGUAUGAGUGCACCGUCAGGCAUAAUGCCUCCCACUGAGCAGCUAGUAAUCUGACCUCACAUUGUGCCACUCCUACCUACUUUCCAUGGGAUGGAGAGUGAGAAUCCCUACUCGCAUAUUAAGGAAUUCGAGGAGGUUUGUAAUACAUUCCAAGAAGGAGGAGCUUCAAUUGACUUGAUGAGGCUCAAGCUAUUUCCUUUCACUUUGAAGGAUAAGGCCAAGAUUUGGCUUAAUUCUUUAAGGCCAAGAAGUAUCCAAACUUGGAUUGAUUUGUAAGCCGAGUUUCUUAAGAAGUUCUUCCCUACCCAUAGGACCAAUGGUUUGAAAAGGCAAAAUUUGAACUUCUCAGUUAAAGAGAAUGAGAAAUUCUAUGAGUGUUGGGAGAGCUACAUGGAAGCUAUUAACGUUUGUCCUCACCAUGGCUUUGACACAUGGCUCUUAGUGAGCUAUUUUUACAAUGGUAUGUCUUCUUCAAUGAAGCAACUCCUAGAAACUAUGUGUGGAGGAGACUUCAUGAGUAAGAAUCCGGAGGAAGCCAUGGACUUUUUGAGUUAUGUGGCUGAAGUUUCAAGAGGAUGGGAUGAACCAAAUGCUAGAGAGGUGGGAAGAAUGAAGUCUCAACCUAAUGCUAAGGGUGAGAUGUAUGUUUUGAAUGAAGACAUUGACAUGAAAGCAAAGGUUGCAGCUAUGGCAAGGAGAUUGGAAGAGCUAGAAAUGAAGAACAUACAAAAAGUGCAAGCCAUUUCUGAGACAUCAAUGAAAGCUAUGCCUUGUUCCAUUUGUCAAUCUUAUAAGCACCUAGUGGAGGAGUGUCCUACAAUUCCAGCAGUGAGAGAGAUGUUUGGUGAUCAAGCAAAUGUUAUUGAUCAAUUCAAGCCUAAUAACAAUGCUUCAUAUGGCAACACCUACAAUUCAAAUUGGAGGAACCAUUCAAAUUUCUCUUGGAAACGAAAGCCACCUCAAUACACACAACCUACUCAAGCACCUUAGCAAUCCUCGAAUCUUGAACAAGCUAUUGUGAACCUUAGCAAGGUUGUGGGAGACUUUGUGGGAGAUCAGAAGUCCAUCAAUGCUCAACUGAAUCGGAGAAUUGACAGUGUGGAGAGUACAUUGAACAAAAGGAUGGAUGAGAUGUAAAAUGAUCUGUCUCAAAAGAUAGACAAUGUCCAAUACGUAAUCUCAAGGCUUACCAACCUCAACACAGUGUAAGAGAAAGGAAAGUUUCCUUCUCAACCUCAUCAAAAUCCUAAGGGUAUCCAUGAAGUAGAGGCUCAAGAGGGAGAAUCUUCAAAGGUGAGGGAAGUCAAAGUAGUUAUCACCUUGAAGAGUGGUAAAGAGGUUGAUCAACCCACAUCCAAGCCAAAGCAUAAUGAAGAGAGUGUAGCAGAAAAAGAAAAGAGAGGAAAAUAAAGGAAUUAGAAUAGAGAAAAAUACAAAGAAAGAUGACCAUGAGUCUAGUGUGGAUGAAGAGCCCGAGAGGAUGGUGAUCAAGGAAGAUAUGAUGAAGAAACACAUGCCUCCACCUUUCCCCUAAGCUUUGCAUGACAAAAAAAGAACCAAUAAUACAUCAGAAAAUUUUGAAGUAUUGAGGCAAGUGAAGGUCAAUAUCCCUUUGCUAGACAUGAUCAAACAAGUGUCGACAUAUGAAAAAUUCUUGAAGGACUUGUGCACUGUAAAGAGAGGGUUGAAUGUGAACAAGAAAGCUUUAUUGACCGAGCAAGUGAGUUCCAUCAUACAGUGCAAGUCCUAGUGAAGUACAAAGAUCCGGGUUGCCGUACCAUCUCAGUGAGUAUUGGAAGGACUUGUGUGGAGAAAGCUUUGUUGGACUUGGGAGCAAGUGUGAAUUUGCUAUCCUACUCUGUCUAUAAGCAGUUGGGAUUUGGAGAGUUGAAGCCAAUAUCCAUCACUCUAUCUCUAGCGGAUAGAUCAAUGAAGAUUCCAAGAGGGAUGAUCGAAGAUGUCCUGGUUCAAGUUAACAAAUUCUACUAUCCAGUAGAUUUUGUUGUUCUUGAUAUGGAUCCGGUUGUCAAAUGAACUAAUUAUGUUCCUAUCAUACUUGGAAGACCCUUCCUAGCUACAUCAAAUGCAAUCAUCAAUUGUAGGAAUGGAGUCAUGCAACUCACAUUUGUCAACAUGACAUUAGAGCUCAACAUCUUCCAUUUGUACAAGAAGCAUAUCCAUCAGGAGGAAAAAGAAGGUCUAGAGGAAGUGUGAAUGAUUGACACUUUAGUGGAAGAGCAUUGUGAUCGAGAAUGCAAAAAGAUUUAGUUGAGAAUUUUGGGGAUCUUGAUGAAAGGUUACUUGAACCCUCAGAUUUGCUUGCUACCCUACUCCAUUGGAAGAGAAGAGAAGAAAUUCUACCCUUAUUCAAUGAGGAGGAGACGCAAAGAGCUGCAAAGGAGAAACCCCCAAAACUUAUUCUUAAGCCACUACCCACAGAGUUGAAGUAUGUAUACUUGGAAGAAGACAAGAAGUGCCCUAUUGUUAUAUCUUCAACUCUUACCAUUCAUCAGGAGGAUUGUCUACUUGAAGUCCUUAGAAGAUGUAAGAAGACAAUAAGGUGGCUAAUUUCUUAUUUGAAAGGGAUCAGCCCUUUAGUCUGCACCCAUCAUAUUUACAUGGAGGAUGAAGCUAAGCUAAUUCAUCAACCUCAGAGAAGGUUGAACCCUCACAUGCAAGAGGUGGUUCGAGCUGAAGUUCUGAAGCUACUUCAGACCAGUAUUAUUUACCCCAUAUCAAAUAGCCCAUGGGUGAGUCCUACUCAAGUUGCGCCAAAGAAGUCUGGGAUCAUGGUGGUGCAAAAUGAUAAGGGAGAAGAUGUCUCUACACGCCUCACUACAGGUUGGAGGGUGUGUAUCAAUUACAGGAGGUUGAAUGCAGUGAUAAGAAAGGACCAUUUCUCAUUGCCCUUUAUUGAUCAGGUGCUUGAGAGGGUCUCUGGGCUUUUUUUUUUAUUGUUUCUUGGAUGGCUACUCCGGGUACUUUCAGAUAGAAAUUGAUGUUGAAAACCAAGAUAAGACCAUUUUCACAUGCCCAUUUGGAACCUAUGCAUAAAGGAGAAUGCCUUUCGGCUUAUGCAAUGCACCCGCAACUUUCCAAAGAUGCAUGUUAAGCAUUUUCAGUGAUAUGGUGGAGCGUAUUAUGGAAGUCUUUAUGGAUGAUAUCACCAUUUAUGGAAGUGCAUUUGAUGAAUGCUUGGUCAACUUAGAAGCUGUUCUGAACCGAUACAUUGAGAAAGACUUAGUGCUUAACUGGGAGAAGUGCCAUUUCAUGGUACACCAAGGGAUUGUCCUUGGGCACAUUAUCUCCAAGCAAGGCAUUGAAGUUGACAAAGCAAAGGUUGAACUCAUUGUUAAGUUGCCAUCCUCAACAAAUGUCAAAGGAGUAAGGCAAUUCUUUGGCCAUGUCGGGUUCUAUAGGAGGUUUAUCAAGGAUUUCUCUAAGCUUGCAAGGCCUCUUUGUGAAAUAUUGGUGAAUGAUGUUAAAUUCAUAUGGGAUGAUGGAUUUGAAAGGAGUUUUGAAGAAUUGAAGCUAUUUUUGACAACCGUACCAAUAGUGAGGGCUCCCAACUGGCAACUGCCCUUUGAAGUAAUGUGUGAUGUCAAUGAUUUUGCUAUAGGAUUUUUUCUUGGGCAAAGAGAAAAUGGAAAACCUUAUGUGAUCUACUAUGCGAGGAAGGCAUUGAAUGAGGCACAAAGAAACUACACAACCACCGAGAAAGAAUUGUUAGCUGUAGUUUUUGCCUUGGAUAAGUUUCGCGCUUACUUGGUGGGGUCCUUCAUCAUGGUUUUUACUGAUCACUUUGCUUUGAAGUAUCUGUUGACUAAGCAAGAUGCUAAAGCAAGGCUGAUUAGAUGGAUUCUCUUACUUCAAGAGUUCAAUCUCCAUAUCAAAGAUAAGAAAGGAGUGGAGAAUGUGGUAGCAGACCACAUUUCAAGGCUAGCUAUCGCACAUAAUUCCCAUGCUUUGCCCAUUAAUGACGAUUUUCUAGAGGGGUCUCUCAUGUUGGUGGAAGUUGUCCCUUGGUACGCUCACAUUGCUAACUACCUGGUCACGGGAAAAGUUCCAAGUGAGUGGAAAGCACAAGAUAAGAAGCACUUCUUUGCAAAAAUUCAUGCCUACUAUUGGGAAGAGCCAUUUCUAUUCAAGUAUUGUAUGGAUCAGAUAAUAAGGAAGUGCGUUCCUGAAGAAGAGCAACAGGGGAUCCUUAGUCAUUACCAUGAAAAUGCAUGUGGAGGCCACUUUGCUUAUCAAAAGACAGCCAUGAGGGUGUUGCAAUCGGGUUUCUGUUGGCCAUCACUUUUCAAAGAUGCCCACACCAUGUGCAAGAGUUGUGAUCGAUGCCAGAGGCUUGGGAAGUUGACACGCAGGAACAUGAUGCCUUUGAACCCCACUUUAAUAGUUGAUAUUUUUUAUGUUUGGGGCACUAACUUCAUGGGACCUUUCCCUAUGUCUUUUGGCUACUCUUACAUCUUGGUAGGAGUAGAUUAUGUUUCUAAGUGGGUUGAGGCAGUCCCAUGCAAACACAAUGACCAUAGAGUGGUUCUCAAGUUUCUUAAAGAGAAUAUCUUCUCAAGAUUUGGGGUGCCCAAAGCCAUAAUUAGUGAUGGGGGUACUCAUUUUUGCAACAAGCCUUUUGAAACUCUCCUAGCCAAGUAUGGGGUGAAGCAUAAGGUAGCUACACCUUACCACCCUCAAACUCAUGGACAAGUUGAGUUAGCAAACAGGGAGAUUAAAAACAUAUUGAUGAAGGUGGUGAACACAAACAGAAAAGAUUGGUCAGUCAAGCUUCUUAAUUCACUAUGGGCAUAUAGAACAACUUACAAGACCAUUCUCGGGAUGUCUCCUUAUCGCCUAGUUUAUGGCAAAGCAUGCCAUCUCCCUGUGGAAUUGGAAUACAAAGCUUGGUGGGCAAUCAAGAAGCUCAACAUGGAUUUGAGCAGAGCUGGGUUGAAGAGGUUCUUAGACCUUAAUGAGAUGGAGAAAUUGAGAAAUGAUGCCUACAUCAAUUCAAAAAUUGCAAAAGAAAAAUUGAAGAGGUGGCAUGAUCAGUUGAUUUCCCGCAAGGAUUUUCAAAAUGGACAAAGAGUCUUACUUUAUGACUCUAAACUCCACAUCUUUCCGGGCAAGCUGAAAUCAAGGUGGAUAGGUCAUUUUACCAUUCACCAAGUGCAUUCAAAUGGAGUAGUGGAACUACUCAACUCCAACAAUAUCGAGAACUUCAAAGUGAAUGGCCACCGUCUCAAGCCCUUUGUGGAGUCUUUUUCUCACAACAAGGAGAAAUUCAUCCUCCUUGAUCCACAUCAAGCUUAACAAGACCAAUUUUCUUGAUGGACUUAGUCUUUCUAAAGACUAUCGAGUCCAUAACUUUUUGUUUUAUUUUUUAUUUGAGAUUUUUUCGGUAUUGUUACUUGUUUUGUUUUUUAUUUUUCGUUUUAAUUUUAUUUGGUUUGAUUUAACUUAGGUUUUUGAUGAUCAAUUACAGGGGGGAUUUCAAAUAGAGGAAAAACCAAGAUAAUUCGCACACCCUACGAAAAUUUCGCAAGGCAUGCGAAAUUUAUGGCUUAUUUUGCAUGGGGUGAAAAUUUUCGUACAUCUUACGAACCAAUUUCGAACACUUUGCGAAAAUAAACCAACCCUGCGAAAUCAUUUCGAUUACUCUACGAAAUUUUCGUAGAGCAUGCGAAAAAUUUAGCACACCAAACACCAUUUCGCAUACUAUGCAAAAACCUAAGGGGUCUGCGAAACCAUUUCGCACCUCCAAAUCCAUUUCGCACAUUGUGCGAAAACCAAGAGGCGCUGUGCGAAAAUGAAAAGUCGCCCUGUCAUCCCUUUUUAAACCCCUCGAGCCCUAAAAUCUCCAUUUCGCAAGCACCCCUGUCCUUGCGAAUCCCUCAUUUUCCUCUACUACCUUGCAACCUCGUCCCUUUCCAUUUGAUAUUGUGCCCCGCGCACAUCUCAUUUCAGAGACUCGCACUCCGCGCCCCCUCAAAGCAUGGACUCGAGACCCACCUUCCAUUUCCGACGUGGCACGGACCCAAGGAGCCCUUUCUGCCCCUUCACUAAGACACACACCAAGGCAGAAAGCCUCCUUUGCUCAAGUGCCUAGUGAUUCUCCAUCUUAGGCCUCAGAGGCCUCGGAGGCCCCGUGGAUUCCACCUUCCGAGGGUAGAGCAGCCAUUGGUCCUUCCUCUUCUACUCCUUAGCGUAGAUACGAGACGAGGAGACCACCUACUACACAAGGGGCGACUACUUCGAGCCUUGAGAAUUCAGUACGAUGCCUUCCUGCCAAGAGGGUCAAGACUUCAGGUCCAAGUGAGUCAUCCAGAGCUUCAUAGCCUAAGCCUCCUGUAGAUUCCAAGGUUCCUACUGACAUAUCACCGGAGUCUAUUAUCAGAAGCCCGAUGCUCAUAGCACCGCCCAUUGAGGGCAACUCAGAUUAUAGAGCGAGAUCUUUCCACUUGGAGCUAUAUUUUGAUCAGGAGGCCAUACGACAGCAGCCUGAGCUCCGAGACUCUUAUGGCUUACUGCAGAGGUACCAUCUUGAGGAACUUAUGACUCCUCGUGAGUUUUUUUAUCCCAGAGUAGCACUAAACUUUUACCAGUCCAUGACUACUCGUGGCGUCCCGAGUCCUACCACGAUUCACUUCACCAUUGAUAGACGUCAUGGUAUCCUCAAGGCCAGACAUAUUACAGAGGCUCUACAAAUUCCUUUCGAGCUAGAGGAUCCAUCUGUUUUUCGCUAAUGGUCCCCAGUAUCUCAGAGGGACAUGGUCCGUAUUUUAUCUAGGGGAACAUCUACAGAUUCGAUCUUUCUACGGAAGGAGCUUCGACCUGGGAUGCUCCUCUUAGAUGUGGUGCUAUGCUCCAACCUCUUUCCCUUACAACAUUCGGUACAUAGGUGAUGAGCUAUUUUGGACGCUUUAUUCCGUAUAUCAGAGGGCUUCUACUUUGGCCCGCACCACUUGAUCAUGGUCUCCCUCAUCCACUUUGAGGAGAAGGUUCAUAGGAAGAAGCUUCAGAGGGUGGACACCAUUCCAUUACUAUUCCUGAGGUUACUUUGCCAGGUCUUGGAGUACAUGGGCUUUCCUACUGAGCCUCGGCUCGAGCUUUGCCGCCUUUGUCGAGAGUGAUCCACUCUCGACAAAUGGAAUUAGUUGGCGGGCUAUUCUGCACCUCCAGGAGCCCCUCCCAUGGUAGCACCUCCAAUGUCCCCACAGGCAAAGUAGGGCGAGCUCCCGGCAAAGACUGUACCACCAAUGCCCACACUUGAGGCUAUUUCUGCUGCUCUGCCUAUGACUCCUACUGUUCCACCAGUUGGUCCUUUUACAUCCGAGCCUUCCAUCACCAUCUCGGCUUCGGAGUUUCGCGCCCUUGUGCAUACCUUUCAGACACUCACCACCACACAUACUCCUCUCUUCUAGCAAAUGGUUGAGAUGUGUGCCCAUCAGGACCGGAAGACUACUAUACUCUGCCAAAUUCAGCAGCACCUAAGACUUUUGCCUCAACCUCAACCUAACCAUCCCAUAUCAUCAGAGCCUCUAGCUCCAACUGAGGAUACUAUUCCACCUGAGAACACUACCACAGUAGAGGUCCGGUUUCCACCACCUUAAGAGGCCACCACAGCUACAUCAGAGGAUGUGUCAUCUCCACUUGAGGCUCCCACUACUUGAUCAUAGGACAUAUCUUUAUCUUAUUGUAUUUACAUAUUAUAUUACUAGAGAUUUGUCCUUGUUUUGAUACUUUAUAUUCUGGGAUUGGAUGUAUUGCCUGAUGAUAUCUCAAUUGUACUUUCUCAUAUUAAUAUAUAGACAUCAAUUUUUUUUAGUAUACUUAGCAUUUUUCUAUUUCCUCUACUCAUUACUCUUUUGUUUUUUUUUACUCAUGUGGUUUCUCUUAUACAACUCAGACUCCAUUUCACUCAGGAGGUACCACUUCCUCCCUUUAUUUUCAAUUGCUCUUGAAAUAUUGAGUGCAAUGUUGAUCUUGGUUGGGGGGAGAGUUGAGGAAGGAAGUUUUGUUAAUAAUGCUAGGUUAAUUUGUUAAUUUAGUUACUUUCUGCUUAAUUUUAAAAGUUUUCACUCUACUUUCCAUGGUUAUUAAGGAAAAAUUCUCAAAAUGAAAUGGGAGAAAUCGAAUUCUUGCAUUUUUACUUGAAUCUUAGAAUUUGUAUCAUGCUUAUUAAAGUUGAUGAAUUAUUGAAACUCCUAUUGAAUUCAACCUUAUUUUUUCCACUUUAAUCUUACCACACACGGUGCACAUUAGGUUCCAGUUAUAAGAUAAAAAACUAUCUCACCCCCUAAACUUAGAAAAAUUUACACUUGGUACCUUUGACAUCGUUUUAAUAGUGUUGGGACACCUUAUAAAAGGCCAAUGAGCCUUUAAAAAAAAAAAAAAAAAAAAAAAGAGAAAGAACAAAGUAUUGCACUUGCCUUGAAACCUGAGCAAGAUCCGAGGGGUAUACAGUGAAAGUCUUUAAAACCUGGUGCCCUAAGCCUUGAUUGGUUGGGAGUCACCGACCUCAAUGCUCGUUAUAAGGGUGAAUAGGUGGAGUUUAACAUAUUGUAGGUGCUUGGGUAUUGAAUUUCAAUCUCAAAAGUCCGGGAAAAAAUCUAAGGAGUUAGUGGUCAAAAGAUCCUUAAAGCUUGAUGCCCUAAACCUUGAUUGGUUGAGAGUCAUUGAUGGAUCCCCGCUACAUGGACAUUUUAGAAAACAAUACCUUUAGCAUUGCACGCCUACAAUGAAAAAAAAAUGUGAAAUAAAAGAGGUGCGUUCUUAGCCUAUUGGAGGUUGGUCAGUUUGCUAAAGUUUGAGAAAUCUAGGUUGGGGGGAGAGAAUAGUCCGACAUACUAUAAUAAAAAACUAAUAACCUUAACACUUAGAUUUUUGUGGAAGAGUAAGGAUUGGACCUUUAGGGGUGGAAAUUCUUUUGAUGCUUAAAUUUGCAUAAUGCCUACUCUUUAUAAAUUAUGAUUAGGCAAGAGAUUUGAUGACUCUUGUUCAAAGUUGGGUUUUUCCUCUUUGAUGUUCCAUGAGAGAGUAUAAUCCUCAUCAUGCCACUUGAAAUCUUUUUGGAGUGAUUAACAUGAUUUUGUAAAUUAUUUUACUGUCUAUUUUUCUUUAUCUCUCUUUUAUUGCUAAUGGACUAGCAAUAUGUCAGUUGGGGGGAGUGAUUACUACUCAAAAAGUACUCUUUUAUAGCUUGAAACUAACUGUUUUAAACACUUUUGAGUAGGUGUUAAUACAUUUUAACUCAAUUGGCACAUUAAGGAACCUAACAAGGGUUACUAAUAAGUUUUUGGCAAGUUUUGGUGUUUUUGGUAGCUAUUUGAUCAUUGAAACAAGCCAAGAAUGAGGGAGAAUUUUGUGAAGUCCAUAGCAAUGCAAGUUAAAGCUCAAAUACAUGAAGAAUCCAAGCUUUGAAGCACUUCAUAGCCCUUUGCGAAGCCAAUCAGAGAUGCAAGGAAGAAAACCAGAGGAAAAAAUCCAACAACCAGCAUUUUCGCAUGGCUGUGCGAAAUUUUGCACACCAUGCGAAACCACAAGAAGUAGCCAAAGAAUUUUGCACACCAUGCGAAAUUUCGCAUGGUAUACGAAAUCUUCCUAUGCACCAACUCCGUUAUAUUUUUAUCUUCAGAUAUUUUGUGUAAUUUCCUAGUUUCUCCUUGUAACCAACCUAGAUAUUUUCUUUUAUAUCUUUUUUUUAUAUUUUUUAGGUAACAUCAUAUAUAGGGGGAGAGACAUAAGGAGGAUAUGGAUGUUUUUCAUAAAACACUUUUAAUUUUCUGGUAGUAAGAAAUAUACAAAGUUUUUUGCUCUGCCUUACCUUCUCAUUUUGUUUUCACCUAUCUUUCUAGCCAAACAACCUCUGAGAAUGAUUUCUCAGGGGAUGAGUAGUUAGGUUUUACGUUUCUUGGAGUGAGAGAAGCUAGGUGAAAGACCCAAAUGCUAAGGUGGGAGUUGUCCUUGCUUUAAAUGAAAGUAGUUGUUAAAUAUUAAUGGUUUUUAUUUUAAGGUUUAGCUUUAAAUCCCUUAAAAACACCUUGAAUGGCCAAUACUUGGUAAGCUUUUCGGAUUCUAUGGAUGCUUAUUGCUAGAUCCAUGGAUGUCAUUAGUUAUCAUUUAUGAGCCAUUGGAAGGUGGUUCAAGAUGAGAGUCUUUAGUGUUUGAAGCCAUUAAUGGGAAACAAUUACCAUUUUUUCAUGAAUCCUUUGGAUAAAAUCUUAAUUGCUAAAUAUAAAACUGGUUCGGGAGAUAACCAUCCUUUAUGUUAUUAUGCCCAAUGCAAGGAGAAGAUUUCGAAUCUUCUCAUUUGUCUAAGGAACCCGAUCCUAGUGACCUAAAGCUCCUAGAGACCUUUUCUUUGUAGUUAACUUCAUUUAUUGUUUUUGCUUAACUUAAAAUCAAUCUUUGCAACCACAAUUCCAUUUUCUUUAAAAGCUAAUUUUUAUAAGGAAAAGCACCAUUUUAUUUCCUUCACUAAGUCAACUGUAUGAUGAAAACCCAUCCCUGUGGACGAUCUUAGAGCCACUAUACUAUGUUAUCUAUGCUAUCCUAGUGUGAGGUGAUUUAGGUUUUAUAAAUUUUGUUGAUAACACCCGUCUGAGCCAGAAUCAAAUGGAACCACUGAACCAGGGACAAAUCAACAGCCUAUAUGGGAGGGACACAAGUUUAAUUGAUUUGCAUUUCAGCGUUAUAGAUAAGUAUGUUUUGGAAGAUUUGUUCUGGAAAUACUGCACCAAGUACGAUUCUUUUUCUCUUGAGUGAGUCCAUUUGCAUGCCAAUUAACGAGUUGAAAAGUAGGAGCACCUACCUCGUGCUCAUGGAACCGAAUGUCAGUGAAGUGGGGCUCCUUUUAGCCUCUUGUGUUUCUGUUCCAACCAAGGCGGCGUAGGGAAAAACAACAAUAUGUCUGUGCUAAAUAUCAACGCAUGAUAGAUGUUUUUUUUUUUUUUUUUGGUAUGUCAAGGCUAACGAAUGAAAUGCAUUAGCUUGUUUUGUGACUAUAACUGCAAAUGUCCAAAUUGGAGUAUCUCCAUUUCUCACUUCGGAUGGUUAACUUUAUAAACAAGAUAUAGGAAACAUGUGAACAUCUUGAGGAACAAUUCAAAUUAUUCAUUAGAAGUCCUGGGUUAAGUUCCAAGAUUUAAAUCAGACCCUUCUAGCAGCUUCAAGGGUACUUAGCAACCUAUAACAUAUUAAUGAAGAUUUAGGAUUUAGACUCCGGAAUACAAAUAAAUAUGUAUCUCAUGCUUUGACUAGCUUCCCUACAUAUGCAUAAAAUGGAGAUGACCCAAAAAAAAUAGCAGAAUCUAGCUUCCCUACAUAUGCACAAAAUGGAGAUGACCCAAAAAAUAGCAUAAUCGCCUUAGUUUCUGUGGUUAAGGUGAUUCUCCGCUUAAUAUCCACAUUGACUCAUUAUGCAAAAUCAACUGAGCUAAUUUUAUUUAUUUAUUUAAUGUCAAAUAGGAACUCCUAAUUAACUGAUUACUGUCGAAAAGUGCUAUUUUGUAGACCUAAUUAUAAGGGUUUUAAGCACCUUUGAGUAGUAAUCAUAUUCAUUUAACCUAAUUAAUUCAUUAAGCUCCUUAGUAAUUAGUUCUAACCAUUUUUAGUGGCAAGUUUACAUGUUUUUCAUCAGCUUAUGAACCAAUUCAAGCAUGCCAAUUGAUGGAGGAGCUACUUGGGCGAGUUAAGCAAGGAUUUUGGACGUUUACAGGCUUGAAUUUCAAGUGGAAACACGAGCACAAGCAAUGGGAACACCAUUUCGCAAGGGGAGGCAAUUCACCUUGCCAAAUGACCAAUUUCGCAAGGGGAUUUUCCUCAUGGUGCAAAAUUUGGUCAUUUCGCACCAUGAAGAAACCACCUUGCAAAAUUUCGCAAGGUGGAUUUAGGCACCUUGCGAAAUGCCAAAUUUCACAAGGUGGCUUUUCACCUUGCGAAAUUUGGACCUUUCAUCUUCCCCCCUUGCGAAAUGCCUUUGAAAUCCCCUGUUUUGAGACGCUGUUGAUGAUAUUCCACUGCCGGUUCUCCAAGAUAUUUUGCUUGACUUUUAGCUUUAUAAAUACCUAUUUUACCCUUGUAAUCAACCAAUGAAAAGGUUGCUUUUGUAAUAGCUCUUGUAAUUUAGCUUUUUAUUGUCUUUAAAUAGAGGUGAAGAGCCUCAGACACGAUCAUCUUGUAACCUGUAACUUUAUAAGUUAUAAGAGCACUUUUGUUCAUACGCUUCUUUUCUCUUUUCUUUCUCAUUUUCUUAGUAGCCAAACAUCCUUGGAGGAUGAAAUCCCCAAGGAUGAGAGGCUAAAACCUUUUAGUUUCUUGAAGUAAUGGAUGCCAUGUGAAGCUCCCGUGUCAGGAUGGAGAUUUCCAAGCCAUAAAUGUAAGUAGCUGAGCGUCAUAAAUGUUUUCAUUCAAAGUAAAGCUUUUAAUCCCUCUGACUUGCUUUGAAUGGCCAAUACUUGAUAACCUUUUGGUCUCAAUGGAUUCUUAUUGUUAGAUCCACUGACGUUCAUUAGUUAUCUCCUACGAGCCAUUGUAUUGCAAGUCGAGGAGAUGACCUAUACCAAUAAAAGAGCAUUUAUGAGGUUCAACUACCCUUUUUGUAAGUUUUCAAGGACUAAAACUCAGUUGUUAAACUCAUACCGGUUCGAGAAGUAAGCAUCACCUUAGUUGCUUCCCCAACUCGAGGUGAAAAGUCCCAAAAUCUCCAUUUUUACACAGUGAGUUAAGCAUGGCUAUCCAAAGCUUUAAGAAACUUCUUUUUCCAUCUUUUAACCUAUUUUCAUGUUAGUUUAGUUUACAACACCUUCAUCUUUUUAUGUUUUCAUCUUAACCUAAUUUUUAUUAAGAAAAGUUCACUCCAUCCUCCGAACUUCACCAGUUAAAGUAAAAACCCUUCCCAGUGUUCGAUCCUAGAGCCACUAUGCUAUAGUAGCUUUGCUACUUUAGUGUAAGGACCUUAGGUAUAAAUUUUGUUGAUACCCUUACAUGCCAAGCUACCAAGAGUCGGGUUAUCAUUAACCUAACCAUUGGCCUGUGUAAAUUGAUUUCACAUGCACAAUGUUGUAGUAGAAGUCCAUAUUUUGAAUUUUAUUUUUGUAAAGGUAAGGAAAAUGAAGCAUUGUGUAAUUAUAAAAAUAACUUCAUUGGAAUUCACAAGGUUCACCCAAAAUGGAGCUACAUCUGUAUUCUAUCCUACAGUAGACUAUAUAGAUUGUACAAUAGUAAAUUGCAAAUACAAUUAAUAAGUCUUGUGCUUCCUUACUAAUAAUCCUUUGACAUGAACAUUGCAGCACUAAGGUCCUCUUGGGAAGACACCUUGCACCCAUGAGAGCACUAAGAGGAAGCAAGGCAGAGUCAUGGGUGCAAUGUCAUGACUUGUUGUUGCACCAAGAGAGGCUUGGUGAUGCCAUGGUGUUGCAGUAGCAAGAAUGUUGCCUUGGCAGGGACACGAUCUAGGGAUAGAUGCCAAGAAAGGCUUAGCACUCACAUGAGUUGCACAAAGAUGAAUGUAAUAGAGCAUCAGAGAGACGUCUUGGCAAGUAAAUGAAUGGAUCCAAGAGACAACAACAUGAGGAGUUUCAAAUGGAUAAGGAAUGACUCAAAGACAUUUGAAAGCUACAAGUUGGAUUCUAAUUACGAUUGCAAUUUGAGUUUGAGUAGGAGUUUAGAUUUUGAUUGUAAUUGUAGUAUGAGUUGGACUAGGAUUGCUUAUCCUUAGUCAAUAUAGGAGCGGUUCGUGUCACCCUAUGAAAAGAGUUUGAGUAGGGACUAGGAUUGCUUACUCCUAGUCAAAUAUGGAGUAGGUGGUGCCACACCUAUAAAAAAAAGGGACAACAUGAGAGAGAGAGAGAGAGAGAAAGAGAGAGUGAAUUCACUAAAGAUAUUGUGGGAGUUUUGCUUUGUUACGUCUUGUAUUAUUACUUAGAAUAGGAAUAAAAUACAAGUUGGGGCUAGAGCCCCAUAAUUAAUCUCGUGUGCCUUUGUGGUUAUUCUUUAUUUGUCAUCUCGUGUGGAUUGGAUUAGGUUGACUUAGAGGGCUUCUAAGCACCACCUUUGUGGGUUAUUAUUUAUUUUCCAUCUCUUGUGGAUUAGAUUAGGUUGACUUAGAGGGCUUCUGAGCACCACCUUUGUGGGUUAUUAUUUAUUUUCCAUCUAUUGUGGAUUAGAUUAGGUUGACUUAGAGGGCUUUUAAGCACCACAUUUGUGGGUUAUUCUUUAUUUUCCAUAUCGUGUGGGUUGGAUUAGGUUGACAAGGAGAAAAAUUAUGUGGGAAAUUUGUGUUGGGACACUUACCAUAACCAAGUAAAAUCUACCAAGUCCUUUGUAAUAUCUUCAACAAAUAUUUUAGACUAGUUCUUUCAGUUAGUGUAAAGGAGGAAGAAGUGGUAUUGAUUCUAGAAAUAGGGUGUGUGUAUUUGAACUACAAUCCUUAUGAUCCUUAGGUCUCUAAACCUUCGUGAUGGGCUCCCUGACAUUUCAUAGGUUGUGCUACACAUGCGUUUGAAAUUUAGAGUGCGUUUGACAGUGAUUCCGGGAAGUGUUUUUGGCCUUUCUUACACUUGAAAAUUUUUAUUUUUCAAGUAUUAGAAAUGCUACAAACACUUUUGAAAAUUACUGUCAAACACACUCUUAGGAGCGCACAUAUAUAGUAGAAAACUAGAAAUUGUGGUUUUUUUAGGAUUUACUGUAAUGUCAUUAGGAGGGUAGUAAGUUGAAAUUGAGUAUGAACAAAUAUUUCUUUCUUUGGGAUGUUCUUCUAGUAGGUGCUGAUGAAACUGUUCUUUCUACUGCCAAUGUCACAUAUCAGCCAGAAAUUGAAAAUUUCAGUCAAGGUGUCCUCUGUUUUAGUGGUGAGGAAAGCUAGAAAUUUUAAGGUGAAGUUUUGUUAAAAACCUUAAGUAGCUGGGAUAUCAGGCCUGUUUUGCUUGAAAAAAAAAGUUGCAAGAUAACUCAUAUGCCAAACAGGUUCUGAUAUUGUGAAUCUAUCGGCAGACAUCAGUAAUCUCAUCUUCUGAGAUGGAUGUUGGGGGUGCAUGUGGUGGUGGAGGGGCAAGGUUUCAUUUGGUUUAUUUUGUUGAUGGAUAUUGUCUAGCCACCUGCGCCAAGUUUGAGGGGUGGUGGGUUGUGAUGACCCUACAAUUACUAUUAAUUUCUUCAUCUUUUACCGAUUAAAGUGUCCGAACAGUCGAAGUUACCCUUAUGCAUGUCAACUUGAUCACUUACCUCUUCAAUGGAGUUUAUGCUGGUUCAUUUAGGAACUGAUUUUUAUUGUUAUGUAUUAUAUGCUGAUGUUUAGGUCUCUCCAUCAUCACUAUAUACAAAAAUUCUAGGUUGAUACUAUAGGUUGAGAUUUAUUUUUUAAAUAAAAAAUAAUAAAAAUAAAAAUUAUGGUGAUGUUUAGUUGUUUUAUGGAAAAUUUUAACAAGUAAAAGUUAUUUUUGGGCAAGUUUUCAAACAAAAAGAAAAGUAAAAGUUGUUUUGACAAAAACAUAUAGAAAAAAAAAUCAUAGAAAAUAAAUAAUUUCCCCAUAUUCUAACUUUUUUGAAUUUUUCUCAAUGGGCAAAGGAAUAUCAAAUCAAGUUUGAGUAGGAUUUCUUAAUUUUUAAAAUAACUUACAAUUAAAAAAUUUUGGUGUUUUCAUUUUUGGACAAUUUUUUAUUAAGCAAAUGGACUCUGAGUCAUGCAAGAGAUAUGGUUCAUUAACCGGUCGAACAAUUUUUUUAAAUUAAUUUAAAAGUCAAAUACAUAAUCAAUUUCACAAAAUUUAUAAACAAAAAUAGGUUUAGAGAAGAUCUACACAUAAUUUUACUUUUCUAAUUUUAUUUUAUUUUAUUUUUUGUUGGAAAAUAGUCUUCAAAUCAUGUAAGAUUUAAUAGGUUAAAUUUGUUAACAAUAAAUUUUAAAUUAUAAAAUAUAAUCUGGAACUCAAAAAUCAAUUCAAGUAAUGCUAAAAAAAAAUCAAAUUUGGUAUAGAAUGACUUUGUAAAUUUUUUUACAAAACAAAUGAAUUUUAAAUCAAGUGAGAUUUAAUGCAUUAGAUUUUUAUCAAAUAUAGUAAUUUUAAAAAUAAAUUUGGAACUCAACAAUAGACACAAUAAAUACCAAAAAAUAAUGAACCAAAAUUGGUUUGGAAUAACUCCACAACCUUUUUUUUUUUUUUUUGGUGCACACGAAUUUUCUUACUAGGUAUAUUGCUUUCAAAUUGAGAAAGAUUUACCAUUUAGAUUUUUUUUUAAUGAGUUUAAUGGUAUUUUAAAAUAAUUCAAAAUUUAAAAAAUUGACUAAUUAAUAUUAUAAAUUGAUAAACCAAGACUAUUUCAAAAUGCAUUGGGGGCUAAGGGGGUUGAAAAUAGGGACAAUGGGAUGGGUUUGGGACAUGACACUCAUAUCUCAUUUCCAUUCCAAUUACACAGUUAUCUCCCAUCCUUAUCCCAAACUUGUGUUGGAGCAAGUUGAUUUGUUCCCAUCUUUGUUGACGAAAUGACUAAUAACCUCAUCCCCUCCUUAUCUUAGAUGUACAUUUUGUCAAAUUUGAUCAGGUAUGAUUGAUCCAAGCCCUAACCCUAAUUGGUAAUGAGUGAAUACUACACCUAAUUGCAUUCUUCUUUCAUUGCAAAAUAAUGAGAUUAUAAUAAUCUAGCAAAUAAGAAAAAAUAGUAUGGAAGUUCAAAUUAACACCAUAACUAUCAAUAAUUUUAAGCUUAUAGAUGACUUAAAUGAUUAAAAACUAAUGCAAAAUCCUAAAAAAAAUAAAAAUCAUAUAAAGAAUUCACAAGAGAACAGAAUGAACAAAAACCAAAUAUGAACAUGGGUCAACAUUAGUUAUGGAUUUGGAUUCCUUUCAAGGCCAAUCUUUGAACCAAGACUUCAUCAAAUCAACUACUUCAAAGGCUUUUGUGUUCUUCUUGGGUUGUGCUCUCAAACAAAGACUUCGAGGUGAUGUUCUAGAUGAUUGAAUUACACAUAUUUAGGGUGGAGAGAUUGGAGAAGCUUGAAGAUGCCAACGAUGGGUACAAUUGAGUGGUCAAUAAGAACAAUGUAGCCUAUGACUAGUUUGAUGUCAUGGUACAAGAGUUUUAGGCAUUGAGGUUAAAGCAAGAGCAACAUGGAAUUGAUUUCGGAGUCUUUCAGUUAGUGUAAAGGAGGAAGAAGUGGUGUUGAUUCUAGAAAUAGGGUUUUAAGUGGUGCGUGAUUACUACUCAAAAAGUGCUAUUUGAUAGCCUUUAAUUAAUCCUUUUUAACACUUUUGAGUAGUAGUUUAGGCCUUUUAACUCAAUUGGCAUGUUAAGGAUCCUUUAAAGCAAUUUUGAUCACUUUGUGCAAGUUUUGGUGUUUUUGUUAGUAUUUUGAUCACCAAAGCAAGUCAAGAAUGAGGAGAACUAUGAGGAAUCAUGGGCAAAGCUUAGAAUUCAAUUGCCAAGAGUGAAUCCGGAUUGCAAGGAGAAAAAGCAAAGAGAAUCUGUCAUGAAGCCUAUUCUUGAUGACAGUCGUAGCAGCCACUUUUGGAGCACUUUCUGAAGUCCAAAUGAUGCAAGCUAUAUACCAUUUCAAAGAUCAGGAAGUCAACAAUCCAAUGCUUCAAACGGUGCGCGAUUCGGAGUUGAAACGAAGAAGUUGCAGCCAUUACAAGCCAGUCACUCUAAAGUGUUGCGGAAUCAGCCUUUUGUUGCGAGAAUUUCGCAGCACUUUUGUACAGUAAGGUGUUUCUCCUUCUGACGAUGCACGAACCAUGCCGCGAGAGGGAAGCUAGGAACUUCAAGAUGGAAGCCAACUUUGCAGCCUGGUGAAGAUAGCUUGGUCUUGCGAAAUAAUUUCGCAGCCCUCUUGGGUGUCUGCGAAAUUUCGCAGGCACCACUUUUUUCCUGCGAAAUGGCUCCGGAAGCCUCCCGAAGCUUGCUACCGACAUUGGGAGAUAUUUUCCAUUAGAUUUUUGUUGUCUAAAUUCCAAAAUACUCCUUGUAAACCACCAAUUACAUGAUUCCUUAGUUUUUAAGUUAGUAAAAAGACCAAAUAUCUAUGUAAUAAUUAGUUUUAUAUUAGUUUGCUAUAAAUACCUCUCGGGAGCAUGUUCUCAGAGAGGAGUUCCUUCUGUAACCAUUUUGGUAAGCAAGUAAAGUCUUUUCUUUCUACUGCCUUACCUUCUCACUUUGUAUUUUCAUUUUAUUUCUAAGUUAUGAAUUCUCUGAGGAGCUUUCCCCAGAGAAUGAGUAACUAAACCUCCAAUUCCUUGGAGCUAAGGUUGCCGGGGAAGGUUCCAAGUGCAAGAAUGCAAAGCUCUGUGGUUUUAGCUAGUAAUGAAGAGGAAGUGAAAUCCUUUAGUGAUUUCAAUGUUUUUAGUUAACUUAAAACACCUUGGAGUCACCUGGGCCAACACUUGGUAAGGCAAGUGAUUUCCAACCGUGGAAAUGCACUAGUUUACCCCUUGCGAGCCUCUGGUAGGUGACUUCAAGGUAGGAUUUUCUGGAAUUACCAACACUUGGUAAGCUUUUGGACUCCUAGGAGACAUCCAUUAGUUAUCUCUUGCGAGUUUGUGAAGGGGAAUCCAAGGUUAAAGAUCACCUUGAAUGGUAAGUGCUCGUGAGAGGCAUGAACCAUUGCAAGUUGUAUCAGUGAGAGAAUUAAAGUGAAAUCUAAUUGAAGGAGUCUCUGUACAUCACCGGUUAGAGAAUUGACUAUAAGUUGAAUCUCUAAUGCGAGGAAAUGAACCAUCUGACCGGAGCUAUGUCUUUUGCAUGAGGAACCACCCCAGUGAACCUAAAUCUCCAAGGAAUGCUUUUCUUCCUAAAUUAUUCCAAACUUCUGUUAAGUUAGUUAGUUUAAGUCUAAACCUUUACCAAUCAAACUUUGUGUUUUAUUUCUUAAGCUAACCGUGAAAUGAAACAAAACCAAUUCACUUGGAAUUGGUAUCCUUGAUUGCUUGCAAAUCAUUCCCAGUGAACGAUCCUUAGAGCCACUAUACUAUAGUAGCUUUGUAUUUGCUACCCUAGUGUAUGGUGUUAUAGGUAUAAAUUUUGUUGAUCACUUCCUCAAUCAAGGAACACCAGCUGAACACAAAUCAGCUGAGACACCAAUUGGGCAUGAGUCAAAUGGCGCCGUUGCCGGGGAAUGAGUGUCAAGAUCAUUGUGAUACCAUUUUUGAGCACUUGUGAUUUUCAUCACAAGUUGGUAAAGUUUCUUUCACUUUACUAAUUUUCAUUCUCUCUUUGUUUAUUUACAAUCUAAGUUUAUCUUUUUAAAAUUUAGUCUAGUUUAAUUUUGCUAUUGUAGCCUUGUUUCUCUUGUUGUCCUCUGUUCUUGUUGUCCUCUGUUUUCAUUUUAGUUGCAGCUGAAUACUAGUUGUGUAUGCCAAAGUGGAUACGAGACAUUGGAGGUAGGCUUAUUAAGUGUGAUACACCUCAGAGAGGAGAAUUGGAAGUAAUCUUGAAUAUCAUGGAGGCUGCACCUGAAGAUCAGCAUAGUCACCAAGGUCGUCAAGACAAUCUCAAUGAAUUCAGAUCAAUGAGGGACCGUAUGCAUCCACCUCGUAUGAGUGCACCAUCAUGUAUAGUGCCCCCUACAGAGCAACUAGUGAUCAGACCAUAUCUUGUUCCACUUCUACCAACUUUCCAUGGGAUGGAAAGUGAGAAUCCGUAUGCACACAUCAAGGAAUUUGAAGAUGUUUGUAAUACAUUCCAAGAGGGAGGAGCUUCAAUUGAUUUGAUGAGGCUUAAGUUAUUUCCUUUUAAUUUAAAGGAUAAGGCCAAAAUUUGGCUUAAUUCUUUAAGGCCAAGGAGUAUCCGCUCUUGGACUGAUUUACAAGCUGAAUUCCUCAAGAAAUUUUUUCCUACUCAUAGAACAAAUGGCUUGAAAAGGCAAAUUUCAAACUUCUCAGCUAAAGAGAAUGAGAAAUUCUAUGAGUGUUGGGAAAGAUACAUGGAAGCUAUAAAUGCUUGUCCUCACCAUGGCUUUGAUACUUGGCUACUGGUGAGUUAUUUUUAUGAUGGUAUGUCCUCCUCAAUGAAGCAACUCCUCGAGAAAAUGUGUGGAGAAGAUUUCAUGAGCAAAAAUCCAGAGGAAGCUAUGGAUUUCUUGAGCUAUGUAGCUGAUGUUUCAAGGGGAUGGGAUGAACCAACUAAAGGAGAAGUGGGAAAGAUGAAGUCUCAGUUGAAUGCUUACAAUGCAAAGGCUGGGAUGUAUACUUUAAAAGAGGAUGAUGACAUGAAAGCAAAGUUGGCAGCUAUGACAAGAAGAUUGGAGGAGCUGGAGCUGAAAAGAAUGCAUGAAGUGCAAGCUGUUGCUGAAGCACCAGUGCAAGUGAAGUUGUGUCCCAAUUGUCAAUCGUUUGAACAUUUGGUAGAGGAAUGCCCUGCAAUUUCAGCUGAAAGGGAAAUGUAUAGAGAUCAAGCAAAUGUUGUUGGACAAUUCAGGCCCAAUAACAAUGCUCCUUAUGGAAAUACCUACAAUUCAAGUUGGAGGAAUCAUCCAAAUUUUUCAUGGAAGGCCAGAGCAACUCAAUACCAACAGCCGGAUCCACCAUCUCAACAAUCUUCAAGUAUUGAACAAAUAAUAGCUAAUCUCAGCAAGGUAGUGGGAGAUUUUGUGGGAAAGCAAGAAGCCACCAAUGCUCGAGUGGAUCAAAGAAUGGACAGAGUGGAUCAAAGAAUGGACAGAAUGGAGAGUAUGUUGAACAAAAGAAUGGAUGGAAUGCAAAAUGAUAUGAAUCAAAAAUUUGAUAACAUCCAAUAUUCAAUUUCAAGGCUUACAAAUUUGAAUACACUGCAAGAAAAGGGAAGAUUUCCUUCUCAACCUAACCAAAAUCCCAAAGGUGUCCAUGAAGUGGAAAGCCAUGAGGGAGAAUCAUCACAGGUGAAAGAUGUGAAAGCUUUGAUCACUCUAAGGAGUGGUAAGAAAAUUGAGCAGCCAACACCCAAGCCACAUGUUGAGAAAGAAGAAGAGAUGAAGAAAGGGAAGGAAAUGGAAGAUAAAGGCAGUGAGAUCAGUGAAGAAAAGAAGGACUCUGAUGCAACAAUGAAAGUAAUUCCAGAGAAGGAGCUUCUGAAGGAAGAAAUGCUGAAGAAAUCAACUUUUCCACCUUUUCCUCAAGCAUUACAGGGGAAAAAGGGGGUUAGAAAUGCAGCUGAAAUCCUAGAAGUAUUGAGGCAAGUGAAAGUUAAUAUUCCACUGCUGGAUAUGAUCAAACAAGUUCCAACGUAUGCAAAAUUCCUAAAGGACUUGUGUACUAUCAAAAGAGGGUUGACUGUAAACAAGAAAGCCUUCUUGACUGAGCAAGUAAGUGCAAUCUUACAGUGUAAGUCUCCUUUGAAGUACAAAGACCCUGGAAGUCCUACCAUUUCAGUCAUGAUUGGAGGAAAGGUAGUGGAGAAAGCCUUGCUAGACUUGGGAGCAAGUGUGAAUUUGCUUCCAUAUUCUGUCUACAAGCAACUGGGACUUGGAGAGUUGAAGCCAACAGCAAUCACUUUGUCUCUGGCAGAUAGAUCAGUGAAAAUUCCAAGAGGGGUAAUUGAGGAUGUAUUGGUUCAAGUAGAUAAUUUCUACUAUCCUGUAGAUUUUGUUGUUCUUGAUACAGAUCCUACUGUAAAGGAAGCUAAUUUAGUUCCUAUCAUCCUUGGAAGGCCAUUUCUUGCAACUUCAAAUGCAAUCAUCAACUGUAGAAAUGGGCUUAUGCAACUCACUUUUGGUAACAUGACACUGGAUCUAAAUAUUUUCUAUAUGUCUAAAAAGCAAAUCACUCCAGAAGAAGAAGAGGGUCCAGAAGAGCUAUGUAUUAUUGAUACUUUGGUGGAGGAGCACUGCAAUCAACAUAUGCAAGAUAAGUUGAAUGAAAGUUUUGUGGAUAUUGAGGAAGGUUUUUCUGAAUCUCCUAAUGGGCUUGCUACUCUACAAAGUUGGAGAAAGAUAGAAGGAAUUCUACCUUUGUUCAAUGAAGAAGAGGAGGCAGCUGUUGAAAAAGAAAUUCCAAAACUCAAUCUGAAGCCUUUACCUAUGGAGCUGAAAUAUACAUAUCUUGAAGAAAAUAAUCAAUGUCCUGUCGUAAUAUCUUCAUCUCAAACCAAGUCUCAAGUGAAGGAUGCAAGCUUCAAAUGGGAUCCGGGCAAACUGAAUCAGGAAGGGCAAAAAGUUUUGAUGUAUGACACAAGACUCCAUAUCUUUCCUGGGAAGCUCAAGUCAAGGUGGAUUGGUCCAUUUGUUAUUCACCGAGUAUAUUCCAAUGGAGUGGUGGACUUAUUGAAUUCCAAUGGCAAGGACAGCUUUAGAGUCAAUGGAUAUCGUCUUAAGCCGUUCAUGGAGUCAUUCAAAUCAGAAAAGGAGGCAAUCAACCUCCUUGAACCUCAAAAAGCCUAAGUGAAAUGGGUUUGCUGGACGUGGUUUUACCACAGUCCAAAAAUUUUUGUAAAUUUUGUAAAUUUUCAAGUUGUUUCCAUGCUUUUAAUCUUAGUUUUUGAUUUUAAAUCAUGUUUUUAGGUGUGUUUUAAUCGUUUUAUAUGAUCCCAGGCGGAAGAAAUUUCAAGGGGAUUGAAAAGAAAAAAAUCGGGUCGAAAUUGGAGCCGAAACAGAGCAAAAACAGGGGAAAAACAGAGCUCUGCGAAAUUUCGCAGGGUGAAGGAAACUUCUGCGAAAUUGGCAUUUUGCUGCCAAACCAUUCCGCAGCACUGUAGAAGCCUCUGCGAGUGUAUUUCGCAAUUGCGAAAGUGGAUUUGGCACACGAGUGCCACUUCGCAGCACAGUGACAUCAAUUUCGCAGCUGCGAAACUCACUGCGAAGUUGCUGCGAAAAUGGCAAGUUGCUGCGAAAUUGGCGUUUUGUUGCGAAACGUAAUCUGACCCCUGGGCUUCCGUUUUUCCUAUUUAUACCUGUCAAAAGUGCUGCGAAAAAGGUUUCAAAAAUUAGAGCACCAUUCUCGCAGCCCUUUCAUCUUCUUCGCCAAGCCACGCCGUCCGUUUCUCCGGUCGUCUUCUCCGUUUAGCAGCGCCGGCCAAAGAUCGAUAGCCCAAAAAUGGCACGAACGCGAGGGGCAAAGUCUUCAUCCCCUUCGAACCGCAAAAGGAGUCUGCGAAAGGAGCCAAGUUCAGGCUCUGUUCCAGAACCUGCUCCAAAGCCUUCGCCGUCGAGACCACAACCUUCUCCAGUGAAGCCGGCGCCACCAAAGCCGCCGGCAAGGCGAUAUUUAACCAGGUCAGGUGGUCAGCCAUUGAAGAAGAAAGCCAGAGUUGAGAGCUCUGAACCAAUCGAUUUGACUGAGCAAUCCCCUGAGAAAUCACCAAAUCCUUCACCGGUACAAAUUCCAGUGCCAUCACCGGUUCCCUCGCCAAUUCCCUCACCAGAAGCAACUCCAAUUCCAUCGCCGGUACCAUCUCCGGCACCCCAAGAAAAAGCUCAGGAGCCUCAAGCGCCAAUUCCAGAGCCCCAAAUUGCAGCUGAAGCACCUCUGGAAGAAGUGAUCCGAAGGCCAAUGCUGCCUCAGCCCCCAAUCGAAGGAAACCUGGAUUGCCGAACUCGGGCAUUCCAUUCUGAGCUUUGCUUCGAUUUAACAGCAUUCAGAGUGAGGCCAGAGCUUGCCCAAUCCUUCCAACUGCUGAGGAGAUAUCAUAUGGAGCAUCUGCUAGCUCCAAGGGAUUUUUUCUAUCCCCGGGUAGUCACGGAUUUCUACCAAACCAUGACAACCAAAGAAGUAAGAAAUCCAACUCUGAUUCAUUUCAUAAUUGAUGGAAGGCAUGGUAUUUUGGGAGCAAGACAUAUUGCUGAAGCCCUGCAAAUUCCUUUUGAGCCAACUCAAUUCGACAAUUUUAAAGCUUGGACAAAUCCUACUGAGUUAGAGAUGGUUAGCACACUAACCAGAGGAGCUGCAAAUCGAUCGCAUUUGUUGAGGGGGGAGCUACCUCCAGUUAUGUUUUUGAUUGAUGCCUUUUUGAGGCAUAAUAUCUAUCCCCUGCAGCAUUGGACCCAAAGAAGGGGAAUUCUCCUAGAAGCCUUGUACAAAAUGUCUGAAGGAUUCUUCUUUGGGCCUCAUCAUCUGAUCAUGGCAGCCCUUCUAUACUUUGAGGAGAAGGUUCACAAGAAGAAGCUUCAAAGAGCAGAUUGCAUUCCACUCCUCUUCCCAAGGCUGCUAUGCCAAGUUUUGGAGCAUCUCGGAUACCCCUCUGAGCCUCAGCAGGAAAGAAAGAGAAUAUGCCGUGAGCCUUUUACCCUUGAUAAAUGGAAUAAUAUGACGGCCUACAAAAUUGAUCAGCCUGGGCAGCCUCAGCCAGCAGCAAGGAGAGUCUCCCCAAGACAUAUACCUGAAGGUAUAACACUUGCUACUCCUGCCAUCCCUCGAGCUCCACCAGCUGCACCUGCUCCAUCACAGCCAUCCACAUCAGCUGAGCCGAGGAUGGCCAUCCCUAUAUCCGAAUAUCGAGAGCUGUGCCGUGCAUUGGAGACUCUUACAGCUUCUCAGAGCAAUCUUGCUCAGGAGUUGGCAGCCAUUAAAGCAUGCCAGGAGCAGAUGUUAGCCUCUCAGACUCAACAAGCUGCCAUCCUAAGGCAGCUUCAAGUCCAUUUCGAUCUGCCACAAGCUGUAGAGCCCUCUAUUCCUACUCCACCAGAGCCACACUCUCAGCCUUCAGAGUCUCAUCCUCCAGAACCCGAAGCACCAGCUGAUCCACCUACUGAGGAGGCAGAUCCUUCUGCCUAGCACCAUCACCCCCCUCAUCAGACAUUAUAUAUAUAUUUGCUGUUUAUGUUUUUAUGCAUGUUUGUUUUGUUUUAGUUGAAAAGAAAUCCCAGUAUUUUGGUACUAUAUAUGGGAUUCCUUGUGUUACUUGUCUUUAGUAUUGUAAUCACAUGAACUCAAAGUAAUACAAGUUGACUAUUUCUUGUUAAAAGUUAGCAUUAAAGUUUCCUUAUUUCCUUUUCUCACAUAUUCUAUUCUUUUUGAAACAUGUGGUUUUCCCCAAUCAAUAUUCGAAUUUGAUAUCAGCAUGGAGGUACCACUUCCUCCCUUUUAUUACAGUCACUCAAAUCACAUUGAGGACAAUGCUCAGUUCGGUUGGGGGGUAUGAGGAAGGAAGUAUUCUAAACCUUUUUGGUAUUGCAAUUAUAUUGGUUAAUUAGUUGUAGAUUUUACUUUUUACUAGUGUUACUCUAUUCUCCAUGAAUUUUGAGGAAAAAUUUUCAAAUUAAACCAAGAGAAAUUGAACUGUUGUUUUUCACUUGACUUAGAGUAUGGAUUAUGCUUACUAAAGUGGUUCAAUUGUUGAAACUUCUACUGAAAUUGAAUUGAGUUCUUCCACUUUAAGCUAUCCACACACUGUGCACAUUAGUUUCCGAUUAUAAGAUGAAAAGCUAUUUCCCUCUUGACUUAGUAUAUUUUUGGGACUUGGUAUAUUUGACCUCAUUUGAUAAAAAUUGAAACACCCUGCAAAAGGCCAAUGAGCCUUUGAAAUAAAGAAAGUUGUUUGCUUGCCUUGAAACCCGAGCAAGGUCUGAGGGGUAUAUGGUGAAAAUCUUUAAAGCCUGGUGCCCUAAGCCUUAAUUGGUUGGGAGUCACCGACCUCAAUGCUCGUUACAAGGGUGAAUAGGUAGAGUUAGCAUAUGGUAGAUGCUUGGGUAUUAGAAAUUCAUUCUUAAAAGUCCGGGGAAAAAUCCGAGGAGUUAGUGGUUGAAAGAUCCUUAAAACUUGGUGCCCUAAACCUUAAUUGGUUGGGAGUCAUCGAUGGACCCCCAUUACAUGGACAAGUCAGAAAGAGUACCCCAUAAAGCUACCUUAAAAAAAAAAAAAAAAAAAAAAAAAAAAAAAAAGAUGAAAGUGUGUUCUUUUCUUAUUGAUUUUGGUCAGUUUGCUAAAGUGUUGAAAAGAGAUAGGUUGGGGGGUGAGAUUAGUAGCAUAUUAUUCUCGGAACCUAAGGAACCAAUACACAUAGAUUUUUGUGGAAGAUUGAAGUUUAGUUCUUAGAAAAUGAAAUGAUUUUAAAACUUCAGUUUGCAUAAUGCACUCCCUUGAUUGACAGUGUUUAGCAUAGGUGUUAUGACUCUUGUUGAGAUUUGGGUUUGUAUUUCUUUAAUGAUUCAUGUGAGAAAUAGAUCAUCAUGCCACUUGAGAAUUAUUUUCCUUUUAGCAUGAUGUUGUAAAUUUUAGAUUAGUUUGCUAUUUAUUUUUUAUUUUCUCUCCUAUAUUGCUAAGGGACUAGCAAUAUGUCGGUUGGGGGGAGUGAUUACUACUCAAAAAGUGCUAUUUGAUAGCCUUUAAUUAAUCCUUUUUAACACUUUUGAGUAGUAGUUUAGGCCUUUUAACUCAAUUGGCAUGUUAAGGAUCCUUUAAAGCAAUUUUGAUCACUUUGUGCAAGUUUUGGUGUUUUUGUUAGUAUUUUGAUCACCAAAGCAAGUCAAGAAUGAGGAGAACUAUGAGGAAUCAUGGGCAAAGCUUAGAAUUCAAUUGCCAAGAGUGAAUCCGGAUUGCAAGGAGAAAAAGCAAAGAGAAUCUGUCAUGAAGCCUAUUCUUGAUGACAGUCGUAGCAGCCACUUUUGGAGCACUUUCUGAAGUCCAAAUGAUGCAAGCUAUAUACCAUUUCAAAGCUCAGGAAGUCAACAAUCCAAUGCUUCAAACGGUGCGCGAUUCGGAGUUGAAACGAAGAAGUUGCAGCCAUUACAAGCCAGUCACUCUAAAGUGUUGCGGAAUCAGCCUUUUGUUGCGAGAAUUUCGCAGCACUUUUGUACAGUAAGGUGUUUCUCCUUCUGACGAUGCACGAACCAUGCCGCGAGAGGGAAGCUAGGAACUUCAAGAUGGAAGCCAACUUUGCAGCCUGGUGAAGAUAGCUUGGUCUUGCGAAAUAAUUUCGCAGCCCUCUUGGGUGUCUGCGAAAUUUCGCAGGCACCACUUUUUUCCUGCGAAAUGGCUCCGGAAGCCUCCCGAAGCUUGCUACCGACAUUGGGAGAUAUUUUCCAUUAGAUUUUUGUUGUCUAAAUUCCAAAAUACUCCUUGUAAACCACCAAUUACAUGAUUCCUUAGUUUUUAAGUUAGUAAAAAGACCAAAUAUCUAUGUAAUAAUUAGUUUUAUAUUAGUUUGCUAUAAAUACCUCUCGGGAGCAUGUUCUCAGAGAGGAGUUCCUUCUGUAACCAUUUUGGUAAGCAAGUAAAGUCUUUUCUUUCUACUGCCUUACCUUCUCACUUUGUAUUUUCAUUUUAUUUCUAAGUUAUGAAUUCUCUGAGGAGCUUUCCCCAGAGAAUGAGUAACUAAACCUCCAAUUCCUUGGAGCUAAGGUUGCCGGGGAAGGUUCCAAGUGCAAGAAUGCAAAGCUCUGUGGUUUUAGCUAGUAAUGAAGAGGAAGUGAAAUCCUUUAGUGAUUUCAAUGUUUUUAGUUAACUUAAAACACCUUGGAGUCACCUGGGCCAACACUUGGUAAGGCAAGUGAUUUCCAACCGUGGAAAUGCACUAGUUUACCCCUUGCGAGCCUCUGGUAGGUGACUUCAAGGUAGGAUUUUCUGGAAUUACCAACACUUGGUAAGCUUUUGGACUCCUAGGAGACAUCCAUUAGUUAUCUCUUGCGAGUUUGUGAAGGGGAAUCCAAGGUUAAAGAUCACCUUGAAUGGUAAGUGCUCGUGAGAGGCAUGAACCAUUGCAAGUUGUAUCAGUGAGAGAAUUAAAGUGAAAUCUAAUUGAAGGAGUCUCUGUACAUCACCGGUUAGAGAAUUGACUAUAAGUUGAAUCUCUAAUGCGAGGAAAUGAACCAUCUGACCGGAGCUAUGUCUUUUGCAUGAGGAACCACCCCAGUGAACCUAAAUCUCCAAGGAAUGCUUUUCUUCCUAAAUUAUUCCAAACUUCUGUUAAGUUAGUUAGUUUAAGUCUAAACCUUUACCAAUCAAACUUUGUGUUUUAUUCCUUAAGCUAACCGUGAAAUGAAACAAAACCAAUUCACUUGGAAUUGGUAUCCUUGAUUGCUUGCAAAUCAUUCCCAGUGAACGAUCCUUAGAGCCACUAUACUAUAGUAGCUUUGUAUUUGCUACCCUAGUGUAUGGUGUUAUAGGUAUAAAUUUUGUUGAUCACUUCCUCAAUCAAGGAACACCAGCUGAACACAAAUCAGCUGAGACACCAAUUGGGCAUGAGUCAGUGCGUUAGAGGAUCAAGAAGAAGAAAAAGAAGGAACUGUUGGAAUUAGUAUGAGUGUGAAGAGAAAAGUAUAUAAAUAAGGGGAAGUAAAAGCAAAGUUCAAAAAGCUAUAUUUUUUUAUUGUUGGUGUAUGGUUGCAUGAUUAUCCCUAUAAAUAAUAGGAGUUUUUUGGUAUUCUACUAGUAGUUGAAGCAUAAUUUCAUAAAUUAAUAUUUAGAGCGGGGUGGGGUGAGUUGUGACAAAAUUCAUACCCGUCCCAAACCUUGGUUCAGAUUUUUAAAAUAUUCUCAAACUUAUCAUAUACCCAACUUUUAUAUUUCAUACUUGUCCUAAUAGAGGCACGUUAGGCCGGGUUACUUGAGUAACCUACAUAAUUGUCAUCCCUAGUUGAAAUACACUUUUUGGCAGUGGCCACCAACUGAGCUAGAAGCUUGAUUGAUUGACCUACAAGAUUAGUUCUCAUCAUUUUAAAAAAAGUUCUGGCUUUGGUUGUGAGUGCAAUUGAAUCUAAACUGGCAUUUGCUUAAUGCAUCUACUUCAAUCCUAAACUUCUUACUUCUUAAGCCUCAAUUGUUGUUAGGAUUUUGGAAAACCCAUUUCCUUAAAUUGUAAAUUUAAGAUAAAAUAAAAUAAAAGUGAGACAUUUCUUGAUUGAAUAUUGUUAAAGGUCCCUUGGCAUUAAGACUUGGUUGAAGCCUUGGAAGAUUAGUGGAACUCUCAACAUGUGUUUGAAUCUUGAGGAGAGUGGAUGUAAGCCAAAAUUUUGUCAAACCAUUAUACAAAUUGAGUUUGAAUCCUCAUUUCUUGAUUUCUUAUUUAUUUGCUUUUUCUUAUUAUUACUUGAAUUGUCAUUUGCAUUCAUUAAUGUUAAAAUUGGUUAUAAUUAACCAACACUAAUUCUCUUUCCCCUUCCCUUUCUUGGGUGUAAACCUAGGUUGGAUUAACUAGAUAAAUCUAUUAAGAUGGUAAAAGAAUAAUUAUUCUUAACAUACAUAAGAUCAUCUUCAAUCAAAUGACUCAUUGGCUAAUAUGUUGAAUUUGCUUAUUACUUGCAACUCAAAAUUGUGUUCUAGUUGUGUCAAGUCCCCAGUGUAUGGACAUUAAAUUUGUAGUACGUGAUGAGUAAUUAGAUGGUCCAACUCCAAGAAAGUGAUUGAAAAGUAGUUCAAGAAAGGUGCAAAAGGGAAUUGUUUUGGUAUUUUCGUUUUUAUUCUUGAAGGUGGCAGAGCUAAAAUUUGAGAAAUCAAGCAAAACAUACUGAAAUUACAUUGAAAGAAAGAAGAUGGGAGUUAAUGUCUUGCAGUACAUGAUAAGGACUUCAUGCAUGUAGUGUGACCCAUGUCUUGGACUGAUGCCAACUCACGGUUACACUUAUACCCUUGGUUCUCUCUUUACUACCUUGGCUAACCUAGAUCAGGCUAUGAGAUAGGCUCCUCACCACACCAUUACUUGCCCAUUAAUUAGAGACAUUUUCAAGCAAUGAGGUAACAUGGUGACACCAAGAGGGUCUAUUCCUCGCCCGGAACAAGUCUAGACUUGGUCUCAAAAAAAUGGAGAAAAAUGAGGUGUCGUUAUGUAGAAAUACAACAACCAUGCCUUCCUCAUUACUUAGAUUCAGAAUGUGAAGGUGAAAUUGAGAAACAGAAACUCUUGAAACCAAAAUGAAAAUUGAUACUUUUACGAAGAAUUACAACAACAUUAGAGGAAGACUACAUUCUUCCUCUUUAUUCCUACAUUUCUACACUACUUCUACUCCACUCCAUAUUUCUACAUACAUCUUUAAUCAGUCUUCCCUCCUUUAUAUAGAGCCAUCUUCACACAAAUUUCGCAAGGUAGAAAAGAGGAAUGAAACUUGGAGCAAGGUUCGACUACUGGUUGUAGCUUGUCAAGGCUGGAAGUGAACUUUUCUUGGCUUUCUGGGCAUGGGUAGUAACUUGUGGGUUCCUGUUUGGCAUAAAAAUGGCUAGAACAUGUGGCACUAUCUUGUUGGAUGAUGUGUCAAGCAUGUGGCAGCCAUCUAGUGGCGAUUAUGUCAAUUUUGGGAUGGAGAGUUGGCAUCCAAUUGCAAAGAAAUAUGACGUCUACCAACAUGCAAUGUAAACCUAUGUAGAUCAUAUGAAGAUAGAGAGGAAAAAUAUAGAAAUGGAUAUAUACCUAGAACUAGCUUUUUAUUAAAUGAAACGGAGAGACAACAAUGAAGGAAAAUAAAAUUUUUUGGCUUAUAUCAAAGAGUUCACAUUGUGUUACCCUAGGUUUUCUUAAAACUUACUUUUAUGAUAACAAAAAAGAAAAAACCAUUAUUGUUUAAUCCUUUGUUUUAAACGCAUGUAAGGUGUAAUUAAGUUAGUUCAAUGCAUUAAUUUAAGAAACUUGACCUAUCAAAAGUACAAAAUUAGAUGAAAUCCAUUUCAAUGGUUAAAAUGAUCAAAAUCAAACUUUUUCUAAGUAUUUUUUAAAAGCAUCAAUAGUGAAAGACAAUUUUAUAUUUAGUCGGAGUUUGGACAAAACUGAAAAACACACAAAAUCCAAGCGACCAUCUCUAGCUUGGAUGGUCGCUUGAUCCCACCUAGAGAUGUGCAUGAGUAAAAGGAUUUGAAAAUGGAAAUUGACUAUGUAGUCGAUCAAUUAACUUUGCAACAUCAUAUGCAAUCCUAAUUGCUAGUCAUCUAAUCAAUUAGGUAGUCAAUCAACAGGCCAAAAAUAUGUUUAUAAUGACUAUUUUGUACAAAAACCACCUGUAUAGUUAAAUAUAAUGCAUUUCAUUUAUAAAUCUUCUAAUUCUUGAAUAACGAUCCUAUCAUCCUUUGAAAGUUUUUAUUACACUUUUUUUACUUUUGUUCUAAAACUUACACAUCACCCUUAAUUGUACCAUGAGAACCUAGCUAUUUUUUAUUUUUUUUUUUGUAAUUCAUCAAAGUUAGCUUUUGUAUUCAUUGUUGUAUUAUUUUUAGUAUAACUUAGAAAGCUAGUGUUUUCAAGUGAGUAAAAUUAACUUGUAAAUAUUGUAAAGAUUCAUCGACAUGUAUCUUAAACUAAGUGUACAAGUUAAAACAUUUGCUAGUAGAUUUUCUCAAAAUUUAGAAUAGAGCUUGAGACUAUUGAAAUAGGUGGGGUUGCACCAAACCACAUCACAUCGUUGUUUGCACCUUUUUUCACUCUCUUUUACUUAGUUGCUCUAUAUUUGUUGUCUAGUAAUAUCCUAUAGGCUUGAUGGGUUAGGGAGCAUCCCUUUGUGAAAAAAUUUUAUUCAAUCCUUAGUUGUAUCACGCAUAUAUAAAAUGCCUCAUUGUUUUAAUGGUAUUCAGUCGUGGCAUCACAGAUAUGGGCAUCUAAAUUUUAAAAGUUUGAAACUUUUAUCUAAAGAAAAUAUGGUGCUUUGCCUUUUUGUAAAGCAUGUUGAUGAAAUCCAUGAGAAUUGUGUACUUGGGAAGCAACACCGAGAUGACUUUUUUUUUUUUUUUAUAAUAUUGUUUGUCCAAAUUCCCUACAAAUUAGGCCACCAGAUGUUCAUAAUUCUCCCUUCUUGAAUUUGAAAACUCGGACAAUUGGACAAUGCGACACCUAAGUCCGGUUUCUAAAUGCUAAAGUGAAAGGGUAGGUAUGGACCAUUGAAAUGUGAUCACAACUUUUCUCUGUAGCCAUGUUGUCUCUUUUUUCUUUUGCAUGAUUUUCUUACCUUAACAGAAUCAUAGACUUGUUUAGUCUCUAAAUGGGAUUAAUUUCAUCCAGCUUUAAGCUACUAUAUUAUAUCUAGGUGGAGGACUUUUAAGAGUGCAACCGACAUAGAGCACAUGGAAGUGGGUAUAUGGGACAUGAAAUUUCUUCUUAUAAAGAUUGCAUGAUUUUUAUAUUAGAGUUGUUGAGGCGCUAUGUAUUUAGCUUGUUUUGCAGUUAAAUUAAUUGGAUAAGUAGACAUUGGCGUUUCUAAAUCUACUGUGAAGUGCUUCAUGUACGUGUGAAGUAUUAGAAAUUUCUUUCUUGGCAACUUGUUUUUCUUUGCGGUCUACUGAUAGGUUUGACUAAAAUUAUAUUCCCUGUCAUGCUAAUUAAUUUUCACGUGCAUGCUCAAAAGAAAAGUAUGACCUUAGUGCACCAAAAUCACUUUGAUUAAUUUGUGAUAGGUUUUUGUGCAUCAUGACAUUAGCCUUAUUCAUUUAGAUAAUGUUUAGUUUUUAGAAAGUAUUAAGAAAAGGAAAAUAAAUAUUAAGAAAAAUAUUCUUAUAUUUGAUUGUAUUAUGAAAAAUAUCAUAAAAAAAUCAAAUAUAAUUUAAAUUAAUUAAUAAUUUAUACAUUUUCAAAUUAUUUAAUCUUUAUAUUGAAGAUAUAAUAUAAAUGAAAUGAGUUUUAAGUAUUAUAUAAAAGUGAUUUAUUGAUCUUACAUAUAUAUAUUUCUUUUUUUUUUCCUUCUAUUUUUUCUCUUUAUUUUAUUUUCCUUAUGUUUUCCUCAACAUUUUCCGGAACCAAACAUAGCCUUAGGAAAUCCACAAUUACCUUCAACUGAGUAGAUUCUGUUGUUUUAGCAAUGUUAGGCUGCUAACUUGUGUUGGUACGAACCUAUUAAGCCUAAAGAUGUAAUUAGUUAGGAUAUUCUUUUCCCUCUAGUCUUGUAGCUCCACGUGUACAGUUGGUUAGGACCUCAUUGUAUAUAAUGCUUGCCCUGUUAUUGUAGAAGACAACAAAGAUAAAUAAUAUUAACAUUUUUCCUCUCAUCUCUCUCUGUUUCCCUCUGUUUUCAUCUCCUCUCUCAUCUUGGUAUCAGAGCCUCCAUGGCUUCUUUCAAAGAAACCUCCGAAUCACCUUCUGCUAGCAUUGUUAAUGUGCAAAACCCAUUAUCUCAAUCAAACAACCUUCCUUCACCAGUAGCCACACCCUCUUUUUCUUUCUCGUCUAUGAAUCAACCUCUCACAGUGAAGCUGGAUAAUGGGAACUACCUCAUAUGGAAGAAUUAGCUUCUAAAUGUCAUCAUUGCUAACGGACUCGAUGAUUUCAUUGACGGAUCUCGACCCUGCCCUCCUCGAUUUCUCGAUCUGCAACAACAAACCCUCAAUCCAGAGUACUCAGCUUGGCAGAGAUACAAUCGACUUCUGAUGAGUUGGCUGUACGCAUCCUUGUCCAAAGAUAUAAUGGCUCAGAUUGUUGGGUAUUCAACAGCUAUGGAGAUUUGGAAUGCCCUUAAUCAGAUUUACUCUGCCUCUUCUAUGGCGCGGUUUACUGAGCUUCGCACCAAGCUUCAAACGCUCAAGAAAGAUGGACUCUCAGUUGGUGAAUAUAUUCAAAGGCUCAAAUCCAUUUGCAAUAGUCUUGCAGCAAUAGGAGAACCAGUUUCUGAGAAAGACCAUCUUAUCUAUUUGUUCAAUGGAUUAGAUUGUGAGUAUUAUUCUUUUGUUACCUCCAUUCAAAAUCGAUCUGACCAACCAACUAUUGACAAAAUCCAUAGCCUAUUGCUUAGCUAUGACUUCCGGCUUGAACAACAAAACUCUGUUUCUCUCCAUUCUGCCCAAGUCCAUAUGGCUCAUCUGAACAAGAAACCUUAUAAAUCAACUCCUCAACCUACAUUCAAUCAUAUUCACAUUCAACCUAGAUACUCUUCUCCACCUUUUAAGCCAACCACUAGUCAAUAUCAACCCAACAUUUUGGGCAAACCACAACCACAACCAUGACAGCCUCAACCUCAAUGGAAACCACAUUUUUCAAUCUAAAAUCAAAAGCCUCAGCGCCAAAUUUGUGGUAAAUUUGGACACACUGCUCUUAUUUGCUUCCAUCACACAAAUUUGAACUAUUCACCCCAACCUUCUCCUAAAUCUUUCAAUACUGUUCUCACCACAAAUUCCCAGCUCCCUAAUCCUCCAAAAUUUUCUUACCCUACAAUGGCUCAUCCUGCUGCUACGCAUAACACGGUUCCCGAUACAAAUUGGUACAUGGACUCAGGUGCUACACAUCACUUUACUCUGGACAUCAACGUGCUUGACACUGUGACACCAUUUAGUGGUUCAGAACAGGUGACAGUUGGGAAUGGUAAGCAACUCUGUAUCUCACAUCUUGGUACUGCAAAACUACCAUCUUCGUAUUCUCCUCCUGUUCUACAUCAGGUAUAUCACACUCCAAAAAUUUCAAAUAAUCUUAUUAGUGUUAAAAAAUUGUGUUCUGAUAAUAAAGUUUUUGUUGAAUUUUAUGCCACUCAUUUUCUUGUCAAGGAUCAGGUUUCGAAGAGAGUUCUCCUUUAGGGUCAACUUGAUAAUGGCUUAUACAAAGUUCAGUCGUCAUGCUCUCCUUCUGCUGUUUCCUUUCCUCCUCAAGUUUUCAUAGCCAACAUCAAGUAUCCAAAUCUGUGGCACAAGAGACUAGGCCACCCAGCUUUAUCUGUUGUUAAUCAAAUCUUGGAUUCUUGUAACAUUGCUCGAACACAGAAAAUUUGUUUUAAUUUUUUAAAUUCUUGUCAAUUAGCAAAGAGCCACAGGCUUCCUUUUUCUCUGUCUCCAUCCAUUGCAGAAAAACCUUUUGAGUUAAUUCAUACAGACCUAUGGGGUCUUUCGCUCGUUCGCUCUAUUUCUGGUGCUCUUUAUUUUUUACUUUUCAUUGAUGAUCAUACUCGUUUUACUUGGUUUUAUUUGCUCAAAACAAAAGAUGAAGCAUAUCCUACUUUUCUCAAGUUUCAAGCUCUCAUUGAAAAUCAAUUUAAUACCAAGAUUAAGGCUGUCCAAUCUGAUUGGGGAGGUGAGUUUCGAUCUCUCUCCAUACCGUUUUCAAAUAUGGGCAUUGUCUAUUGUUUAUCGUGUCCAUACACCUCACAACAGAAUGGGCGAGUUGAGCGAAAAAAUCGCCAUGCGAUUGUCCUUUCUUGCUUGCUCUAUGCCCUUAUCUUAUUGGCCUUAUGCCUUUCAAACUGCCACUUACCUUAUUAAUCGUCUCUCUACCCCUGUGCUGCAUCAUCAAUCCUCUUACUUCGCACUCUAUCACAAACUCCCAACUUAUACUCAUCUUAAGGUCUUUGGUUCCUCUUGUUUUCCGUAUUUGCACCCUUAUAAUACCCAUAAACUCCAAUACAGGUCACUAGAGUGUGCUUUUCUUGGUUACAGUUCACACCACAAAGGUUAUCUAUGUCUUGACAUUCAUUCUAGCAGGGUGUAUAUUUCUCGCCAUGUGAUUUUUAAUGAAGAUUCUUUUCCAUUCAAGAAUUUGAAAUCUUCUCUCUCUCAGUCUAUUUCUUCUUCCUCUUCUUUAUAAGUUCCUCUGUUCAUUCUCUUGCCUCCCCUUUCCCCAUCUCCUCUUAUUUCUUCAUCUAUACCUCAUUCUUUUCCCUCUUCUUCUUCUACCUCUAGUACUUGUUCCCCUCUCGUUGCUCCUACCUCUCUUCCUUCCUCUUCACACUCUGUGUCUCCAUCUAUUCCACCUCCUUCUCCACCUUCUCCGAGUGUGGACCUGCUUGCACCUUGUGUGAAUACAAAUUUACAUACUUCUUCUCGCACUCACAAUAUUCAUCCUAUGGUGACUAGAUCUAAGGUUUGUAUCUAUAAACCUAAGUUGUUGUUGAGUGUCUCCAUAGGUUCUCUCACUAAGCCUACUUCCUUUCUUCAAGCUAUUAAAGAUCCUUCAUGGAAGCAAUCCAUGGAAUUCGAGUUUGCUACCCUUCAACACAACAAGACCUGGCAUUUGGUUCCUUCACCUUCCUCAGGCGAAGUAAUCGGUUGUAAAUGGGUCUAUAAGCUAAAGCUUCAGCCUGAUGGCUAAAUUGAGAGAUACAGCCUGCUUAGUAGCUAAGGGUAUCAUCAAAUUGAAGUAUGGACUACUUCGAAACAUUCAGCCUGAUNNNNNNNNNNNNNNNNNNNNNNNNNNNNNNNNNNNNNNNNNNNNNNNNNNNNNNNNNNNNNNNNNNNNNNNNNNNNNNNNNNNNNNNNNNNNNNNNNNNNAGCUUCAGCCUGAUGGCUAAAUUGAGAGAUACAAGGCCUGCUUAGUAGCUAAGGGUUAUCAUCAAAUUGAAGGUAUUGACUACUUCGAAACAUUCAGCCUGAUUGUCAAGCUUUCUACUAUCUGUAUUGUGCUCAGUCUUACUUUUUCCCAGAAUUGGUGUAUUAGACAGCUGGAUGUUCAUAAUGCCUUCUUACAUGGUGACUUAGCUAAAGACGUUUUCAUGGAACAACUGCCUGGAUUUGUUGAUCCUCUCUAUCCUACUCAUGUCUGCAAGUUGGAUAAGUCUCUCUACUGUCUUAAAUAGUCACCUCGGGCUUGGUAUACUAAGCUGAGUACUUCUCGCUACACUUGGGAUUUGUUACUUCUAAGAAUGACUCUUCCUUAUUUAUUUGUCAUUCGUCUCAUGGGUUACUUCUUGUUCUUGUCUAUGUGGAUGAUAUAAUCGUCAUUGGGAGCCACUCUCCUCAGGUUACUCACCUUAUCCAACAGUUGCAUCAUUAGCUUUCUUUAAAGGAUCUUGGUCCUUUACAUUAUUUUCUGGGCUUGGAGGUUCAUCACACCCCUACUGGUAUUCACCUCAGCCAAGCAAAGUAUAUCACUGAUCUCCUUACCCGGGCGGCUAUGUUGGAUGCCAAGCCAUGUCCCACUCCUAUGUCCUCCAACACAUAUCUCUCUUUUCAUGAUGGAGUGGCUCUUGAAAAUGGUUCAGAUUAUCGAAGUUUUGUUGGUGCCCUUUAGUAUUGUACCAUGACACGCCCAGAUAUAGCUUUUGCAAUAAAUAAAGUGUGUCAAUUCAUGCACCAUCCCUCUAAUGUUCACUGGCAGGCUAUAAAACGUAUUCUCCGGUACUUAAAGGGCACAUCUCAUUUUGGUCUCUUCCUACAGCCUUCCUAUGACUUCAACAUCACUUGCUAUACAAAUGCCGACUGGGCUUCCUGUCCUGAUGACAAGUGUAGCACCAGUGGCUACUGCCUCUUUCUUGCCUCUAAUCUGGUUUCUUGGUCAUCUUCCAAACAAAAAGUGGUCUCCCGCUCCAGCGCCGAAUCAGAGUACCGAGGGGUAGCAAAUGGGGCUGCUGAAAUUGCUUGGACUGAAUCUCUUCUUUGUGAACUUUCCAUUACUCCCCCUCCCCUCAUUCUCUGUGACAAUAUCAGUGCCACGUACUUAGCUGCCAAUCCUAUUUUGCAUGCCCGCACCAAACAUGUGGAAAUCGACUAUCACUUUGUCACGGAACGUGUUCUUCAAUGCUCUCUUUUUGUCCAGUUUACACCUUCUGAUGAUCAACUUGCUGAUUGCAUGACCAAGCCUCUCUCCACCCAACGUUUCAUCACUCUACGCUCCAAGCUCACUGUUCUCACUAGACCAAUGAGCUUGAGGGGGGAUGUUAAGCCUAAAGAUGUAAUUAGUUAGGAUAUUCUUUUCCCUCUAGUCUUGUAGCUCCACGUGUACAGUUGGUUAGGACCUCAUUGUAUAUAAUGCCUGCCCUGUUAUUGUAGAAGACAACAGAGAUAAAUAAUAUUAACAUUUUUCCUCUCAUCUCUCUCUCUGUUUCCCUCUGUUUUCAUCUCCUCUCUCAUCUGAACCAAAUGAUCCAUGUUAACCUUGGCUUGGUUUGAUUUGGCUCUAUCUUAGAGAGCUCAAGGAUCACGUCAACUCUGGUUUCUACUAUUCAGGUCCAUUCCCAUAUGAACUGGUUCAAAUUUGAGAAAAUGGUAACAGACCUUUAGUGAUGUUGGUUUGGAGCCAGUUGCCAAACCCGCCCUGAGCUUUACCACUAAUGUCAAGGGAGAAAGCCAUUUGAACAAAAACAAUAGCUUCAAGGGACUGAAUCGUGGAUGAAAUCUGAUCCACAUUUCUUCUCAUUUUGGAAACAAAUGAGAACUUAACUAAGAAGAUUCUACGGCCUCAUAGUGCUUUUCCUGAUCUAAGGUUGGUUCGUUUCCCAAACUGUGAGAUGCACGUGCCAGACUUCAGAACUCUCACGCUCAGGAGUGUAUCCACGUGGUGGACAUAAGAUGGUGGCUUAAGAUCUGGUGUCGGUGGCUUUACUUUACUAGGAGAGUAGUGUGUCUUCAUCUCAUUCACUGCCGGAGGGUGGCGUAAGCAGUGACGCUAAGGUGGGGCACAGUCAAUAUCAUUUGCAUUUGACCAUUAUAGUUUUCUCCCGGCUUUAAAGUAACCUUAUCGUGAUAAAGGAUUACUAGCACUAGUUCAGAUGAUAGUCAUGUUAAAUUCGGACCAUGUUUGUGUCACAUUAUCAGCAACCAUGUGUUUAUGGUUCAUGCUUUCUGCAACUAAAAUUGAUAUAUAACCAGGUGAACUUCAAUCUAAAUUCUGAAAGUACUCAUGUGAUAGAUGGUGCCCGUCUGCAGAGUCCAUCAAUUGAAAAAUGGAGUGAGUGUAUCUAUAAGAGGGAAGGCUUGGAAAAUGUUCAGUUUUCUGGGAAUUCAACAAGGAUCUAAAAUAGAUUGUUUUCUUUGCUGAUUUCAAUGGUUGAAAUUUGAGAAGAUUGUGUCCACAUAACACAACUAUUACUGGUCCUUCUGUUGCAAUUUAUCCUCUAAAGCUCUAGCAUGUCUUCCAAUUCCCACUUCCCUGUUACUCCAGGAAAGCUAUUUCUGUCAUUGUGAAGAAGAAAAGAGAAUGUACAUAUCGAUGCUUUUAAGUGACUGGAGCAUUUAUAUCAGGUGGUCUGCAGCCAUAUAUGCCACUUUGUGAAGAUUGGAACAGUCAAUCACUAGGCUAUAUAUUAGUGUGGCCCAGCCACUUUAAUCAAGGACAAGUCUUCAUACUUAAAGUCAAAUUCUGCCUUUAGUCUCAUUAUAAAUUUCUGUUUAAAUAUUAAGCAAACAUUUGUUUAAUGCGAUUAAGACAGUACUAACUCAAUACCUGUUCUAUUUUUGGAUGCAAAUGCUUGAUGGUUUCAUCAUUGGAUGGGAUAAAGGUGCAUUCAUGAUUAGGAAUACUAGUAGUUAUAUUUUAAUUCUCUUUUUUCUCAAUGAGACUUGUUGGCACAAUUUUGCUGUUGAGAAACCUACCUCUCCAUGGAAAAUAAGUUGUGAUUGAUAGUACUGGAUAUAUUCAAGAAAUCUAAAUAUAGAUAGCACAAAAUAUUAUCGACAUAAAUAGCAUUAACAGCGUACGUAUGUCUCAGUGCUCAUCAGCUAUAAGCAUGGGGCAAACACUUACUAUGAGCAACUUACGUCAAAAUUCCAGAAUAGGACAUAGAAGUGACAGAUAUAGAACAUUGCAUAUGAGUCACAAGAAAGGAAAUUACGGGUGCAUAGCAGCUCUUAUUUUACAUACUACUACUCAUACUGAUCAAAGUCACUCAGUUGGGAUGGGUGGGAGUAGGAGGUUUGUGGGGUGGCUUGUGCGGAGGAGUUGGCAGCUUCUUUCCAGGACCUGGUUGCUUCUCUGCUGGAGUUGAAGGAGGCUUAAUCUUCCGAGGUGGCUUGUAUGAGUCUUCAGCAUUCUCAGCUGGAGGGUGACCAGGGUUGUGACCAUAAUGUGGUGGCUUCUCUCCCUUAGGUGGUUUGCCAACUGGGGUUGGUGGCUUGUAUGAGUCUUCAGCAUUCUCAGCAGGAGGGUGACCAGGGUUGUGACCAUAAUGUGGUGGCUUCUCUCCCUUAGGUGGUUUGCCAACUGGGGUUGGUGGCUUGUGUUCUGGGAGUGGCUUCUCCCCCUUGGGAGGUUUUUCCAAUGGGGUUGGUUUGUGUUCAGGAGGUGGCUUCUCCACUGGAGGCUUGUGUUCAGGAGGUGGCUUCUCCACCGGAGGCUUGUGUUCAGGUGGUGGCUUCUCCACCGGAGGCUUAUGCUCUGGUGGUGGCUUCUCGAAUGGGGGAUGCUUAGGAUAAUCAGCAAGUGAGGGGGCGGUGAGAACCACCAGGCCAAGCAACACCACUAGCAAAUAUGUAGGAGACAUCUUUGGGUUUGGGCUCAGAUGGUGCAAAACUAGGAGAAUUGGCUAGCCUUUUAUAGCGGAUCGUACCCAAUAAUGAAAUGACACGUGUCAUUAUGACCCAUGUGUAAUGGGGUCGAUUUGGGUCCUACAGUGUUGAAAACUUCGACAUCCACUUUUGGCCUUUUGCUUUCUCUACAGCCGCCUUGCUUUUUCCCUCUUUCCUUUUGUUUUCCUCCUGCCCCAUUCUAUCAACUAAACACAAUUAUGUAGUUGUUUAAUUCUUAAAUGAGAUAUUAUCCGUCAAUCGUAUUAUAUUUUAUCAAGAGAGAACGGAGUGCAAUGUGGCUGUAAUUUUAUCGUUUAGUUUUAUCUCUUGGACCACUGCAUUUUUGUUAAGAGGUGCAAUAAUACACGUCUUUAUCUGCCAUUCAAUAUUUACAGUAAAGAGAGGGCACAAAACUCUUCACUUCGCACCAUAAUUAUUUUGUUUUCUGGACACCCCGGGGCCCUUUGGUUGGUUUGGGGGUCAGAAAGUGAACAUCAUAGGGGGUUUUUCCCUUAUGUGCAUUUGUAUCUGAUGGCUUUAACUCGCCUUGUUACUACAAAGAAACUGUCACAGAUAGGAACUUAUUCCAGGCUGAGUAUCUCCUCAUAGACCCUAUAAAAGAAGACAAGUCAUAAUGAACAUCUAACCUUUGUUCAAUUUGAUUCAAUGCCCCCAUUGUGUCCAUCUCACAAAUCUGAAUUAUUAUAUCCAUUGAAUACAUAAAUUAAUGAAGAAAAUAUGAAACCCAAGAUACAUCUCUGCACAACCUCAACCCUGGUUGCUAUGUUUCCCUUCUAUUCACAUGAUUUGAUGCUAAUUGCCAAACUUGCAACAAGCCCUGAGUUUGACACCUAGUAUCGAUGGGCGAAUUUAAAGUCUCCUCCAAACAUAUAUUCCACAGCUUGAAGCUCACAGAAGAUGUUACAGGCAGGGAAAAACCUUCAGAGUUCGCUACCAAAGAUAAUUAUUAAGGAGAUAUCACAAAGAGAAUUCCAAGGGGUCUGAAUCAAAGACAAAUUGGUCGUUCGUGGGGGUUCUUACUUUCUUUUGGGUAUAACUCACUGAGGGCACUGUCUUUGUUAUUUGCAUUUCACAUUUAGAGUUCUGUUCUGGAAACAUAUAAAAGGAGCAUCAUUUUGUUCUUGGGUAACCCAUAGUCGUGAGUGGGUCCAUUUGCAUGCUACUUAGUUGAAAAGUUGGACCAUUUGCUCCGACGCCUACCUCCCGGAUUCCAUGCUCGGAUAAAACAAGAAUAAAAAAAAUAUUUAUAAUUUACAAAUGGGGGAAAGAAAAAAAUGUCAACAACAAACCAGGAAAAAAGAGUAGUAAAAUUCAUGUCACAUGCUAGUGAGAGAAGGGGUUGUUACACUCACUCGAAGUUCUUUCCAAAAUAUCGCAUGGUAUUUUAUUUUAUGUGUCAGCGCAGUUGUGAAUGGAACGUGCAAAAGUCCAAAUUGGCGUUUUUCCUUUUCCCGUGUAGGAUGGCGACCUUUAAUAAAUAUUUAAAACAAAAAACGAAAAAAAGGAGGGAAAAGGGAUCAGAAAAGAUAAAACAAUGUGUACAAGAGCUCAAUUAGUUUGCAAAUUACUGUUUGGAUUUUGAUAGUAUUUUAUUUGUCCAUCUAUAUUUGAUGGAAAAGAGAAUUUAAGAUAUUUCUGAAACAAAAGCAUUAGUGUAAAACUAAAUUAAGGUAUAAUUAAGUUAGUUCAAUGCAUUAAUUUAAGAAACUUGAUCUAUCCAAAGUACAAAAUUAGAUGAAAUCCAUUUCAAUGGUUAAAAUGAUCAAAAUCAAACUUUUUCUAAGUAUUUUUUAAAAGCAUCAAUAUUAAAAGACAAUUUUAUAUUUAGUCGGAGUUUGGACAAAACCAAAAAGCACACAAAAUCCAAGCGACCAUCUCUAGCUUGGAUAGUCACUUGAUCCCACCUAGAGAUGUGCAUGAGUAAAAGGAUUUGAAAAUGGAAAUUGACUAAAUAUUUAGUUGAUCAAUUAAAUUUGCAAUGUCAUAUGCAAUCCUAAUAGCUAGUCAUCUAAUCAAUUAGGUAGUCAAUCAAGUGUUUGUAAUGACUAUUUUGUACAAAAAACCACAUGUAUAGUUAAAUAUAAUGCAUUUCAUUUAUAAAUCUUCUAAUUCUUGAAUAACGAUCCUAUCAUCCUUUGAAAAUUUUUAUUACACCUUUUUUACUUUUGUUCUAAAACUUACAUAUCACCCUUAAUUGUACCAUGAGAACCUAGCUAUUUUUUUUUUUUUUGUAAUUCAUCAAAGUUAGCUUUUGUAUUCAUUGUUGUAUUAUUUUUAGUAUAACUUAGAAAGCUAGUGUUUUCAAGUGAGUAAAAUUAACUUGUAAAUAUUGUAAAGAUUCAUUGAUAUGUAUCUUAAACUAAGUGUACAAAUUAAAACAUUUGCUAGUAGAUUUUCUCAAAAUUUAGAAUAGAGCUUGAGGCUAUUGAAAUAGGUGGGGUUACACCAAACCACAUCACAUCGUUGUUUGCACCUUUUUUCACUCUCUUUUACUUAGUUUCUCUAUAUUUGUUGUCUAGUAAUAUCCUAUAGGCUUGAUGGGUUAGGGAGCAUCCCUUUGUGAAAAAAUUUCAUUCAAUUCUUAGUUGUAUUACGCAUAUAUAAAAUGCCUCAUUGUUUUAAUGGUAUUCAGUCGUGGCAUCACAGAUAUGGGCAUCUAAAUUUUAAAAGUUUGAAACUUUUGUAAAGCAUGUUGAUAAAAUCCAUGAGAGUUGUGUACUUGGGAAGCAACAUCGAGGUGACUUUAUUUUUUUUUCCUUUUAUAAUGCCACACCUAAGUCCGGUUUCUAAAUGCUAAAGUGAAAGGGUAGGUAUGGACCAUUGAAAUGUGAUCACAACUUUUGGCCUUUUCCUUUCUCUGCAGCCAUGUUGUCUCUUUUUUCUUUUGCAUGAUUUUCUUACCAAAACAGAAUCAUAGACUUGUUUAGUCUCUAAGCUACUAUAUUAUAUCUCGGUGGACUUUUAAGAGUGCAACCGACAUAGAGCACAUGCAAGUGGGCAUAUGGGACAUGAAAUUUCUUCUUACAAAGAUUGCAUGAUUUUUAUAUUAGAGUUGUUCACGUGCAAUGUAUUUAGCUUGUUUUGCAGUUAAAUUAAUUGGAUAAGUAAACAUUGGCAUUUCUAAAUCGACUGUGAAGUGCUUCAUGUACGUGUAAAGUAUUAGAAAUUUCUUUCUUGGCAACUUGUUUUUUCCUUGCCAUCUACUGGUAGGUUUGACUAAAAUUAUAUUCCCUGUCAUGCUAAUUAAUUUUCAUGUGCAUGCUCAAAAGAAGAGUAUGACCUUAGUGCACCAAAAUCACUUUGAUUAAUUUGUGAUAGGUUUUUUUGCAUCAUUUAGAUAAUGUUUAGUUCUAAGAAAAAUUUAUAUAAAAAUGGUUUAUUUAUCUUACAUAUAUAUAUAUAUAUAUAUAUUUUUUUUUUUUUCAUUUUUUUUUCUUCUAUUUUAUUUAUUUAUUUUAUUUUCCUUAUGUUUUCCUCACAUUUUCCGGAACUAAACAUAGUCUUACGAAAUCAACAAUUGCCUUCAACUGAGUAGAUUCUGUUGUUUUAGCAAUGUUAGGCUGCUAACUUGUGGUGGUACGAACCAAAUGACCCAUGUUAAUCUUGGCUUGGUUUGAUUUGGCUCUAUCUCAGAGAGCUAAAGGAUCACGUCAACUCUGGUUUCUACUAUUCAGGUCCAUUCCCAGAUGAACUGGUUCAAAUUUGAGAAAAUGGUAACAGACCUUUAGUGAUGUUGGUUUGGAGCCAGUUGCCAAACCCGCCCUGAGCUUUACCACUAAUGUCAAGGGAGAAAGCCAUUUGAACAAAAACAAUAGCUUCAAGAGACUGAAUCGUGGAUGAAAUCUGAUCCACAUUUCUUCUCAUUUUGGGAAAAAAUGAGAACUUAACUACAAAGAUUCUACUGCCUCAUUCAUAGUGCUUUUCCUGAUCCAAGGUUGGUUCGUUUCCCAAAUUGUGAGGUGCACGUGCCACUCUCACGCUCAGGAGUGUAUCCACGUGGUGGACAUCAGAUGGUGGCUUAAUAUCUGGUGUCGGUGGCUUUACUUUACUAGGAGAGUAGUGUGUCUUCAUCUCAUUCACUGCCGGAGGGUGGCGUAAGCAGUGACGCUAAGGUGGGGCACAGUCAAUAUCAUUUGCAUUUGACCAUUAUAGUUUUCUCCCGGCUUGAAAGUAACCUUAUCGUGAUAAAGGAUUACUAGCACUAGUUCAGAUGACCGUCAUGUUAAUUCGGACCAUGUUUGUGUCACAUUAUCAGCAACCAUGUGUUUAUGGUUCAUGCUAUCUGCAACUAAACUUGAUAUAUAACCAGGUGAACUUCAAUCAAAAUUCUGGAAGUACUCUUGUGAUAGAUGGUGCCUGUCUGCAGAGUCCAUCAAUUGAAAAAUGGAGUGAGUGUAUCUAUAAGAGGGAAGGCUUGGCAAAUGUUCAGUUUUCUGGGAAUUCAACAAGGAUCUAAAAUAGAUUGUUUUCUUUGCCGACUUCAAUGGUUGAAAUUUGAGAAGAUUGUGUCCACAUAUCACAACUAUUACUGGUCCUUCUGUUGCAAUUUAUCCUGUAAGGCUCUAACAUGUCUUCCAAUUCCCACUUCCCUGUUACUCCAGGAAAGCUAUUUCUGUCAUUGUGAAGAAGAAAAGAGAAUGUACAUAUCGAUGCUUUUAAGUGACUGGAGCAUUCAUAUCAGGUGGUCUGCAGCCAUAUAUGCCACUUUGUGAAGGUUGGAACAGUCAAUCACUAGGCUAUAUAUUGGUGUGGCCCAGCCACUUCAAUCAAGGACAAGUCUUCAUACUUAAAGUCAAAUUCUGCCUUUAGUCUCAUUAUAAAUUGCUGUUUAAAUAUUAAGCAAACUUUUGUUUAAUGCGAUUAAGACAGUACUAACUCAAUACUUGUUCUAUUUUUGGAUGCAAAUGCUUGAUGGUUUCAUCAUUGGAUGGGAUAAAGGUGCAUUCAUGAUUAUGAAUACUUGUAGUUAUAUUUUCAUUCUCUUUUUUCUCAAUGAGACUUGUUGGCACAAUGUUGCUGUUCAGAAACCUACCUCUCCAUGGAAAAUAAGUUGCGAUUGAUAGUACUGGAUAUGUUCAAGAAAGCUAAAUAUAGAUAGCACAAAAUAUUAUCGAUAUAAAUAGCAUUAACAGCGUACGUAUGUCUCAAUGCUCAUCAGCUAUAAGCAUGGGACAAACACUUACUAUGAGCAACUUACGUCAAAAUUCCAGAAUAGGACAUAGAAGUGACAGAUCUAUAUAUAUAGAACACUGCAUAUGAGUCACAAGAAAGGAAAUUACGGGUGCAUAGCAGCUCUUAUUUUACAUACUACUACUCAUACUGAUCAAAGUCACUCAGUUGGGAUGGGUGGGAGUAGGAGGUUUGUGGGGUGGCUUGUGCGGAGGAGUUGGCAGCUUCUUUCCAGGACCUGGUUGCUUCUCUGCUGGAGUUGAAGGAGGCUUAAUCUUCCGAGGUGGCUUGUAUGAGUCUUCAGCAUUCUCAGCUGGAGGGUGACCAGGGUUGUGACCAUAAUGUGGUGGCUUCUCUCCCUUAGGUGGUUUGCCAACUGGGGUUGGUGGCUUGUAUGAGUCUUCAGCAUUCUCAGCAGGAGGGUGACCAGGGUUGUGACCAUAAUGUGGUGGCUUCUCUCCCUUAGGUGGUUUGCCAACUGGGGUUGGUGGCUUGUGUUCUGGGAGUGGCUUCUCCCCCUUGGGAGGUUUUUCCAAUGGGGUUGGUUUGUGUUCAGGAGGUGGCUUCUCCACUGGAGGCUUGUGUUCAGGAGGUGGCUUCUCCACCGGUGGCUUGUGUUCAGGAGGUGGCUUCUCCACCGGAGGCUUAUGCUCUGGUGGUGGCUUCUCCACCGGAGGCUUAUGCUCUGGUGGUGGCUUCUUGAAUGGGGGAUGCUGAGGGUAAUCAGCAAGUGAGGGGGCGGUGAGAACCACCAGGCCAAGCAACACCACUAGCAAAUAUGUAGGAGACAUCUUUGGGUUUGGGCUCAGAUGGUGCAAAACUAGGAGAAUUGGCUAGCCUUUUAUAGCGGAUCGUACUCAAUAAUGAAAUGACACGUGUCAUUAUGACCCAUGUGUAAUGGGGUCGAUUUGGGUCCUACAGUGUUGAAAACUUCGACAUCCAGUUUUGGCCUUUUGCUUUCUCUACAGCCGCCUUGCUUUUUCCCUCUUUCCUUUUGUUUUCCUCCUGCCCCAUUCUAUCAACUAAACACAAUUAUGUAGUUGUUUAAUUCUUAAAUGAGAUAUUAUCGGUCAAUCGUAUUAUAUUUUAUCAAGAGAGAACGGAGUGCAAUGCAGCUGUAAUUUUAUCGUUUACUUUUAUCUCUUGGACCACUGCAUUUUUGUUAAGAGGUGCAAUAAUACACGUCUUUAUCUGCCAUUCAAUGUUUACAGUAAAGAGAGGGCACAAAACUCUUCACUGCUCUGCAUGUGUCCCAAAAAUGCGAUUGGACAAAUUAUGAUUUGCAUGCUAAAAAGAGGCAAAUGAGGUUAAUUCGCACCAUAAUUAUUUGGUUUUCUGGACACCAUAAAAAGAUGUUAUACAGGCAGGGAAAAACCUUCAGAGUUAGCUACCAAAGAUAAUUAUCAAGCAGAUAUCACCAAGAGAAUUCCAUAGAGUCUGAAUCAAAGACAGAUUGCUCGCUCGUGGGGGUUCUUACUUUCUUUUGGGUAUAACUCACUGAGGUCACUGUCUUUUUUAUUUGCAUUUCACAGUUAGAGUUCUGCUCUGGAAGGUUUGUUCUGGAAACAUAUAAAAGGAGCAUCAUUUUGUUCUUGGGUAACCCAUAGUCGUGAGUGGGUCCAUUUGCAUGCUACUUAGUUGAAAAGUUGGACAAUUUGCUCCGACGCCUACCUCCUGGAUUCCAUGCUCGGUAAAACAAGAAUAAAAAAAAAUAUAUAAUUUACAAAUGGGGGAAAGAAAAAAUGUCGGAAAAAAUAGUAAAAUUCAUGUCACAUGCUAGUGAGAGAAGGGGUUGUUACACUCACUCGAAGUUCUUUUCAAAAUAUCGAAUGGUAUUUUACUUUAUGUGUCAGCGCAGUUGUGAAUGGAACGUGCAAAAGUCCAAAUUGGCGUUUUUAUUUUUCCCAUGUAGGAUGGUGACCUUUAAUAAAUAUUUAAAACAAAAGACGAAAAAAAAAAGGAGGGAAAAGGGAUCACAAAAGAUAAAAUAAUGUUUACAAAAGCUCAAUUAGUUUGCAAAUUACUGUUUGGAUUUUGAUAGUAUUUUAUUUGUCGUUCUAUAUUUGAUGUAAAAGAGAAUUUAAGAUAUUUCCGAAGCAAAAGCAUUAGUUUGCUCUGUGAUGUCCCACAUCGAAUAGGGGAGAAAGUUUCUGGCGCUAUAUAUGUAGAGGCUCCUCUUAACCAAGUAGAUGCGUUUUAAAACCAUGAGGGCCCCCUUAGGUCCAAAGCGGACAAUAUCUACAUGAUUGGGUGUAAGUCAUUACAAAUGGUAUCAGAGCCGAUCCCCGACCCCGGUGUGGGGGUUUGUUUGGCCCUGUAAGGGGUGUUUGUCUGUUUGACCCCACAAUCCCAUGGGACACAACGAGGACGUUGUGUCUGCAUGGGGGGGCGUUUGUGAUGUCCCACAUCGGAUAGGGGAGAAAGUUCCUAGUGCUAUAUAUGUAGAUGUUUCUCUUAACCAAGUAGAUGCAUUUUAAAAUUGUGAGGGCCUCUUUGGGCCCAAAGCGGACAAUAUCUACAUGGUUGAGUGUAAGUCAUUACAUGCUCCAUGUCAAUUUCAGCAUUUCUCAUAUGUUUCACACAUACACAGAAGAGCAUCGUUUUUUAAAGCAUGCAUUUAUGUUGGAUUAAUUUGGAUUUUGUGGGAACUGGGGCAAGGAUCACAUGGAAGAGAGGUUGACUUUUUUCAGUACUUCAAUGGUUGAAAUAUGUGAAGGCUUGAUUGAUACUAAAGCUUGAAAUUGCGACUCUGUCAUUUGUAAAAAAAUAUGACAGCUUCCAUGCUCUCGUUUGGUUGCAUUGUCCGGUCGAGAGGUGCAAAAAGCAUUCUCUCUCUUCUAAUAGUCUUUUCGUUUAAAUCAAGGGAUUUGCCUUCCCGGUCGAGGUCCAAUAGAGGGUAACGGUCACCUACUAAACAUUAAAUGCUCCAACAACUAGUGAACUGAUCGACCCCAGCUCGACUAGUUGAGGUUACUUUUUGGUUUUCUUGUCUCCCGAGGUUAGAAACCUAUAAAUAGAGAGCUUCACUUCAUUUAUGAGUAAGAGAACACCUAAAUUUAUUUGUUUACCUACUUGUUUUUGCCAUAAAAGCUCUCAUUUCUUUUCUUGGUGUAUUAAAUCUCCAUUUGCAUAUCCUUUAGUGCACCUUUGUGAUUCAUUCUAGCCUUGAGUUGUAUUUAAGCCUUUGUUGAGCUAGGUUGAGAGUUUCAUACUUGUUUAUUGAGUGUUAAAGCCUUCAAGUGAGUUAAAACUUGAAGAGAUUGUGUAAGAGCCCAUUGGAGUCGGAAUCCAAGUGUAAAGGUGAUUAAAAGCUUGGUUGAAGCUUCAAGUUAGUGGAACUCUCACUCGGUUAUGAGCUUGAGAAGAGUGGACAUAGACAAGGCAGUGUCGAACCACUAUAAAAUCUGAGUUUGAUUUCUCUAACCUUAUCUCUUUAUAUUUGCUUCUCUUGUGCUUAAAUUUUUUGUGUUUAAAAAGAAUUUUUAAAAACUCAAUUCACCCCCUUCUUGGGAGUUUUUCUCUUUUAAGAUCAGCUUUUAUUUUCUCAAUUGGUAUCAGAACUAUGCCUCUUGUUUAAGACUUAAUCGUCUAAGAGGAAAUGGCUAAUCCAUCAAGUUCAUCUCACAUUGAAAGUUUUGCAACCAAUAGACUUCUUUUUUUUUUUUUGCGGGAACUGAUUAUCCCUAUUGGAAAACUAAAAUGACUUGGUUUUUACAAUCAAUUGAUUUAGAUGUAUGAGAUGCCAUUGAAGAUGACCUAACUUUUCCUUCAAAACUAGUUGAUGGAGUCAUGGUUCCAAAACCUAAGCAAGAAUGGGAUGAGCGUGAUUGAAGAAAUUUUCAAUUAAAUGCUAAAGUCGUUUAUACUUUGCAAUGCUCUAUGGACAGAAAUGAAUAUAAUAGAAUAUGUCAAUGCAAAUCGGUUAAAGAAAUUUGGAGAUUGCUUGAAAUAACUCAUAAAGGAACAAAUCAAGUUAAAGAGUCAAAAAUCAAUUUACUUGUUCAUAGAUAUGAAUUGUUUUUUAUGAAAGAUAAUGAAACUAUUGUUAAGAUGAUCACUAGGUUCACCAACAUUGUUAAUGGUCUUAAAGCCUUGGGAAAGACCUACAAGGAAUCCGAAAACGUGAUGAAGAUCUUGAGGUCACUUCCAUCAAAGUGGCAUACCAAGGUCACCGCAAUUUAAGAAGCAAAAGACUUGAUCAAGCUACCUUUGGAGGAGUUCAUAGGGUCAUUGAUGACAUAUGAAAUCAAUUUGGCAAAGAAGUAACAAAAAGGUGAAGACAAAAAGAAGAAGAACAUAACUCUCAAAGCUACAACUAAGGAAGAAGAAGUUGAAGAAGAAAAACAAAUUGAAGAAGAUGAAGAUUUAGCCCUCAUCACAAGAAAGUUCAACAAAUUCAUGAGGGGUGAAAGGUUUAGAAGAAGAAGGUUCACUUCUAGAAGAGACUUUUCUAAAAAGGAAUCUUCAUCUAAUGGUGACAAAAAGAGAUGGGAAGAGAAAAGAGACUUGGUGUGUUUCAAGUGCAAGAAACCGGGACACAUUAAAUAUGAUUGUCCUCUCUACAAAAGUGAAGUCAAGAGGAAAAAGAAUAAGGCAAUGAUGGCCACUUAGAGUGAAAGUGAAGAUGAAUCAUCCGAAGAAGAAAAUGAGAAAGAAGUGGCAAACAUGUGUUUCAUGGCAAUAGAUGAACUUGAUGAGGUAAAAUCUAACCUUAGUGAUUAAGAUAUACAUGAUGCAUUUGAAGAAUUGUAUGAGGAUUUUUAAAAACUUAGUUUGAAAAAUAUUUCUCUUAAAAAGAAAGUUCAACAACUUGACAAAGAACUUAGAGAAGUAAAAGAAAAAUUUUCAAAUGUUAAAGUUUCUAAAACUCAUCUUGAAAAAGAAAAUGAGAUUCUAAGAAAGAAAAAUGAAUAGUUGAACUCCUCUCUUUCAAUCUUUUCUUCUAGACAAAAAUCUUUUGAAAUGAUUCUAACUAGCUAAAAAUGUGUUUUUGACAAACAAGGGUUAAGAUUUAAAUCUUCAAAAAAUCAAAAGUAUUUUAAAAACUAUUUUGUAAAGGAAUCCACAAGUGCAAGUCCUUCCACUACUUGCAACUUUUGUGGAAGAGAAUGGCACAUUAGUAGUACGCCCUUUAAGAAAUGGUUCUCAAAAGAAUUUAAAUGCAAAAACUAAAAAAGAUUUGGAUUGAGAAAUCCAAGGUCACUAACCCUCAAGGACCCAAAAAGAUAUAGGUACCUAAAUCAACUUGAGUUUUAUGUUGUAAGGUUCAAAGAAUGAUAAGUGGUUCUUAGAUAAUGGUUGCUCAAGACACAUGACCGGAGAUGAAUCCAAGUUUGCUUUUCUUAAAAAGAAAAAUGGAGGAUAUGUUACCUUUGGAGACAAUGCAAAAGAAAGGAUGAUUGGUCAAGGCAACAUUGGUAAUGGCACAUCCUCUCUCAUUGAAAGUGUUUUAUUAGUAGAUGGUUUCAAACAUAACCUUUUAAGCAUUAGUCAAUUUUGCGACAAAGGUUUUUAAGUGAUUUUUUAAGCAUCUCAUUGCAUCAUCAAGGAUAUUCAAAAUGAUAAAACCAUUUUCAUGGGCCAUAGAUGUGAUAAUGUUUAUGCUAUAAAUAUUUCAAAAUAUGAUGGCCAUGAUAGAUGUUUUUCAAGCAUGCAUGAUCAAAGUUGGUUGUGCCAUAGGAGAUUGAGACAUGCUAACAUAGACCUCAUUUCCCAACUCAACAAAGAUGAACUUGUUAGAGGCCUUCCCAAAAUAAUUUUUUAAAAAGAUAAAGUUUGUGAAGCUUGUCAAGUGGGAAAGUAAAUCAAAAACUCUUUUAAAAACAAAAACUUCAUUUCCACAUCUAGGCCACUUGAGUUGUUGCAUAUGGAUUUAUUUGGUCCCUCUAGGACACCAAGUCUUAGAGGAAAUUCUUAUGCAUAUGCUAUUGUGGACGACUUCUCUAGAUACACAUGAGUCUUGUUUUUUAGUCAAAAGAAUAAAGUUUUUUAUGAGUUUUCAAAGUUUUGCAAUAAGAUUCAAAAUGAAAAAGGUUUUUCAAUUACUUAUAUAAGAAGUGAUCAUGGGAGAGAAUUCGAAAAUAUUGAUUUUGAAGAGUAUUGCAAUGAGCAUGGAAUUGACCACAAUUUUUUGGCUCUUAGAACUCCUCAACAAAAUGGGGUAGUUGAAAGGAAAAAUAGAACUCUUCAAAAAAUGACAAGAACCAUACUAAAUGAAAACAACUUACCAAAAUAUUUUUAGGCCAAAACGGUUAACACUUCUUGUUAUGUUUUAAAUAGAGUAUUAUUGAGGCUCAUACUUAAGAAAACUCCCUAUGAGCUUUGGAAAAACAAAAAACCCAACAUUAGUUAUUCCAAAGUCUUUGGAUGCAAUAUUUUAUAAUAAACACCAAAGACAAUCUUGGAAAAUUUGAUGCAAAAUUGGAUGUUGGAAUUUUCCUUGGUUACUCAACUUCAAGUAAAGCUUUUCGAGUUUUAACAAAAGAACCAUGGUUGUAGAGGAGUCCAUCCAUGUUAUUUUUUAUGAAUCUCCAAGAAAGAGAGAGGAUUGAUGAUGAUUUAGGUUUGAAGACCUCUAUAGGAAGAUUGCAAAUCGAAGAUAGAAGACAACAAGAAGAAAAUGGAGAGAAUCCAAAGAAAGAAGGAUCACCAUUGGCACUACCCCCUCAUCAACAAGCGCAAGGUGAAUCAAGUCAAGAGCUUCCUAAAGAAUGGAAGUUUGUCAUCAAUCACCCACAAGAUCAAAUUAUAGGCAAUCCAUCUAGUGGGGUAAGAACUAGAUCCUCUCUUAGAAAUAUUUGCAAUAAUCUAGCUUUUAUCUCUCAAAUUGAGCCUAAAAAUAUAAAUGAUGUUUUAGAUGAUGAAAAUUGGAUAAUUGCAAUGCAAGAAGAGUUAAAUCCAUUUGAAAGAAGUGGAGUAUGGGAAUUAGUACCAAGACCUUCAAAUCAAAGUGUUAUUGGAACUAGAUGGAUCUUUAGAAAUAAAAUGGAUGAAAAUAGCAUAAUUGUUAGAAAUAAAGCAAGAUUGGUAGCCCAAGGUUUUAAUCAAGAAGAAAUGAUAGAUUAUGAAGAAACCUUUGCCCCCGUAGCUAGGUUGGAAGCCAUUAGGAUGCUACUUGCCUUUGCAUGUUUUAAAGACUUUGUUUUAUAUCAAAUGGAUGUGAAAAGUGCUUUUUUAAAUGGUUUUAUAAAUGAAGAAGUAUAUGUUGAACAACCACCCGGUUUUCAAAGUUUCAACUUUCCUAACCAUGUUUUUAAACUUAAAAAGACACUUUAUGGUUUGAAACAAGCACCUAGAUCAUGGUAUGAAAAAUUGAGUAAAUUUCUUUUGAAAAAAAUGUUUUAAAAUGGGAAAAAUUGACACAACUCUUUUUAUAAAAACCAAAGAAAAUGAUAUGCUCUUAGUUCAAAUAUAUAUUGAUGAUAUCAUUUUUGGUGCUACUAAUGUCUCUCUUUAUGAAGAAUUUUCUAAGUGCAUGCAUAGUGAGUUUGAAAUGAGCAUGAUAGGAGAACUCAACUUCUUCCUUGGACUUCAAAUCAAGCAACUAAAGGAAUGAACCUUCAUCAAUCAAGCAAAGUAUAUAAGAGAUCUUCUCAAAAGGUUCAACAUGGAAGAAGCCAAAACAAUGAAGACUCUAAUGAGCUCAUCCAUUAAGCUUGAUAAGGAUGAGAAAGGUAAAUCCAUUGACUCUAUUAUGUAUAGAGGCAUGAUAGGUUCUUUGCUCUAUUUGACCACUAGUAGACCUUACAUUAUGUAUAGUGUGUGUUUGUGUACUAGAUUUCAAUCUUGUCUUAAAAAAUCUCACUUAAGUGUCGUGAAAAGAAUCCUCAAAUAUUUGAAAGGGACAAUGGACAUAGGCUUAUGGUAUCCUAAGAGUGAUAACUUUGAAUUAAUUGGUUUUUUGGAUGCUGAUUUUGUCAGUUGUAGGGUUGAAAAAUAAAACACUAGUGGCACUUUUCAUUUCUUAAGACACUUACUUGUCUCAUGGCAUAAUAAGAAGCAAAAUUUGGUAGCUUUGUCAACAGCAGAAGCUAAAUACAUAGCAACUGGUUUAUGUUGUGCACAAAUCCUUUGGAUGAAAUAAACACUUAGUGAUUUUGAUUUAUCUUUUGAGCAUAUUCCUAUUAAAUGUGAUAAUAGUAGUGCCAUAAGUAUAUCAAAAAAUCUCGUGCAACACUCUAGGACUAAGCAUAUAGAGAUUAGACAUAAUUUUCUUAGAUAUCAUACACAAAAGGAUGAUAUAACACUUGAAUUUGUAAGCAUAAAAGACCAACUUGCCGAUAUCUUUACAAAACCUCUAAGAACAUUUUGUUGAUAUUAGAGGACAAUUAGGAGUGAUUUCUUUAUGAUCUAAUGUGAUGAAUUCUUGAUGAAUAUACUUUUUGAUUGCAUGAAUUUCAUGUCAUAUAUGCAUCAUAUAGAAAUAUACUUAGAUAAUGGUCAAAUUUCGACCAAAAAUCAAAAUUCCCAUGGCAUUAGGCAUAAAAAUUUUGGAAUUUCAACUGAAAAUGGUAGGAGGAGGAUCACAAAAUGAGAAAGUAUGCAAAAAUUGAAAAAUCAAAACGUUGACCAAGCGGUCAAUCGGACUAGACCGAUCGACUAGUUUGUCGAGAUUUAGGAUUUUUAAGAGACUCCAACGCUUCAAUUUUUGCACCGUUCUCCUCUAUUUCUUCACGGUUUCUCUGAUUUUGUCUUUUAGAGACUAAUUUGAGUGCGUUUUGGAUCAAUUGAAGCAUUUUGGAUUGGAUUUUAGGAAGAUUGAAAGUUAAGGUUUCGGAUUUGGGUCGCCUUCUCUUCCUCUCGCGUGUCACAAUCAGCUUUAGCAUUGUUCUCUUUCCAUUUUCACACACCUAGGGUUUCAGUUGUGAGCAUCUCUCUCUCUUUACCAACCACUACUCCCUUGCUUCUUCCAUAUGGCUCCUAGGCGAGAGUCCGCUACUUCUAGGGCACAAGGCAAGCACCCAACUGAGUCGUCUCAGUCAAAGGCACGUCGAAAAGUGAGAUUUGACAUUGCCUUGUUCAGUUCCAUGGAGGACUACCAACUAUACAAGCAACACUUUGCUUAGAGACGAGUAGUUCCCAAGAGAAAUAUUAAUUUUCCUCAACUUCAGCAUUUCGAAUUUAAGGGUCUAUUUACUAGGAUGGUUGGUUGUCUAUUGUCACAAUUUCGGAGCCGGUUUUCCUGACCUUAGUGCGAGUUUUUUACUCGAGGGCGACUUAUGGCAUGGGUGGCAUGAUCAUUUCUACUGUUGGAGGAGUUGAGAUCUGUCUGGACCCAGAGAGCAUCUGCCAUAUUUUCGAUAUUGCUCUGGUUGGACUCAAAGUAUACAAGUCCAAAAUGUGGCCCAUUGUGCCAGGAUUUGAGCUUAGAGAGGUCAUUCAGAGGAUUUGUGAACUUCCAGACGCCCAGGAGAUGGGCAAACCAUUGCCACACAGUUUGACGGUCAUCAACAGGGUGCUACACCAUAUAUUGUGCUCUAUCUUUCUACCACGAAGUGGACAUUGAGAUGAGGUCUCUUAUUAUGAGGCAUUCCUUAUUGACUCCAUUCUAACGGAGAGACGAAUUCAUCUACUAUGUCAUCAUUCACUAAGCCUCCUCACAGUGACAUACCACCUCAUCAGGCACCUCUUGCUCCUGACCAUGCUCCAUUGAUGGAUUUAUUUACUCAUAUUAGCUCUCUAGGCACUCGCAUGAAGGAGUUUGUUGUAGUUAGUGAUACAUGGUUCUACUCCAUAGAGGAUCGCAUGGAUCAGUAUCAGACUGGCUUCACGUCACAGUUUGAGUAUCUCCAAUAGAGGAUUGAGCAUAUUGAGGAUCACUUGAGCAUGAGAAGAUGAUGGCUUUUCUAUGCUCUGUGUUUCCACCUCCACCUCGUCAACCUUGAUUUCUUAGAGACCCAUUGUUUUCAUUUUGUAAUGUUGCCAAAAGGGGGAGAUAUUUAGGAUCUAGGACUCUAUAGGAGACUUACAUGCAUAUCAUUUUCAUAUCAUUGUUUGGAUCGUACAUAUUGGAUAGUGAUACUUUUUACUUAUAUAUGAUAUGCCUAUAUGUUUCAUGUCUUACAUUGUUUCUUAUUGCAAAUUAUCUCUAACAUGUCUUGAUUAUCUUUUUUUUAACUUCAUAAAUUUUGAUUGUUAACCCAUGAUUGGUUUGAGGGGAAGAUUCUUCUUCUCCUAGAUAACCAAGGUUUGUCAUCAUAAAAAAAUUGGAGAUUGUUAGCCCAAGGGUUCUCCUAAUCAUGUUUUGAUGAUAACAAACCAUGCUUAAGUUACUAAUUGGUUUGAAUUAUAAAGAAUUUCAAGUGUUAAUUUGAAAAUUCAUCAAAGAACCUAAUGGAUGCAAGAUCAAGAUUUUUGGAAGACCUUUAAUCAUAAGAAACAUAUGUAAGAUGAAUGCAUGGGUGCACUUAAGAUUUGCAUAUCAUUUCAUGCAUAUUUGGAAAACACGGUUUAUGCUUUAAAGUUACAUUUCCAUCAAAAUUUGAGAUCCAUCAAAUGAACCUUAGGAAAAAUGUUUUAAAAUUGGCAUAUAAUUUUACCUAAAGACCUUGCCUAAGUGUUAGAAGCAAAAGGACAAAAAAAAUAUAGGUUUUCUGGUCAAAAAUGGUGAACCAGUCAAGGCAUUGUCUAAAUCAGCUCAAUCGGCCAAGGUACCGGUCGAUCGGUUUCCCUUUCCCUGUCGAGAUCUAGUCAAGAGGUACAAAAAUCACAAUCUCUGUCUCUUUCUCUCUUUGUCUAUCUUCCAGUAGUCUUUCCUUCCCGGUCGAGGGAUUUGCCUUCCCGAUUGAGGUCCGAUUGAGAGUAAUAGUCACUUGCCAAAUAUUAAAUGCUCCAACAGUUAGUGAACUGGUCGACCCCCACCUUGCCCAGUUGAGGUUACUUUUUGGUUUUCUUGGCUCCCGAUGUUAGAAACCUAUAAAUAGAGAGUUCCACUUCAUUUAUGAGCAAGAGAACACUUGCAUUUAUUUGUUUACCUACUUGUUCUUGCCUUAAAAGCUCUCAUUUCUUUUCUUGGUGCAUUAAAUCUCCAUUUUGAUAUCCUUUAGUGCACCUUUGUGAUUCAUCUUAGCCUUGAGUUGUAUUUGAGCCCUUUUUUUAGCUAGGUUGAGAGUUUCAUACUUGUUAAUUGAGUGUUAAAGCCUUCAAGUGAGUUGAAACUUGUAGAGAUUAUGUGAGAGUCGAUUGGAGCCGAAAUCCAAGUGUAAAGGUGAUUAGAAGCUUGGUUGAAGCUUCAAGUUAGUGGAAUCCUCACUCAAUUAGGAGCUUGAGGAGAGUGGACGUAGCCAAGGAAGUGUCGAACCACUAUAAAAUUUGAGUUUGAUUUCUCUAACAUUGUCUCUUUAUAUUUGUUUAUCUUGUGCUUAAAUUUAUUGUGUUUAAAAAGAAUUUUUAAAUACCCAAUUCACCCCCCUCUUGGGUGUUUUUCUCUUUUAAAAUUAGCCUUUAUUUUCUCACAAACUAUUGUAGUAUAGUGGUUUUUAGGUGUCAUCCAUUAGGAUGAAUUGUUCUCGGUAAUUAAGGCGUGAAUGAGAGGAGAAUUAAUGAUUGUGAUUAAGUAAAAUUGAUUUGAAAAUUCAUGGUGAAAAAUCAAUUUAACAAUGGUUUCUAAUUGAGAAAAACAAUGAAAUGUGAAAUAAAAUAAAAUUAAUAGGAAAUGAAAUUCUCGAAGUUAGAAUUUUCUAAAAAACAAAUUCCAUGGUGAAUGGAUGUUGAGAUCUAAUUUUCAUCAAGUUAGAUUGAAAACCGAAAUUUUCAUAUAAACUGAUUUUUUAUUUAGUUUUAGGUCUAGAUUUAAUUUCCCUUAAAAUUAGGUUAUUUAAUCCAAGAAAUCAAUUCAAAUCAUAUAUUCAAUUCAUCUUAAAUUAUCUUCCAAUUAUUCACACAAUGCAACUAUUCAAUCUCAUCAAAUCUAGCUUUUAAGAAUUUAAUGAAUCUACCUAGUUUGCAUUGUAAUAGUCAUCCAUGACAAUUUGAAGAGAAAAAUAAUUCAAUUAAUCAAUCACUUGGAUCAAAUUACCUUUGCAAUUAAAGUUCAUUUCUCUAAUUCACCACAGAUUUUGUCUCUAGAUCCUCCUUUCUCAAAGAAAAAUGAGAUUUAGCCACACAUGAUUGGAGAUUUGGUCUCAUAAGGCAUGUUUAGCUAGUGAUAAAAUGAGAGAAAAUAAAGAAAAAUAGAGAAUUCGAUUAAGAAAGAAAAUCUAAAAAAUUCUACAAUUAGAAAUGUCCAAAAAGCUUUUUCAUGAGAAAAUCAAGUUUCUAUUUAUAGGCCAAGGUCAAGUGGACACUUGACAUCAUCUAAGAGGUCUUCCGGAAGCUUCUUCAUCAAGAAAUCUGGAGUUUAAUAAUAAAAUGGUCAUUUCACAAGAGCUCAAACAAUUUCGCAUGAUUAUGUGAAAUAAAAAAUGCAACAACAGCAAUUUACAUCUUCUUGGAGCAUUUCGCAUGACUGUGUGAAAUUUUCACAUGAUCAUGUGGAAUCGACUUGACAACUCUCAUUUAGCCUACAACAUAAUUCCACCUUUUGGUCCAUUUUUCAUAGUCAUGCGAAAUGGAAAUAUUUGAUUUUUAAGUUUUCUUUUGUCAUUUCUUUCAUUUCCUUCUCUUGAUUCCACUUCAACUACCUCCGAAUCCUGGUCCAAACCAAUUGCAUUACUUCUUUCAUUAUGCAUUUGGAUCAUCAUCAACAUUAUUUGUUCUCUUCAAUUUGAUUCAUCUCUUUUGUCACCAAUUUAUCAAAAUCAUACCUUGAAAUGACUCCAAAACUUCAUAAAACUUGUUAGUAACUCUUGCAAGGGCAACAACAUAUUAAUUAAGUGUUUUAGGCAUAGUUACUACUCAAAAGAUGCGAAACUCAUGAUAAUUAUUAUAUAAAAUAUGCUCUUUUUGAGUAGUAAUCAACUUUCUUGCAUAAGCAGACCUUUUAGGGUGGAGUACUAAAGACCAAUAUGCUUGUCCUUGUUGUAAUAAAGAAACUUGCUCUUAUUGAUUGCACCAUGGGAGAAAAUUUUGCUACAUGAGUUAUCAUCAAUUUCUUCCCACCAAUCAUAGAUUUAGACGUGACAAGAGGCCUCUUAAUGGCAAGGAGGAACUGACACUCACACUUAUACAAUUAUCGGGCAUUGAUGUGUUGCAACAAUUAGAAUAACUUACACCAAUUAUGUUGGGGAAGUCACAAAAGGCAAACAUGAAAACUAAAAGGAAAAAAGAAAAAUGUUACAUAUCACCACAACUGGAAAGAAAAAAGUAUUUACUUUCAUUUGCCAUAUUGGAAAGCACUUAUUUUACAUCAUAAUAAUUUAGACAUAAUGCAUAUUGAGAAAAAUGUGUGACAAUAUAAUUGAGACAUUGUUCAGUAUUGACGAAGAAACAAGGACAACCUAAAUAGUCAUCUCGAUUUACAAGCUCUAACUAUUAGAAAUGAGAUUCACCCAAUAGAAAGCAGGACCAAAUUUAUUUUGCUUGCAACAUGCUACUCACUCACCCCAAAUGAGAUUAAGGAAUUUUGCAAGUUUUUGAAAUCAAUAAAGGUCCCCAAUGGCUAUUCUUUCAAUAUCUCUCGUUAUGUGCAACUCAAUGAAAGGAAGAUAUAUGAGCUCAAAUUGUAUGAUUGUCAUGUCCUAAUGCAACAACUUCUCUCACUUGUAGUUCGUGGAGUUCUACAUAAGAAUGUUUGUGGAGUUAUCAUAGAAUUGCGUAAUUUUUUCAAGCAAUUGUGCUCAAAGGUGUUAGAAACAAAUCACUUACACCAACUUGAGAACAAUAUUAUUGUCAUACUAUGUAAAAUGGAGCAAAUAUUUCUUCCAUCAUUCUUUGAUAUUAUGGUGCAUUUACUUGUGCAUCUAGUAAGGCAAAGGUUGCAAGACUUGUGCAAUAUUGUUGGAUGUACCUAAUUGAACGAUAUUGUUAUAAUUUCAUAUGAAUCAUUUAAUUUUAUUUUAUAUUAUGUUCAGUUCAUUAACAUGUACAUUGGUCUACAUAUGGAUGAUGAUAGGUACCUAAGCACUUUAAAGUCAUAUGUGCGUAAUAGAACUUUUCUAGAAGGUUCUAUUGUAGAAAGGUACCUUGCAAAAGAAUGUACAACAUUUUAUUCUAGGUACUUGAAUGAUGUGGAAAUAAAGUAUAAUCACAAUGAUAGAAACUUUGUUGGUUUCAACACUAGAGGAGAUGAAAGGGGUUAUCUUUAAACAUAUUGGACAUGCAUUGGGAAAGCCCAUAUUUCAUUAACUUAGUUCAAAAGAGUGGUCACAAGCACAUUUAUAUGUGUUGACAAAUUGCGAAGAUGUCAUACCAUUCAUUGAGUAAAAAAUUUAUUUGAAUUUUAAUUAAAGCUCUAGUUUAUAUCCUUAAUCAAUGUUUUUUAAAUUCACAAGGAGCACAAGCAAACCAUCAAGGCUAGACCACAUAUACGUGUUUGAGACGUAGAUUUAAUUCAUAACAAGGAAUUUAUCAAGUGGUUUGAAAGACAUGUAAGUAUAUUCCUUAUUAUAAGGGAUUUAUUUCACAUUAUGUUUAUAUUGAAUCCAAACCUAUUAUUGAAUUGUAGGUUGAACAAUUACAUAAUGAAGGUCAUAUAUCUGAACACCUUCUCACAUUAUCAUGUGUUCCAAAUUCAUUAGUUACAUGCUUCAAAUGAUAUAUUGUCAAUGGAUUUAGAUCCCACAUUAAAGAACGUGAUAAAAAAGUUUUUAAAAAAAGACUCAGAAUAAUGGAAUUGUUGUAGUUGCAAAAACGUCAAGCUUUACAAGUGCAUGUGAUAUGAGUCCAAUUAUUAGUGAUGCUCUCUACUAUGGUGUUCUAACUAAAGUUGUUGAGUUACAUUAUCUUGGUGAAAAUAAGGUUGUUUUAUUCGAGUUUGAUUGGUGGGAUGUUACAAAUAUUGGAAAAUUGAUAAAAGAUGAUGAGUACAAUUACACAUUUGUUAACUUUGCAUGAAUUCUAACCACGAACGAACGAUUUGUACUUGCAUCUCCAGCAAAGUAAGUGUUCUAUGUGAAGAAUGCGAAUGAAUCAGAUUGGCAUACUAUCAUGGAGAUGCAACCUCAAGACCUCUAUAAGAUGAACGGGAUAGGAUCCAAUGGUGAUUUUGAACCAUUUCAACAAAGUGAACUACAUGAUCACUAAUAUAUCUCAGAUUUAGUUGAUGAAGAUAUAAUCAAGUGGAACAAAAGUGAUGUUUUAGGACUAAUCAUCCUAAAAAAUAUUGUAGUUUCUUAAAAAAAAAAUGAAAAUGAAGAAGAUAAUUGAACCUUUGUCAUACUUUAAAAAGCAACUAUGCAUUGUUCAUUUUGUAUGUUUUGGUUUUCUUCAUUUAAUUUCCUGAUUUUUGUGAUUCAAUGUCAUAUUAUUGAUCUUGAAAUAUUUUUCUAAUUUUUCAUUCUACGAUGGUUUCAACAAGGAUGACAUCAAGUCAAAAAAGGAAAUGUGGUCCCACACACAAUAUUGCAUUACAGGGAUUAAGGUCAGGGAAGAAGGUAAAAGUUGCAUUUAAUGAGUACAAUCAAUUGGUUAAACAGAAAAAUGGAAAACACUUAUCGAGCUACAUAGGGACACUUGUAUCUAACCAACACAAUGUACCUCUCCAAGCUAGUGAUUGGAAAAAUGUUCCAAAUGAUGCAAAAGAGAAAGUAUGGCCUUUGUUUUGGUAUGUUGUAUUUCUCACUAUAUGAUGUCAUUUCACUGUUAUUCUAUUUUGUGACUAACGUUUGAAUCAUAUGUAAGAAAAAUUUGAAGUAGAUAAAGACUGAAAAGAUUACAUGUUGGGUAUAGCCUCAAAUAAAUAUAGAAGCUAUAAAAAUAUGAUGAAUGCAAAAUACUAUGACCCUUGGCAUAAGGAUGCAUGAGGAGAGGUUAAUACAUAAAUCACCAUUUGUCUCUGAUGUUGAUUGGAAGUGGCUUGUCUCUGAUGCAUAAACCAAAUCCCCCACUGAAUGUUUGAUAUUUGAUAGCAGGAAAAACACACCCGCAGCUAUACACCUCCAUCAUUCAGAUAAUUAUAGUGGGGGAGAUGAUUCAUGGUUGCCCUUAUACCCUUUAUUUGCACCAUCUAUUGAGAUUCUUUAUCAUGGCCAGGUUUUACUGCAGCAAUAAGAUAUGGUGGCAACAAUUUUAUCUAUAGGUGCGGUUCCAGACCGCCUCCAUAGGUGCGGUUCCUGACUGCCUCCAUAGGUGCCUCUUCUUGUAAUGUUUGUUCUGGGAAUUACACUUGAAAGCCUUAUCGUGAUAAGGGAUUACAAACACUAGUUCAGAGGACAGCCAUGUUAAACUUCCACUAUGUUUGUGUCACAUUAUCAGCAGCCUAGUGUUUAUUGGUCAUGCUAUCUGCAACUAAUAUAACCCGGUGAACUUCAAUCUAAAUUCUGAAAGUACUCAUGUGACAGAUGGUGCCUUUCAGCAGAUAUCAUCAAUUUAAAAGUAGUGUGUGUGCCUAUAGGUGGGAAGGCCUUGGCAAAUGUUCAGUAUUCCGGUAAUUCAAGAAGGAUAUAUCUAAAAUAGAUUUUCUUCUUGCCCAUUUCAAUAGUUAAAAUUUGAGAAGAUUGUGUCCACAUCACACAAAUAUUAUUGGUCCUUCUGUUGCAAUUUACCUCUGAACAUGUCUUCCAAUUCCCACGGUCCUGUUACUCCAGGAAAACUAUUUCGGUCAUAUUGAAAAAAAAAAUAUUAAAGAAGGUACACAUGCUUUUAAGUGGACUGGGGCAUUCAUAUCAGGUGGUCUGUAUCCACAUAUGCCACUUCGUGAAAGGUGGAACAGCCUAAUCACUAGGCUAUUUAGUGUGGCCCAGCCACGUUAAUCAAGCACAAGUCUUCAUACUUAAAGUCAAAUGGUGUCUUUAGUCUCAUUACACAUCGCUAUUUGAAGAUUAACUCAUCACUAGUGUAAUGCGAUUAAGACAGUCCUAACUCAAUAUUUGUUCUAGUUUUGGAUGCAAAUGCUUGCUGGUUUCAUCAUUGGAUGGGAUAAAGGUGCAAUCAGGACUAUGAAUACGUGCAGUAAUACUUCAUUCUCUUUUUUCUCAAUGAGACUUCUUGGCACAAUUUUGCUGCUCAGCAACCUACCUUUCCAUGGAAAAUCAGUUGUGACUGAUAGUAAUGGAUAUAUUCUAGAAAGCUAAACAUAGAUAGCAUUCAAUAUUAUCGAUAUAACAUUAACAGCGUAUGUCUCAAUGCUCAUCAGCUACAAGCAAUGGACAAACACUUUGAGUAACUCACAGCAGUCAAAAUUCCUAAACAGGACAGACGUGACAGAUCUAUAUAUAGAACACUGCAUAUGAGUCACAGGAAAAGAUAAUACGGGUACAUAGAAGCUCUUAUUUUACAUAUUACUCAUACUGAUCAAAGUCGCUCAGUUGGGAUGGAUGGGAGAAGGAGGUUUGAGGGGUGGCUUGUGCGGGGAAGUUGGCAGCUUCUUUCCGGGAGCUGGUUGCUUCUUUGCUGGAGUUGAAGGAGGCUUAAUCUUCCGAGGUGGCUUGUAUGAGUCUUCAGCAUUCUCAGCAGGAGGGUGACCAGGGUUGUGACCAUAAUGUGGUGGCUUCUCUCCCUUAGGUGGUUUGCCAACUGGGGUUGGUGGCUUGUUUUCUGGGAGUGGCUUCUCUCCCUUGGGUGGUUUGCCAACUGGGGUUGGUGGCUUGUGUUCUGGGAGUGGCUUCUCCCCCUUGGGAGGUUUUUCGAAUGGGGUGGGUUUGUGUCCUGGUGGUGGCUUCUCUCCCUUGGGAGGUUUACCAAUUGGGGUCGGUGGCUUGUGUUCUGGGAGGGGCUUCUCUCCCUGGGGAGGUUUAGUGGGUGGCUUGUGUUCUGGAGGUGGCUUCUCCACCGGAGGCUUAUGCUCUGGUGGUGGCUUCUCGAAGGGGGGAUGCUCAGGGUAAUCACCAAGUGAGGGGGUGGUGAGAACCACCAUGCCAAGCAACAACACUAGCAAGUAUGUAGUAGACAUCUUUGGGUUUGGACUCAGACAGUGCAAAACUACGAGAAAUCGCUAGCCCUUUAUAGCGGCUCGGACCUAAUACUGACAUAAUAUAAAAUAAAUAUUAUAUUUUAUCAAGAGAGAACAGAGUGUAAUUUUAUCAUUAAUACCGAUCGAGGCCAAAGAAAGAAGACCCAUAAUCCAUUUCCCACAAGCAUACACAAUGCAGCUGUAAUUUUAUCAUUUACUUUUAUCCCUUGGACCACUGCAUUUUUGUUGAGAGACACAAUAACACAUUUUUAUCUGUCAUUCAACAUUUACAGUAAAGAGAGGGCACAAAACGCAAUUAGAUAAAUUAUGUUUUGCCUGCUAAAAAGAGGCAAAUAACUUUAUUUGCAACAUAAUUAUUUUGGUUUCUAGUGACCCCGGGGCCUUUCGGUUGGUUUGGGAUCGGAAAAUGAACAUCAUAGGGGGGGUUGUGCCCUUAUGGGCAUAUAUAUCUGAUAGCUUCAACUGGCCUUGUUCCUAGAAAGAAAUUGCCAAAGAUAUAAACUUAUUCCAGGCUGAAAGUAGAUGAGAGUCAUAAUGAACAUCAACCUUUGUUCAGUUUGAUUCAAUGCCCCCAUAGUGUUCAUUUCACAGAUCUGAAUGAUUAUAUCCGUUGAAUACAUAAAUUAAUGAAGACAAAUAUGAAACCCAAGAUACAUCUCUGCAUAACAACCCCAACCCUGGUUGCUAUGUUUCCCUUCUUCUAUUCACAUGAGGAUACUGGUUAUAAUUGUCAAACUUGCAACAAGCCCUUUGACACCUAACGUCAAUGGACGAAUUAAAAGUCUCCUUCAAACGUCUAUUUCACAGCAUGAAGCUUAUAAAGGAUGCUGACAACCUUCAGAGUUAGCGACAAAAGAUAAUUAUCAAGGAGAGAUAGUUCCAUGAGAAUUCCAAGGAGUCUGAAUCAAAGACAAAUUGCUCACUCAAGGGUUCUUAUUUUCUUUUAGGUACAAAUCUCUUGAGUGUUGUUAAAGAAACACGUCACUGUCAUUUUGAUUUGCAUUUAACAUUUCACUUUUGUUCUGGAAGGUUUGUUCCGGAAACAUAUCAAAUGAGCAUCAUUUUCUUCUUCGGUGACACAUGGUCGCGAGUACGUGGGUCCAUUUUCAUGCCACUUAGUUGAAAAGUUGGAAAGAAAAAACAUGCCAACAAGAAGAUAGUGAGAGAAGGGGCACUUCAAGCCUUUAACAUGAACAAACAGUAAAUAAAAGAUGUUUCUCCACUCAUAAAAGUGUGUUAGAUAGCAAUAUAACGAAUCACAUCCAAAAUCUUUACUAGGCUCAAACAUAAAGAAGACUCAUUUUUAAGAAAAGAUAAAAAUGGCAUUGUCUGAUAGUAUCCAAUACACGAGAUGGCACUUAAUUUGUACAAGAUCUGUCAAUGCUGACGCACAUUUUCUGAUUAAAAAAAAACUGAUCAGUCAAAAGCAAUGAAGAGAAGUGAUGACAAUGAAUGAUGCUUCCAAUAUUUUCACCCCUUAUAGUGUUCUUCAUGAUUCAGAUAUAUAAUUGGAAAUAGAACAACCCUAUGCCAUACAUUCGUCUAAGUAUGGUGUCUAAUUUUUUGUGUCAGCGGUUGCGAAUGGAGCGUGCAAAAGUCCAAAUUGGCGUCUCUCCAUUUCCACAUAGGAAGGUGACCUUUAUUGACAAAUACCCAAUAUUUGUAGACAUUCCUUAAAUAUCAUAACUUCUUGUUGAUUUGAAAAUCAUUUUUCAACUACCAUGUUUUAAUAAAUAUUUUUUAAAAUGUAUUUUUAUCAAAGUCCACCAUGAUGGAUAAUAUUCACCAUGCAAUAAUUAAUAAAGUACAAACUAAGCGAAAUGAAAAGCAUUUUCUUUGCUUUGAGUUGAUUUUGGUUGCAUUGAGUUGAUUUUGGUUUCAUGGUUUUUUCAACUCUUAUUUUGAUUGGAAGAUGUCAAGAAAAGAAAACAUAAAGAAAAAUUAAAAGGGAAAAAAGAAGAAAAAUAAAAAAAAAUAGAUUUAAAAGUUAAUAAAUUAUUUUUUAUAUUUAUUUUAAUUCAUUUCACUUAUUUUUCUUUUACUAUAUAAAAUUUAAAUAAUUUAAAUUUUAUAAUUAAUUUAAUUACAUUUCAUUUUCUUCUAUAUUUAAAUAUUGGAAAAAUAUUUUACUUAAUAUUUUUUUCUUUAAUUUCUUUGGCAUUUUGGGAACCAAACUUAGCCUUUAAAAUAAAAAACAAAAAAAAAAUGAAAAUAAGGAGGGAAAAGUGAGAAAAGAUAAAAACAAUAUGUAAAGGAUUUGAAAAGUAUUAGUUUGUAAUUACUAUUUGGAUUUCAAUAGUAUUUUAUUUGUCUUUCUAUAUUUCAUGUAAGAGAGAAUUUAAGAUAUUCCCCAAGGCAAAGCAUUAGUUACCUGCAAUCAGUGGUGAUAAGGCUCCAAGCCAAUUUUGGGCCCCAUAUCUUAAGACAGUACAAUUUCCAUUUCAACAUUUCUGAUUUCUCAGAUGUUUCACAUACCACAGAAGAACAUUGUUUGUGAAAAUAUGCAUUUAUGUUGGAUUUUGUAUGCUGUGGGGACUGGGGCAAGGAUCAUAUGGAAGAGUGGUUGACUUUUUCUGUACUUUAACGGUUGAAAUAGGAUAAGCACGGGCAUUUGUGAGGCUUAAUUGAUUUUGAAGCCUGAAAUUGCGUUUCUGUCAUUUUGUCAAAAAAAUGGCAGAUUCCAUACUCAUAUGUUUGGCCUGUGGCCAUGUACAGAUGCCAUUUAGUGACCAGUUUGUAACUGUCAAUCGUUGCGUUUUGACUCUGCCUCAACAACAUCUGCCAUUGACGGGUUUUCAUACUUGCAAAUCAAAUAGUCUUUCGUCCCAUCAGGAAUUUCGGUUUAAAUAUUAUUAAGCAUACGUUUGGCUGACAAUCAUUAUCCAGUUCAUGAUUUGGUUUCUUACCCUUAAUCAAUGGUUUCUAAGUGAAUAUAUGUAGAAGGAAAUCCGAAGUGUAGACAGUAGUAUCGAUAACUCUCAAUAUUCUCUAUAUAAUAGAAUAAACAGCGUCAUAGUGAUCGUCGCCUACAAGCAAGGUACAAAUACCAAAACGAGUGACUCACAUAGACAUCUCCCAACAAGAUGUAGUAGUGACUGACACAUGGACACAAUUAACUCGUAGAAAAGGAUAAGACCAUUGCACAGCAGCUCUUAUUUUACAUACUACUUAUGCUAACCAAAGUCAAUUAGUUGGGAUGGGUGGGAGAUGGAGGUUUGUGCGGUGGCUUGUGGGGCGGAGUUGAUGGCUUCUUUCCAGGAGCUUCUGGCUUUUUCAUCGGAGCUGAAGGAGGCUCAAUCUUAUGAGGCGGCUUGUAUGAGUCUUCUUUACUCUCGACAGGAGGGUGGCCAGGGUUGUGAUCAUAAUGUGGUGGCUUCUCUCCCUUAGGUGGCUUGCCAACUGGGGUUGGUGGCUUGUGUUCAGGAAGUGGUUUCUCUCCCAUGGGAGGUUUAGCAAUUGGGGUUGGUGGCUUGUGUUCUGGGAGUGGCUUCUCUCCCUUGGGAGGUUUAGUAGGUGACUUGUGUUCUGGAGGUGGCUUCUCCACCGGAGGCUUGUGCUCCGGUGGUGGCUUCUUGGUUGGAGGGGGCUUGGGGUAAUCAGCAAGAGAUGGGGUGGUGAGAACCACCAGUCCAAGGAACAACACUAGCAAGUAUGUGGGAGACAUUUUUGAGUUUGGGCUGAUCAGAUGAUGCAAAACUAAAGCAUUACGUGACCUUUUAUAGCAUGUAGCUCCCAAUACCCACUAAGUAUUGUGGGGUCCAUUUGUGCCCUACGGGGUUGAAAACUUAGACAAUUGGGCAAGGACCCACCUGACUAUGGAGGACUAGUGAGGUGUGAUCAUAGCUUUAGGAUUUUUCUUCCUCUGCAGCCGUCGUGCCGUUGGCAUGAUUUUCUUAAUCUUAAAUAAAGGCAUAGUUAUAGAGUUGUUUAAUCUCUAAAUGGGAUUUUAUAUAUAUCUUCAGAUAGCCAUUAAUAUAUUUGAUGAAGAAAGAAAGACAAGUGCAUACAACAUGUAUACGACUAGCUUUCAUGGAGUUCAUUUAUGAUCAGUUUUCCUGUACAUGUAAACCAGGAUCAUAUAUAUGUUUCUGUUCCACAACUAUUUUGGAAUCUUGUUUAUCAGUUUUUAUCAUUAUAAUGUCACAUAGGCUGCCAACUUGGGCGCUAAAAGAACCAGUUGGGCUAGUUCGUUUCAGAAUUUCAAUGUGGAUUCAGGAAUUGUUUUGUAAGAUAUGCGAAAUAGUAGAGGGAUGAAUAGUGUUUCAUUAAUAAAAGUGUCCUGUAAAUUAGAAGGUGUCAUAGAAACUAUAAUCAAUAAAUAACUUUUUUUCCCCACGGGUGGUGUUUCUUGUGGGGAUCAGUGACUGGUUUAGGUUCACCCAAAAUGAGUUCAGACUAAAAUUGGUUUGAGUCAAUGCCGUGUCUCUUUUUUCCAGAAAUCAACUAUUUUAUGCAUUGAAUAAAUCAUACAAAGAAAAUAUGAACGCCCGCAAAACCUAAACCCUGGUUGCUAACUUUCUAUGUUUCAGUUCUAUUCACGCAAGAAUAUUAGUUUAAGUUUGGGAAAAAUGGCAACUUACCUAGUGAUUACUUGGUUUUGGUUUGCGACUAUUUACGCAACCAACCAUGAGUUUGACUUUAACGUCAUGGGUUGAAGCCUCCUACAGGAAGGGAGAAAGCUCCACAGCUAGCUCCAAAAGAGAAUUAUCACAUUGAUAGCUCCAGAGAUUCCCAAGGGGACUGAAUCAAAGACAAGUUCCUCACUUUUUCUUCUUUUGAGGCCAAAUAUGAACCAAGGAUCACACAACCUCAUUCAACUUCAUAAGUUUGAUUUCAUGCAGUUGAACACUGGGUGAAGGCCAUGACAAGAAUUGAUUCAAAAAUUCUAUCACUCUUUUAAGUAAUGGAAGAUUAUUAUCUCUGAUUGGCAUCACAACAGCACAUGCUCCUAGAUCUUUCUAGACACUCCAUGCAAUGAAAGCACAAUGGAUCUUGUAACGAUAGAAACUAAGCCAUGCUACAGUACUAGAUGAUGAGGUAAAACUAGUAGACACGGGUGGCAGCCUAUAUGGGAGGGACACAAGUCUAAUUGAUUUGCAUUUCAGCAUUAUAGAUAGGUAUGUUUUGGAAGAUUUGUUCUGGAAAUACCGCACCAAGUAGGAUUCUUUUUCUCUUUAGUGGGUCCACUUGCAUGCCAAUUAACGAGUUGAAAAGUAUGAGCACCUACCUCGUGCUCGUGGAACCGAAGGUCAGUGAAGUGGGGCUCCUUUUGGCCUCGUGUAAACUUGAUUCAGAAGUGAAGUUAAUAGUCUUCCAUUCAGAUGGAUACAUGGGAAUUUUUCUCUUUUAUUUAUUUAUUUAUUUUUUUUUUGUGUGUGUAUGUCAAAGGAUAAUGAAUGAAGCGCGUUAGCUUGUUUUCUGACUGGAACCGCAGAUGUCCAAAUUGGAGUUCCUUCAUUUCUUACUUAGGAUUGUUACAUGUAUAAACAAGGUAUAAGAAAUAUGCCAACGUGUCUUGAGGAGUUAUUGAUUAGAAAUAACAAGUCACCCGACUGUAGAGUUCCAAGAUUUGAAUCUUCAGACCCUAUAGCAGCCUCUGGGGUACGUGGCAUCCUAUAGCAUAUUAAUGAAGGCUUUUUCGAUUUAGACUUCACAAUACCAAUUAAUAUGUAUGCACAAAAUGGAGAUGACCCCAAAAAAAACAGAAUCGCCAUAGUUUAUGAGGUUAAGGUGAUUCUCCACUUAAUAUCUACAUUAGCUAAUUAUGUAAAUCAAAUGAACUUCUAUUUUUCCUUUUUUUUUUUGGUUUAUGUCAAAUAGUAGCCCAUAAUUAACCCAACCAUUAGCCUGUUUGAAUUGAUUUCACAUGCACAAUGUUGUAGUAGUUCAUAUUUUGAAUUUUAUUUUUACAAAGGUAGUUAAGGAAAAUGAAGUAUAAUAAUUAUAAAAGCAGACUAUAUACACUACAAUAAUUGUUAGAAUGGUAUCUCAAAUUCUAAUUUAAAAUAUUAUUUUUUGUAAAAGAAAUAUUAUAUAGAAUAUUUCCUAAUUUUAUAAAUGAUUAUAAUUAGAUCUUUAUAAAAUAAGGAAAGUUGGUAAGAAUAUCUUUAUAAAUAUUUUAGGUCAUGAGAGAAAGAAAUGGGAUAAAAAUGUGAUGAAGAGGUGAAAUAAGAGAGUUGAUUAGGAUAUAGAUGUGAAGAAGAAAGGGAUUCAAUAUAUAUAUAUCUUUCAAUUACCACAUUAAAACCCUGUGAACCUUUUAUAUGGUUUACUUUAUUUUUAUAUUCCUCCUUUAAUAUAUUUACAUUAAUGCUUCCAUUGGCACAACAAUAACGAAUUACAAAUACAAGCAACAAGUCCCAUGUUUUAUUACCAAAAGCAGGUAAAAUCCACCUAAUAUAUUACAAUAUAUUCAUCCAAUAUUUUAGACCAAUUCUUCACCAUAAAUAUCAUAAUGUGGCUUUUGUUCUUUCUUAAAUUUAAAUUGAAUUGUCUUAUAUCAAUUUGUUUGUGAUUUUUUCAUUAACUUCACUUUCAUUUGGUUAUCUUUGGUUUUUGAAAAGUAUUAAGGAAUUAAUUAACAAAAUAAUGUUAAGAAAAAUAAUUUUCUCUCUUUUGAUUUUGAUUUUGUAGUAGAAAAAUAUAAUUAAAAUUAUUUAAAAAGUAUGUAAUUUUAAAUUAUUUAAUAUUUAGAUAAAAAAAAUAAGUCUAAUGAGUUUAAAAUAACAUAUAAAAAUAAUUUAUUUAUUUUAAAUUUAUUUUUUAUUUUCCAUUAUGUUCUCUUUCUCUUUUACUUUUUCAUAUUUUUUCUUACGAAGAAUCAAACACAACCUCAUAUUAUAUGUCAAGUGUUUGUCUAUAUUUGAGCAAUGUUAGAUACGGCCAUGGAUUCAUCAAACUAAACUGAUUUUAAUAGAUACUUCACAAAUUGAUUUAUACACUAAAUCAUUGGAUAGCAAUGAUGCAUUGGAAUUAAACGUAGGAUGAAGCUCGAAGAACACUGUUUGUGUAACAACAUAUUUAUGAAAUUAUGCAAAGGAUGAGCUUCGGGGUAGUAGUACAAGGUCAUUAAUGGAGAGCCGUGUUAAACCUUGAUUGUGAUUGGAUUCCGUUAUCAGCAACAGCAACCUUGUUUGUAACCUUGAAAGUCAUUCUGUCCACAUCGAAACUCCAAUUUGACGUUUGUAAUUACCAUUCCUGGAGUGUUCCUUGAUUGAAAUUUAAAUAAUAAUUGCGGCCCACAAGGAAUAUUUUCGAUUCUGUGGGAAUUUGACAAGGUUUGUUAGAGAAGACUGGUGACAUGUUGACUUCAAUGGUUCAAAUAGGAGACGUAUGUGGAUUUGGGGGGUUUAAUUGAAACUGAGUCCCUAUGGCUUUUUAAUAUUUGCAUUGAGCAGUCUCCAUGUGACUUCCUAAUUCCCACCAACCCUCCUGUCCAUGCUGUGAAACUAAAUUGUAAUUUAUCAGCCUUUGUCAAUGGUUUCUAAAUUAAAGAUAUAGACCAUGCAUGUACUUUAAUAAAAGCAAAUCUAAAGUGUAGAUAGCAGCAAUGGUGACACCCAAUAUUCUCCAUAAAAUAGAAUUAGAAUAAGCAGUGUUACAUUGUUCAUGAUCACCUACAAGCAUACAAGAACUUCCAUGAAUAACUCAUAGCAAUUGCCAACAGGGCGUCGUAGAGACUCAUACAUAGAACACUAUCCACCCAGAGGAAAGGACAAGACCAGUGCGCUGCAGCUCUUAUUUUUCACAUGUAUACCACCACUCGUAAUAACCAAAUUCACUCAGUUGGGAUAGGUGGGAGAUGGUGGUUUGUGGGGUGGCUUGUGGGGAGGAGUUGGAGGAGGCUUUAUUUUCUGAGGCGGCUUGUAUGAGUGUGCAGGAGGAUGCCCGGGAGUGUGACCAUAAUGUGGUGGCUUCUCUCCCGUAGGUGGUUUGCCAAAUGGGCUUGGUGGCUUCUCUCCCUUAGGAGGUUUACCAAUUGGGGUUGGUGGCUUGUGUUCUGGGAGUGGUUUCUCUCCCUUGGUAGGUUUGCCAAUUGGGGUUGGCGGCUUAUGUUCUGGGAGUGGCUUCUCUCCCUUGGGAGGUUUGCUAAUUGGGGUUGGCGGCUUAUGUUCUGGGGGCGGCUUCUCUCCCUUGGGAGGUUUGCCAAUUGGAGUUGGCGGCUUAUGUUCUGGGAGUGGCUUUUCUCCCUUGGGAGGCUUGCCAAUUGGGGUUGGCGGCUUAUGUUCUGGGGGUGGCUUCUCUCCUUUAGGAGGUUUGCCAAUUGGAGUCGGCGGCUUAUGUUCUGGAAGUGGCUUUUUUCCCUUGGGAGGUUUGCCAAUUGGGGUUGGCGGCUUAUGUUCUGGGGGUGGCUUCUCUCCCUUGGGAGGUUUGCCAAUUGGAGUCGGCGGCUUAUGUUCUGGGAGUGGCUUCUCUCCCUUGGGAGGUUUUGUUGGUGGCUUGUGUUCUGGAGAUGGCUUCUCCCCUGGAGGCUUGUGCUCCGGAGGUGGCUUCUGAAAUGGCGGGGGCUUGGGGUAAUGAGCAAGAGAUGGAGUACUGGUGAGAACCACCAUUCCAAGCAACAAUACUAGCAAGCAUGUGGGAGACAUCUUUGAGUAGUUGUAGCUAAGAUGGCGCAACACUGUAGGCAUUGGGUGGCCUUUUAUAAAGGGCUGGACCCAACAGCCAUAUGACACGUGUCAUGAUGACAAAUGAAGUUGAGGGGAUCCAGAUGGGUCCUACUGAGUCGAAAACUUGCACUAAUUGAUCUGGUGAGAUGACUAUUUCUGUCCUUUUGCCCUUCUCGGCCACCCUGUGCUGUUUUCCUUUUGCACGAUUUUCGUUGCCAAACAAGCAAAUAAUAUUUCGCCAAGAAAGAGGAGAGUGAAUGUGGAAUGCAUCAAGUCCCAUCAAGGAUGGCAGAGAAGAAAUAGAAGAUUGCCCAACUGUGAUAAACAUAGCAUACACGUAGCACCAGGAACUUCAUUUACUUCCAUCUAAUGGAACAUAACAAUCUUCUAAAGUUUUUGCAUGAUUUUGUUAUAUGUCUCUUAGCCUAAAGUUGGAAAUGCGCAACAAAUUUUGUCACUUCUCUAUUUCCCACUGAUGAUGUUAAUUAGCCUUCAUAGAUAUCAUCCUUUCUACAAAGUGCUUCAUUUGUGUGUUAUUGUAAAGUGUAAGAAAAGUAAUUGAACAUGUUCUUUUUCCUUUCAUAGAUGACUUUUGAUGUGCAUUUUAAAAGCAGCGCUGUGAGUCGGUGACCUUGAUUCACACGGAAACUAAGGCUCCUAUAGGACCCACUUUUAGCUGGUUAGGGGUGAAGAAAAUAUCAACUUUUCAGAGUGAUUUAAGUCAAGGCCAAGCCUCACUGUGUCAUUACUCGUGUGAAUUUUAUAUGCACAUACAUACAUAAAUAAAGUAUGAGACCCAAAUAACACCUUCCCUUUACAAACUUAACCCCAGCCGCUCUCUUUCAAUUCUUUUCACACAAGGGUAUUGACUCUAUAAAGGUCAAGAAAAUCAUAAUUUCCUAGGGUUUACAAGGUAAUUGGCUUAAUGCUAAUGUGAAAACAUAAAAGAUAAUAGUAUAUUGUAAGCUAACGAAUAUUCUAUAGUUAUAAUUAUUUGUGAUGUGCAUAAAUAAAUCUUCAUAUAUAUAAUGGAACAAUGAAUAAAGAACCAAUGAAAAAAUACUAUAUAUCAUUGCUUGGCAUUUAAACCGUAUAUGCUGCUCUUUCUAGCUACUCCAUCCACUGAAAGACAACAAGGUAAUCCAUGUUAUAAUGAUAGAAGAUACUGUCUCUAGGCUUUUUGUGAUGAAAAAUAUAAGAUAUGGGUAGGGUUGACCCUUGUAUGUUUGUCCUAUAAACACUUCAAAGUAACAUAUUUUUCUUCUUUAGCAACUCAUAAUGAUGGGGUUCAUUUGCAUGUCACUGAGUUGAAAAGUUGGACAAUUGCCCAUGUCGCCUUCCUCCUAGAUUCCGUAGUUCACGGGAAGGUAACUCAAGUUUGACAUAUUUUGAAUUCUUUUCACUCGGACGUCUUCAUAACCUGACAAAACAAAAAUGAAAAACAGAGGAUUGGUAUAUUAUUCAUGGUAAGCCUCAAAUUAUAGUAGUAUGAGAAAGGAGAAAAAGAUUUUGGGAACUCCAAUCUGGAUAAUUCUCGUUUCUUCUCUUGAAUAAAAAUUUCACUUACCUAACUUCGUUUGGAGAAAUGGCAUAUUUUAAUUUUGUACGUCAUUGCUAAUAAAUGGAGCAAUUUAGCAUGUUUUGUGACUGAAACUGCAAAUGUCCAAUUGGCAUUUCUUCAUUUCCCACUUAGGAUCUGAUCUUGUAGACCAUAUAACGAUAUGUAUCUGUGCAAGCAUUGAAAACUAAUGUGAACUAUGAGGAGUUACAAGCCACUGGACUGUAGAGCGAGUGCCAAGAUUUAAAUCUUCAGGCUCUAUCUGGGUAAGGGGAGGAUAGCGACCUAACCUUUUACCAAAGGCUUAGAAUUUAGACUUUUGGAAAAAAAUUUCUCAUGUUUUGGCUGGAUUUCUUGUGCUUGGCGCAAAAAGGAGAUGGCCUCAAGAAAUAGCAGACUCACUUUUGUUUUCAGCCCUUAAUAAUUCUCCACUGCUUUCCAUAACUACAUGGGUUAUACAUGCAGUCUGCUGCAAUAUUCCAGUUAUAUUUAUUAUUUCAAAGAGGGUGAAUGACUUCACAUGCAAUAUGUUGCAGUAACAACCCAAAUUUUGGCACACCAUCUUAAGAAUAGAAAAGUAUAAUAAAAGAAAUCAAUCAGAGAAUCACUUUGCAUGCAGUUCAUAGAGUUCGCCCAAAAUGGAGCCACAUGUACGGACAACCCCACAAUAGACAAUCUUCUCUAUACAGUAAUAAAAUACAGAAAUGGUUAAUGAAGCUCUGUAUUUCCUUAUCAUAUAUGACCGGUUGAAAACUCAGCAAGUCUUCCUCAAUCACAGACAGUUGGAGUUGCUUCAUCAAAAUCAUGCCUUCAUUACUGGCUUCAUUUUGGUUUCAAUGUCUGUUCUACCCUUAAAUUGGGUCUCUGCUUACUACCGGGAUAUCCUUUAGCGUCCUGCAAUUCUACUAGAUUAAAGAGAAUGACUUAAUUCUGCAUUCUGCCGUCCCUAGUCCAAGUGGUACUAGAAUUGAUGUUUCCUUUAGUGUCCUUUCUUCAUACUUUCAGGUUCUUCCCUUGUUUCAAUAAUGCUGUUUUCCUUCAUGUUUAACCUCUGUUGAACCACUUAAAACAACACAAUUUGCACACCAAUGUUUCUUUACAGAAAAGACUGUUUGCAAAAAUGCACAUGUUAUAAGGUUAAUGGAAGAAUUAAUUUGGGGAUAAGGGACUAGGAUUGGGCCAAUGAAGUUUGGUGUUAAAUUUUGAUUAUGAUUGCUUUUCAUUAUCAGGUACCUUAUAUUUGCUGAUGCUAUCUGGAACUAAAUUCAAAUCAGACAUUAUCCGAUUACUAACAGGACAUAUCAUGUCCCUCUGCAGAGUUUCUAAACUAACAUGUAUCGAAAUGUGGCCCCAAAAGGAAGGCUAGGAAGAUGGAGGAUUUUGUAGGAAUCGACCAGAAUCAGAUGGAAGAGAGAUAGUCCUGUUGACUUUAAUGGUUGUGAUAGGAACAUGCAUCAUUAUAUGAGAAGUUGCAUGAAUUUAUGUAUCCUGUUAUCGUUCCUUGACGAUUUCCCAAUGCAAUUUCACUGUCCACAAGACUAACCUCUCCAUGCAGUCAAAUGAAUUGUAAUUUCUCUAUUGGUACCAGUAGUACAUUUCAUACCAAACAUAUAGUAAAUAUAAAAUAUAAAUAGAUCAAGGAAAUCUGAAUUGUAGAUAGCACUGCAAGUAACACUCAAUAUUCUCUAUAUAUAAUAAAAUAAACAGUGUCACAAUACUCAUCACCCAGUGGCAAGGGAGAAAAACCUACAAUGAGUACUCAAAUCACCAUUCUCAAACAGAAACAUAGCAGUGACUGAUACAUAGAACCUAUAUGCUCACAGGGAAAGAAUAAGAUGACCAGUGCACAGCGGGCAGCAGCUCUUAUUUUACGUACAACUCAAAUCCCAAACUAACCAAAGUCGCUCAGUUGGGAUGGGUGGGAGAUGGUGGUUUGUGGGAUGGCUUCUGGGUAGGAGCUGGUGGCUUCUGUCCCUUUGGUGGUUUGCCUAAUGAGCUUGGUGGCUUGUGCUCCGGGAGUUGUUUCUCUCCCUCGAGUAGGUUUCGAGUCUUGUCAGAUGGCUUGUGUUCUGGUGGUGGCUUCUCUCCCUGGGGUGGUUUGCCGAAUGGGCUUGGUGGCUUGUGUUCGGGGAGUGGCUUCUCUCCCUGGAGAAGGUUACGAGUUUUGUCAUAUGGCUUUUGUUCUGGUGGUGGCUUCUCUCCCUGGGGUGGUUUGCCGAAUGGGCUUGGUGGCUUGUGUUCGGGGAGUGGCUUCUCUCCCUGGAGAAGGUUACGAGUUUUGUCAGAUGGCUUGUGUUCUGGUGGUGGCUUCUCUCCCUGGGGUGGUUUGCCGAAUGGGCUUGGUGGCUUGUGUUCGGGGAGUGGCUUCUCUCCCUGGAGAAGGUUACGAGUUUUGUCAGAUGGCUUUUGUUCUGGUGGCGGCUUCUCUCCCUGGGGUGGUUUGCCAAAUGGGCUUGGUGGCUUGUGUUCGGGAACUGGCUUCUCUCCCUUGGGAGGUUCAGUUGGUGGCUGCUGUUCCGUAGGUGGUUUCUUCACCGGCGGCUUGUGCUCCGGAAGCGGCUUCUCUACCUGGAGAAGCUUACGAGUUUUGUCCGAUGGCUUGUGUUGUGGUGGUGGCUUCUCUCCCUGGGGUGGUUUGCCAAAUGGAGUUGGUGGCUUGUGUUCGGGGAGUGGCUUCUCUCCAUUGGGAGGUUUAGUUGGUGAUUGGUGUUCCGUAGGUGGUUUCUGAAGUGGGGGAUGCUUGGGGUAGUCAGCAAGAGACGAGGUAGUGAGAACCACCAGUCCCAGCAGCAACACUAGCAAGCAUGUGGAAGACAUCUUUGAGUUCAGGCUGAGAUCUGUGCAAGGAUAACAGAAUUAGGUGGCCUUUUAUAGAGGCCUGGACCCAACACCCAUAUGACACGUGUCAUGCACUCAUGGUGACACAUAAUUCUAUGGGACCAUUUGGGUCCUACAGAAGUUGCAAAGUUGGACUACUGAGGUGUGAUCACAACUUUUGUCCUUAUUGCUUUCUCUGCGGCCAUUGCACGAUUUCCUUUAGCAUCAUUUUCUUGGCUAAAUAAGCGUAUUAUAUUUGUGGCAGACCGUCCACGUGUCAUAAACAGAUAUAUUAUAAUAAUGUAGUAUGCUUUUCUCCAAUGGAACAUGACACUCUUCUAAGUCUUGUUUUAAAUAUUGUGCAGGAUUACUUUAUACGUUGCAGUUCCAAGUCAAAAUUGGUGGGCAAACGUUGGCCUUUUUUCAUUUCACCUAAGAUUAAUGCUCACCUGGGAUAGGCACUACAUGACUUAUCUGCUCUUUUACUGUAAAGUUGCUUUGUGUAUGAGAUACACCUCCCCUGCACACCCUCAACAUUCGUUGCUCUGUUUUCCUUGUGUCCAGACGAGGAUAUUAAUUGGAGGCUGACAAAACGACUGCUAGCCCAGGAUUUACAAGGUCCUGGUUUGAGGCUUCGGUGAAAGUAUUUUUGAAAAGACACACAUAGAGAUAGUGCGUUUGGUGCAAUGCAGCACUGUGAGCCAUUCUGACGCGUUCUUAAUUUCAAAACUAAUGAAUGCUUCAAAAUUUUAAGAAGUGACAUUUCCAAAUAUUUGAGUUCGUUUAAUUGAACAUUGGAUAACUAGUGAUCAUAGAUUAUUAUCUGUGCUUGGCACUAUAAGAGGGUAUAUGCUUCUUUUUCUGGCCCCUCCUUCAAGGGAGGAGGGACAAUGUGAUCUGUAACGUUAGAAGCUAUUCCAUGUCAUCUUUGGGCUCAGUUCAAAACUAAAAGAUAAUGGGGGGGGGGGGGGGGGGCAUAUCAUUUUAUAUUUCUUCUAGAAGGUUUGUUCUGGAAAUAUUUCACAGGAGCAUAUCUUUUUCUUCUAUUACGUCAUCCGCAGCCUCCAAUAGGUCGGUUAACAAGCCACCGAGUUGAAAAGUUGGAAAAAUGGGAACACAGCCCGCCUCUUGUAUUCAGUAGUUAAAUAAAAGGUCACUAGAAGUGAGAUCCCUUUUGGCGUCUUGAUUUUCAAUCCAGCACCUCUGUGACCUGACAAACCAAAAAAACUAAAAAAUAAAAAACAGUACGUGGGUUGGUGUUAAGCAUCAAGACAUGUUAAUGAAAGAAGGUAGAGAAUAGGAUAUUGAAAUCCCAAUCCUGAUAACAUGAUUUUCUUUGCUAACAACCAUAUUAUAUUUUAUCAAGAAAGAGUAAUGCAUGUGGCGUCCAUCAAGACCCAUUAGAGUUCCGCUAAAGCUAUAGUUCUGUCAACGUUAUCAUUUACGUUUCCUCUAGAUAAUGGCAUUUUCCUCUAAAGCUCUUGCACCAUUAGGCUUCAAGUCAAAAUUUCACAUGUGAACUUUGGAAAUUUUCUCCAUUUGCCCCUAAGGAUACAGUUAGAAUUGACUUAAAAUCCUGAUUGAUAUGUACUAUUAACCAAAGAAUAUUGUAUAUAAUAAUUGAAAUAUUGUUGAUUCAUCGUGGAAAUACAUUUUGUAAGGAAAGUUGUUGAGAAUUUAGUAUGCUAUAUGGAGAAAAAAGUCAUGACUUAAGGUUGUGUAUGUAUAUUCUAUAUCAAAUAUUAGGUAGGAAUGUGGGAAAGAGCAGAGUGUAAUGAUAAGAAACAAAGAAAUAUAAGAUAUUCUUGAAAGUGGAAAAUAUAAAAUGGCUAACGAGUCAAAUUUAUGAUGCGUAAGGGGGAUCAUGUCACAUAAGAAAACCAUGGCAUACUAAAGACGUACGUGUGGUAUGGAGUAAUAAUUUUGUUAAAAUAAGUUUCUUGUUGGAGUACAUUAGGUGACUAUUCAUAACGUAUCAAAUUAAAGAGUCAAGUGCAUCAAUGAAGGCAUAUGUAGAAAAUUUGUUUGUGACAUGUACCAUAAAGAUAAGAUUGACUUGAUAGAAUUUAGUCUAAGUAGGAGUUGUUAAAGGUGUCUUAAAUUUCUAAUUGAUGUAUAUUUUUUUCUAAAAAAAUAUUAUAUAGAUAUUUUAAUAAAUGAUUAAUUCUUUGUAAAAAUACUUACAUAAUAAAAAACAUCAUUAAAAAUAUCUUUAUAAAUAUUUUAAGUUACAAGAAGGAAAAAAACCACUGUGAGAUAAUGAUGAACAUGCAACACUGUACCAAGUAAAUAAAAAUGUGAUAAAAAAAAAAGAGAAACACUCGAUAAAGGAAGGCUCGUAUAUAAAGAGUAAUAUUUUUAAUCAUAUGAUAGAAUGAUUUUCUCUCAUUCAUGAAUAUAGGCAAGAUUGGGGAACCAUUAUAAAAUUUUGUACACCUCGUGUAAAUUGAUGUUUGUCUUCAUAUUUUACACCAACAAAUGACAUUGAAGUUGUCAUUGAUAAAAGGGAAAAGGCAUGCCUCCACACCAUGUGCUUGAUUCGAAUGGUUCAAGUUUGAAGAAUUUUCUCCGGAAGAUCUAAAACAUUUUCGCCUUUAAAUUUCAUUUGAUUAUUAAUAUCCGAAAAAAUAGUUAAAUACUCUUUCUAUUUUUGAGUUGUUGAAUUUUUUGAAAGUUUUUAUAUUUGUUAUCAAGAAUUUCUAUUUUAUUAAGGGUGAAUAUUUAUAAAUAAGAUAUUAUAUAAUAUUUGGAUAAGAGAGAAUGGUGGAAUAUAAUAAAGUUUUAAUCCUUCCCAAUUUUGAACCUUUUUUUUUUUUUUUGAUAUAAUCGCCUUUCUCUUGCAAUCCUAUUAUCAGGUACCUUAUAUUUGCUGAUGCUAUCUGGAACUAAAUUCCAAUCAGGCAUUGUCCAAUUACUAAUAGGACAGAUCAUAUCUCUCUGUUUCUAAACUAACAUGUAUCGUAAUGUGACCUCAUAAGGAAGGCUAGGAAGAUGGAGGAUUUUGUGGGAAGCGACCAGAAUCAGAUGGAAGAGAGAUAGCCCUGUUGACCUAAUGGCUGUAAUAGGAGAAGCGUGUGGUUUUAUGGGACUUAACUGAUACUAAACCUGUAUGAUGCUUGGAGUGGUGUUUCUUUCAUUUUGUUAAGAAAAUAUGGCAGCAUACAUGCUUUCAACUGAGUGCAUCAGAGCAUCCAUAACAGAUGGUCUGCAACCCUAGGUGCAUGCCACUUUCUGACUGAUAAUGAAAUUGUCAGGUACCUGGCCUUGACUAAGCUCAACAGCAUCACAUAAAGAGAAGCUUUCAUACUUAGAUUACUGUUUAAAGUUUUUGCUUAUUUGAUUUCUUAAUGCCAUUAUGACAUUAUUGAUUCAAUUCUGCUUCCGAUUUUCGAAGUUCUGGGCAUCUACUGAUUGCAUCAUUAUAUGAGAAGUUGCAUGAGUUUAUGUAUCCUGUUAUUGUUCCUUUGCGAUUUCACUGCUCACGGGACUAACCUCUCCAUUCAGUCGAAAUGAAUUGUAAUUUCUUUACUGGUAGCAGUAGUACUUUUCAUAGCAAAGAUAAUAGAAAAUAUGAAAUAUAAAUAGAAGGAAAUCUGGAUUGUAGAUAGCACCAUAAGUAACACUCAAUAUUCACUACAUAAUAAAUAGACAGUGUUACAUAGGUAGAGAAACCUACAAUGAGUACUCAUCACCAUUCUCAAACAGAAACAUAGCAGCGACUUAUACAUAGAACCUAUAGGCUCGCAGGGAAAGAGUAACAUGAUAAGUUCACAGCGGGUAGCAGCUCUUAUUUUACGUAUUACUCAAAAUCUCAAACUAACCAAAGUCACUCAGUUGGGAUGGGUAGGAGAUGGUGGUUUGUGGGGUGGCUUCUGGGUAGGAGCUGGUGGCUUCUUUGUUGGAGUUGAAGGAGGCAUAUUCUUCUGAGGUGGCUUGUAUGACUCUUCGGCACUCUCUGCAGGAGGGUGCCCAGGGUUGUGACCAGAAGGAGGUGGCUUCUGUCCCUUUGGUGGUUUGCCUAAUGGGCUUGGUGGCUUGUGCUCCGGGAGUUGUUUCUCUCCCUCGAGUAGGUUUCGAGUUUUGUCAGAUGGCUUGUGUUCUGGUGGUGGCUUCUCUCCCUGGGGUGGUUUGCCGAAUGGGCUUGGUGGCUUGUGUUCGGGGAGUGGCUUCUCUCCCUGGAGAAGGUUACGAGUUUUGUCAGAUGGCUUUUGUUCUGGUGGCGGCUUCUCUCCCUGGGGUGGUUUGCCAAAUGGGCUUGGUGGCUUGUGUUCGGGAACUGGCUUCUCUCCCUUGGGAGGUUCAUUUGGUGGCUGGUGUUCCGUAGGUGGUUCCUUCACCGGCGGCUUGUGCUCCGGAAGCGGCUUCUCUACCUGGAGAAGCUUACGAGUUUUGUCAGAUGGCUUGUGUUGUGGUGGUGGCUUCUCUCCCGGGGGUGGUUUGCCAAAUGGACUUGGUGGCUUGUGUUCGGGGAGUGGCUUCUCUCCAUGGGGAGGUUUAGUUGGUGGUUGGUGUUGCGUAGGUGGUUUCUGAAGUGGGGGAUGCUUGGGGUAGUCAGCAAUAGACGAGGUAGUGAGAACCACCAGUCCCAACAGCAACACUAGCAAGGAUGUUGAAGACAUCUUUGAGUUCAGGCUGAGAUCUGUGCAAGGAUAAAAGAUUUAGGUGGCCUUUUAUAGAGGGCUGGACCCAACACCCAUAUGACACGUGUCAUGCACUCAUGGUGACACAUAAUUCUAUGGGACCAUUUGGGUCCUACAGAAGUUGCAAAGUUGGACUAUUGAGGUGUGAUCACAACUUUUGUCCUACUUGCUUUCUCUGCGGCCAUUGCACGAUUUCCUUUAGCAUCAUUUUCUUGUCUAAAUAAGCGUAUUAUAUUUGUGGCAGACCGUCCACGUGUCAUAAACAGAUAUAUUAUAAUAAUGUAGUAUGCUUUUCUUCAACGGAACUUGACACUCUUCUAAGUCUUGUUUUAAAUACUGUGCAGGAUUACGUCAUAAGUUGCUUGUUCCAAGUCAAAAUUGGUGGGCAAACGUUGGCCUUUUUUCAUUUUCCCUAAUAUUAAUGCUCACCUGGGAUAGGCACUACAUGAUUUAUCUGCUCUUUUACUGUGAAGUUGCUUUGUGCAUGAGUUACACCUCCCCUGCACACCCUCAACAUUUGUUGCUCUGUUUUUCUUGUGUCCAGACGAGGAUAUUAAUUGGAGGCUGACAAAACGACUGCUAGCCAAGGAUUUACAAGGUCCUGGUUUGAGGCUUUCACGAAAGUAUUUUUGAAAAGAUACACAUAGAGAUUGCGCGUUCGGUGCAAUGCAACAAUGUGAGCCAUUCUGAAGUCUUAAAUUUCAGAUUAAUGAAUGCUACAAAAUUCUAAGAAGGGCCGUUUCCAAAUAUUUGAGUUCAUUCAUCCGAACAUCGGGUAUAUGCUUCUUUCUCUAGCCCCUCCUUGAAGGGAGGAGGGACAAUGUGAUCUGUAUCGUUAGAAGCUAUUCCAUGUCGUCAUCUUUGGGCUCAGUUCAAUACUAAAAGAUAUGGGCGGGGCCCUUAUCAUUUUAUAUUUCUUCUAGAAGGUUUAUUCUGGAAAUCUUUCACAGAAACAUAUCUUUUUCUUCUCUACGUGAUCCGUGGUUUGAAAGUUGGAAAAAUGGGUCCGUUAACAAGCCACCGAGUUGAAAAGUUGGAAAAAUGGCAACACCGCCAACCUCUUGUAUUCGAUAGUUAAAUAAAAGGUCACUGGAAGUGAGAUCCCUUUUGGCCUCUUGAUUUUCAUUCCAGCAUCUCUAUGGCCUGAUAAAUUAAAAAACUAAAAAAAAAGACAGUACGUGGGUUGGUGUUAAGCAUCAAGAGUCAAGACAUGAUAAUGGAGAGAAAGGAUAUUCAAAUUCCAGUUCUGACAACAUGAUUUUCUUUGCUGAACUACCAUAUUAUAUUUGAUCAAGAAAGAGUAGUGCAUGUGGCCAGGAUCAAGACAUACAUUAAUUUCCACAUGAUGAAGACAGUUUCUGAGAGUUUCUUCUAAAGCUCUUGCGCGAGUAGGCUUCAAGUCAAAAUCUCCCAUGUAAACACUGGUUUUUCUUUCAUUGCCACUAAGGAUGCAGUUAAUAUUGACUUAAGAUCCUACGUGAUAUAUUUUUUUAAAAGAGCUAUAUUGUAGAUAAUAUUUGAAAUAAUGUUGAUUCGUUGUGGAAAUAUAUUUGUAAGGAAAGUUGUUGACAAUUUAAUAUAGUAUAAGAAGAAAAAAGUUAUCAACUAGCUAGAGAUGAGUAUGUAAAGUGAGGCUCACGAUUCAACGCGUAAAUAUAAGAUAUUUUAAGGCUCAAUAGUUAUGAUAUCUAUUUUAUUUUUUGUAUCUCAUAUAUUCAAAGAUAUAGUAAAAUGAUUUUACAUAUAUAUAUAUAUAUAUAUAUGAACAUAACUAUUUGUGCCAAUUGAUUUUUAUCUUUAUUUUGUAUAUUAGUAAUUAUAUUAAAGUUUUUACUAAUAUAAUAACUAAUAUAAAAGCUUUUUCUAAAAGAGUCAACAGAGCAAAACACUUAUUAUAAAAAAUAAUUUUGAUUGAAGGUGGAGUCAAUUAUUCUUUAUUUAACAUGUAAUGCAUACGGCGUGUACUUCAUAACUAAAGUAUAUAAGUGUAACAUCUCUUAUAUAUUCUCAUUCAAUCUCGAAAGUGGAAAUUUUAAAAAGAUUAAACGGUUCAAAUUUGUCGUGCAUAAAGGGGAUCAUGUCACAUAAGCAAACCAUGGCAUACCAAAGACAUAGGUAUGGACUAAGAAUUUUUUUCAAAUAAGUUUCUUAUUAGGGUACAUUAAUAGGUGACUUUUUAUGACAUAUCAAAGGAGUCAAGUGCACCAAUAAAAACAUAUAUAGAAAAUUCAUGCAUGACAUGUAUCACUAAGAGAAGAUUGACUUGAUAGAGUUUAAUCCAAAUAGGAGAUUGUUAAAAGGUGUCUCAAAUUCUUGAUUGAUAUAUAUUUUUUUUAUUAAAAAGGUUAUUAUAUAGAUAUUUCAAUAGACUAUUAAUUCUUUGUAAAAAUAGUUAUAUAAUGAGGAUGGUGAUUAAAAAUAUCUCUAUCAAUAUUUUGGAUUAUAAAAAGAAAAAAAAUGAGAUAAUGAUAAACAUAUAAAACUUGUACAAGUAGAUAAAGAUGUGAUGAAAGACACUUGAUGAAUGAAGGCUUUGUAUUUCAAGAUAUAAAUAUAUGGAGCAAAACUCUUAAUUAUAUGAUCAAAUGAUUCUCUCAUAUUCAUGAAUAUAAGCAGGAUUGGGGAACCAUGAUAGAAUCUUAUAUGCCUCUCCAUGUAGAGUGAUCGAUGUUUAUCUUCAUAUUUUACACCAGUGAAUGACAUUGAAACUCUUAUUGAUAAAAGGGAAAAGGCAUGGCCUCCACCCCAAGAAAAACAAGUAACCUCGGUUUAAAUCACUAGUCUACACCCCGAAGAGAGAACUAGCCAAACCUACUAAAAGAGAAACUUAACAAUUUAGAAAGAAACCGUCCAUGAUAAAGGGCCCCUAAAGGUCCAAUUCAGUGAGGUCGUGAACAAAAACACUUUCAUGUCAAAACAGAGAUAGGUACCACCAAAAUGUAAAGGGAAAGAUGUAAACCACGUCGAACUUUGGUAAUCAAUGGUAAAGAUAGCAUGAUAGCUAAAAGCACUAAAGCUGUGCUUGGUAUGCAAAAAUGAAAAGUGGAAAUCAGCGUCUUAUUCUUUUUCACCUUUAUUCACAUAUUAGGAUAACUAAUAUCUAAUGUUUUUUAUGUCUCAAAUUCUAUUCCAUGUUAUGGUAAACUUUCAUCUUGUUUAGAUCACUUUUGUCUGGUUUGGGCUCAAGACGAUAAGCCUAUAGAGACUUCAUAUUGGGUUGAAUCGAUGCCCUUGAUCUGAUCUGUUCGUUAGAAAAAUCUGAAUUAUUAUAAGCAUUUAGAUAAAAAAUAAAUAAAUGUGAAACACAAACUACUCCCUGCACAACCUUGACCCUAGUUACUCAGUUUCACUGCUCACAGGACUAACCUCUCCAUUCAGUCGAAAUGAAUUGUAACAAGAAGAUUUUUGACAGGAGGACGGUAGUUUAAAAUAAUAAUUUCUAAAGUACUUUUGUGAAAAAAAAUAAUUCCAAACGUGGAUUUUAUCAAGUAAAAAGAAAAAAAAAAGUUAUUUUCUUUUAAAAUCUGUUCUUCUAAAGAUGAUAUAUAUACCAAAAAAAAAAAUUGUUUUCUGAAGGUAAAAUUUUUAAAAUUCAUUUUUAAAAAAAUUUACACACUAAAAUUAUCUUUUCAAGAGAAGAUUUUUUUAAUUUUAAAUAAUUAUUAAUUUAUAAUUAAUUUGUUAUUAAUUAUUUAUUAAUUUUUUUAUUUGAAAAAUGCAUUUAUAAAAAACAAAUUUGUUAUUAAUUUAUUAAAUAAUUUUUACAAAAUAAAUAAUUUUUUUUUAUUUUAAUUUUAAAAUUAAUUUUAUUAUAUAAAUUUUAAAAUUAAAAAUAUUAAUAUUUAAUUUAAAAUUUAACUAUAAAAGGAAUAAAAUAUAGAAAAAUAAAUUAAUUUAUUAUUCAAUAAAUUAAUUUUCAAUAAAAUUUUCAGCAUUAAGAGAUAAAUUUUUAAGUAUUAAUCAAUUUAAAAAGAAAUAAUGAUCAUUUGUAUAUUAAGAUAUUUUAUUUAGUAAUUAUGAAUGAUAAACAACUAAAGUAAUUUGAAAAAAUAAUAAAAUAUUUAAAAAAUAAUAAUUUAAUACACGUAAAAUUAGAAAUGAUUAACUAUUUUUUAUUAAGAAAAAAUUGAGGAAAUAUUUUGUUAUUUAAAAUUUUUUAUUUGUUUUCAAUUUUUAAUGUUAUAGGUUUCAAGAAAAUUGAUCAAAUAAAAAUUAAGAAGUCAUUUUUUCAAAAACUAUAUAUCUAAAUAAAAGCCUUGAAAUUCAAAUACACAAUAUCAUAAAUAUAAACACCAAGUCAAUCCUUAAUUAUCAAAUGUUUUUAAUAUUAAAGAAUCAAAAUCACCUACUAUCAUGAUAAUAAGAAAACCAAUAAUAUUGUUCAUAUAAAUACUAAAAAGCUAACAAAUAUCCCAAACAAUUAAUAAAGUAUCAAACAUGAUAAAAAGUCAAUUAUUAUCAUGAAUGCAAAAAAUCAAUAAUUUUGUUUAUAUGAACCAUCAACAAAGAAAAAAAAAAUCAAUAUCUAAAUAUUAAACAUAAUUUAUAUUUUUAUAAAUAUUAUUGUUGAUAAAUAUCUUAACAAUUAUAAUUUUAGUAAAUAAAAUUAAUUAAUUUUAGUUUAAGAAUUAUUUUUUUAUACUUUCGUAUUCUUAUCAAAAAUCCCCAUUUUGCAUGUCUCCUUUGGCAUGACUUUCUUACCUAAACAAGCAUAUAUAUAUAUAUAUAUAUAUAAAAUAUUUGGUUAAGAAAGAGUACUAAAGUUUAUAUGGCACACAUCAAGAUAGAAACAGAAGUGGAAGAUAAUCCAAAUGUAUGAACAGAUAUAUUAUAUCCAUGUAGUGGUAGUGACUUCAUUAUUUACUUUUAUCUAAUGGAGCAUGACACACUUCUUCUGAAUAUUUUGCACGAUUAUGUUAUGUGUCAGCUUGUUCUAAGUCAAAACUAGUGAUAAAAAUCGGUUUUUUUUGCAUUUCCUUCAUGAAGAUGGCACCUGGAUGGGGCACUACAUGAGUGGCAUAGCACGAAGUGAUUUAUCUGCUCCCUUUACUAUAAAGUGCUUUGUGUAUAAGUUACACCUCCCCUGCACUGCCUCAACAUUUGUUGUUCUGUCUUCCGUCUGUCCAAACGAGGACAAACGUAUGUUGUAGGUUGACAAAACCACAGCUAGCCUAGGAUUUGCAAGGAUCUAGUUUGAUUCGUAUGCAAAAGGAUUGGUGAAAAGAUUCACAAAGAUAAUGCUUUUUGCAAUGCAAUCUUGUUCUAAUUCAACAGUGUGGACCAUUUUCAUGUAAUGCUUCAACUAGAUGUCAGUUUCAUGAAUUUUUGUUCAUCUAAUUGAUCACUGGAUAGGCCAUAACCCGAAGAAAUUCAAAAUUCCCUUCAGUACUGUAGCUAAGGAAAGAUCCCUAUCUACCACUGGGAUUUUAAGAGGGUAAAAAUGUAGGUGGGUGCCUAUAUCAUUUGCACUUCACUAUAGGCCUCUUUGGGAAGAUUUCUUCUGAAGACAUUUCAAAGAAACAUAUUUUUCUCUUCUCUCCGUAAACGGCAGCUGCAAGUCAGUCCAUUCACAGGCCACCGAGUUGAAAAGGCUGGAAAAUUGGCCAAAGCACCCGCCUCCUGGAUUCCAUGGGUAAGGAAAAGGUCACUGGAGGUGUGAUCCCUGUUGGCCUCUUGAUUUCCAUUCCGCCAUCUAUAUGACCUGAUAACCCAAAAACACAGAAGGAAAACGUCACCUGGGUUCAUAGUAAGCAUCAAGUCAUGAUAGAGACCAGACAACAUGACCAACAAAGAGUAGCGAAUGGGGCCAACAUCAAGCCCCAUUACGGUUAGAAGAUGGAAGAAGUAGAAGACAAUCCAAUUCUGAUAGAUUCGGGCAAAUGUAGUGCUGUUCAAACUUAAUCAUUUACUAUUUCUUCAUGAAUCACGGCAUUUUUCUUCUGAAAAUUUUCCAAGAUUAGGCCUCUGAAGAAAAAUUUCAUAUGUAAAUUGGUAUAUUAAGGAAAAGGCGUUACAAAGGUGAAAAAAAACCAAUCAAAUCUUAUAUAUGACAUCUCAAAAAUAUGAACUUGCUAUAAAUAUUUAAAAUCAAAAUCUUGCACAUCACCUCGUAGUACGAACUUGCUAUAAAACUUGAAAAUCAAGAAGAAAGGGGCAGUAUUGGACGAGACUACUUAGCACAUAUUAUUAUGAUGUUUUUUCAUUUUCUUAAUGUUGUUUUUAUGUCUUAAAUUCUAUUAUUCUAUGUUACGGUAAACAUUCAUCUUGUUUGUGUGGAAUAGGAUCACUUUUCUCUGGGUUGAGUCGAUGCCCUUAGUUAAUUUGUUCAUUUGAAUAAACUAAAUUAUUAUAAGUAUUUAGAUAAGAAAAACGUGAUACAUAAAUUACGCCUCUCGGCACAACUUCAACACUGGUUACUCUGUUUCAGUUUCCUCACACAAGAUUAUUGGUUCUAGGGUUUAUUUGGUUUUGGUUUGAUUCUAAUUGCUAAACUUUCUCAAGGAAGAUGUUAUAUAGGGAGUGAGAAACCUUCACUCUUGGCUACCUCCAAGAGAAGAGCAAGUGGUCUGAAUCAAAGAUAUACUGCUCACUUUUUCUUCUUCUAAGGACAGCUAUGACCUUGCUUUAAGGUUCGAAUAGCCUAAUGCAACCUCCCAUUUCUCAAGUCAGCUGAUGAUGUAAGUCACCUUGGCUUUCCACAUUCAUACGGUGAGGACGUUUGUGGGUGUAAUUCUCUUAACAGUUUUCAUUUUAUAUGGAAAAAUUCAUAAUUAAGGGUAAUUACUGAUUCCAUUUGACAGUGACCAAGUUUAAAAUAUUAAUUCAUAUAUUAAAUGCACAUUAAAAAAUCAUGGAAUAAAUAUAUUUACUAAUAUAUAGUUCUUUUGCCAUGUUCUGUCACAGAAGCAUCGAACUUUCCCUAGAAAUUUUUGCAUGGUAUUCUACUUAUGAUUUUGAAAACUCUAGGCACCUGAGGCCACUAAUUGCAUGGUUGGAUGAGGAGCUGCAUGAGAUUAUGUAUCGUGUUGUUCCUUAACUACAAAUAUCAGUUUUAAGUAGCAUCUCCAUGUGACAUUUUCCUGAUGCAAUUUCGCUGUCCACCAACAAAUUUCACCAUGCAGCAAGAUGAAUUGUAAUUUCUUUAUUGUUAUCAACAGCUUUAAUUAAUCUUGAUAUAUAUAUAUAACUUAGUAGAAGUAUAUUAAUCUAGAUUGUAGUUGCACUAAGAUAAUAGGCAAUAUUAUAACAGUGCCACAAUGCUCAUCGCCAAAUAGAAAGGUAGAAAAACUACAAUGAGUAACUCACAACAUUCUCAAACAGGACAUAGCGGCGACUGAUACAUAGAACACUAUUGGCACUCAGGAAAUGAUAAGAUCAGUGCCCAGCAGGCAGCACGUCUUAUUUUACAUACUACUUAAAACUAACCAAAGUCAUUCAGUUGGGAUGGGUGGGAGAUGGUGGUUUGUGCGGUGGCUUUUGGGUAGUUGGUGGCUUCUUUCCUGGAACUGAUGGUUUUUUUGUUGGAGUUGAAGGAGGCUUAAUCGUCUGAGGUGGCUUGUAUGAGUCUUCAGCACUCUCUGCGGGAGGGUGCCCAGGGUUGUGACCAUAAUGGGGUGGCUUCUCUCCCUUAGUUGGUUUGCCAAGUGGGCUGGCUGGCUUGUGCUCCGGGAGCGGCUUCUCUCCCUUAGGUGGUUUGCCAAAUGGGCUUGCUGGCUUGUGCUCUGGGAGCGGCUUCUCUCCCUCAAGAAGUUUACGGGUUUUGUCAGAUGGCUUGUGUUCUGGUGGUGGCUUCUCUCCUUGGGGUGGUUUGCCAAAUGGACUUGGUGGCUUGUGUUCGGGGAGUGGCUCCUCUCCCUUGGGAGGUUUAGUUGGUGGCUGGUGUUCCAUAG
RNAcentral lists this long non-coding RNA (160302 nucleotides) under Vitis vinifera (wine grape). Its description in RNAcentral is "long non-coding RNA (VVIN_LNC001392)". The record is from RNAcentral. Lineage: Eukaryota; Viridiplantae; Streptophyta; Magnoliopsida; Vitales; Vitaceae.